AAAAAAAAAAAAAAAACCUUCAAAUGUCAAAACAACUUAUUUUUGACAUAAGGUGUAAAAAAAAUUAAUUCAAUAGAAAAUGAAAUGUUAAAAAAAUAUAAAGGAGUUCUAAUUGAAUGACACUUGUCAUUCAAUUGAAGACUCAAUUGAAAAAAAUUAAAAGAAAUUGAAACAUCCUACUUUUAUAUAUAUUAUAGAAUUGAAGACUCAAUUGAAAAAAAAUUGAAAGAAAUUGAAAUAUCCUAUUUUUAUAUAUAUUAUAGAUAUGUUAGAUGUAUAGAGUAUUAAAGUAAGCUAGAUUAGUUAAAUGUGUCAAUGAGAAUUAUUUACAAGUUAGGCAGGUCAACCUGCAUUAAACAUGCACAUUUUUGUGUCAUAAUUGAGUUGCACGACUAUGACACGAACACAUUAUGCAAUACCCAAACUUAAUUUCACAUUAUCAGGUUCUAUCACAAACCCACAUGGGAUCUACCUACGAAUGGAACAGUUUUUAAGUCUGUACAAAUGUUAUGUUUUAAUUAAUAAUUGUAGCACCCCUUAGUUUAAUUUAAGGGUGCGAAAUUUCCUUGCAAAAACCAACACAAGCAUCAAAGAAAUAACACAUAGAUUCUAUUUAAAAUAAUACCAUGCUUACUUCACAUACAUCAACUUGAUGUGUCCAUUGAAAUAUAAAAUCAUUCCAUAGUCGUAUUUUCAGCGUGCAGCCCAAUAUGGAGAAAGAGAUUGAAACAAUGAAGGUGGCAAAACUCAAAUUCAUGACGUUUUGGCUCUGUAUUUUAACAGAAUCACAAGAUUUUCCAAAUCCAUUUACUAUUAAUAUACAAACUCUUAGCAUAAUGCAUUAUAUUUAAUUUUGCAUGCUAAUGUCAGUGCGUUUGCAUCAAAAUUAAAAAAUAGCAUUCCAAACCUCACACGGUCAACAAAAGAUAACCCAAGACUGCGUUUGGCGUGAAAAAAAAAAAAAAAGAGCAUUUCCGGAACCGUGAUUGAGAAAAAAAAAGCAAAAACAGAAACAAAAGUGCUUCAAGAUUUGAACUUGAAAAUUUCCAUAAAACAAAUUUAGGCAAGUAUAUAAAUAAGAACCUGUUGAAAGCAGAGAUGGCAACAACGUCGCCGUUUCGGAGGCCGAGAUGGAGCAGGGCGCGAGCCAGACUGAGCACGCACUCGACCAGCUGGUGGCCUGUUUUUUGGCGGUCGCCUCUGAUUGUCACCACGGAGUUCCGUUUUUCGGUGGUGAGGCGGCUGAAGCACUGGCAAAUGUGGGCCUCGGAGUAAAAUCCCAUCUCGACGGAAGGCGAAAAUCGAGAAUUCGGCGUUUCGACUUCGUGAAAAUGAAGGAAACUCUGUUUCUUCUUUGCGUUUUGGACGAAAGAACGGUUGGAACGAGAAAGUGCGGUUCAGCUUAUCUUAAAAUGAGAUGAAAGUGCUCCUGUCCCCGUGCUGUGAUGUUAGGCAUUUCACCGUUUGGACGUUGCAAAUUGCAAUUGUCACUUCUAAUCGGAAAGCAAGUUUAGAAUCAUAUAUAUUUAAUUUAAUUAACAAAAUAUUUAUUUUAAAUUGAAUAAUGAAAAUUUUUAAAUAGGAUAAUCAAUAAUGAAAGAGGACUCAACAAAUUAAUAAAUUUAUUUUUAAAAAAGACUCAUGGUUGAUAUUUUAUUUCAUAUUUAAUUGUCAUUUUUUAUUCGAAUUUGAAAGUAAGUCAUCAGUGUUAAGUUUAUUUUCUAAACUUGAUAAGUUUCAUUUUUUUCUAAUACAUUUACAACAUUAUAUUAUAAUUUAUAAAAUUGAAUUUUCAAGUUGGGUUGAAUCGAGUGGGAGAGUUUUUAAUCAAGUAUCCACCAAAUAAAUGAUUUUAGAUAAUUAAUAGAUAUAAUUACUCGGUUUCGAUUAAAUUAUACUAGUUAGAAUAAGAUUAACAAUUUACUUAAAUUUCGAAUACCUCAAUAAUAAUUAAUUUUAACUAUUUCAAAAUAAAUGAAUAUUUUAUUUUUGUCAAAUAAUAAAAUUUUUUUAUAUUUAACAGAAAAGGGAUUCAAAUUUUAUUUUUUUAAAAGAGAAAAUGCGCGAACUGUUGAAUAAUAAUUAAAAUAAACAAAUGAAAGAUUUAGGCAUCUUAACUUAGCAAAUUAAUAAAGAGAUAAUAAUAAUUGCCAGCCUUAUAACAGAACUGCCACUGAUGGUUGCAUUUAAGUUAUCCAGCUUUAAUAAUGGAAACUAAGCAACUAGCAAAUAAAGAAAUGAAAAUAGGUAAUGAAAUUAAUCAUACAGAUACAGAUAAGCUGGCUCGUUCUUUCAGCCAUGCAAAAAAUGGCGCCGAAAACAAGGUCCACAUUUUCCCUGGUUUCACCAAUCAACAUAUGGCCCAUUCCAGGAAAAGUGUUCAAUGUUUUGUCCUUGCUCCACUGAUUCAUACACUAACCGAGCAGACCAACAGUGGCACACGACAUCAUCUUCCCCGUGCACCAUCAGCAUGGGCACCUCCAGGCCAUGGUAUCAAUCUGAUAAGAAGUUGGUGAUUGAAGAUCAAGGAGAGAAACUAUCAACUGGGUUGAAGAAUUUAAGAAGAAAGGAAAGGAGCACGUGUGAUUGUGAAUUACAUGCUUUGUAAUAACAAUAUACUUGUGUUAUUUAUUGUUACUUUUAUACUUACUGUUUAUUAAACUGUAAAAAUAUCAGUUAGUUAAUUGUUUAGUUACUUUUAUACUUACUGUUUAGUUAGUUGACUUUCUUCACCCGAGUUUGUUGAAAAAAUAGAGUAUAAAUAUUCUGCUGUACAGCUUCUAUUUUGUAAUGAAAAAUAGCUUGAAGCUUGACAAUUCUCUUUCACAAAUAGUACACUUUCAACACAAAUACCUUCAGAAGAAAUUACAUUAGUUAAAGUAUCGGUACUUUAUAAUUAGAUAUGUACUCUGCAUUACUUGAUUCGAUUAAAUAAAAUUAAGUUACUUUAUAAUUAAGUUUGAGCAAUAAAAGUACUAUUUAUCAUGAACUCAAAUAAAUGUUAGAAAAUGGUCCUAGAUACCCACUAUUUAAAUUCGAUUAUAAAUAAUAAAUUUAAUAUUAAAUUUUAUUAUAUAUAUUAUUUAUAAAUAUUUUAUAAUUAAUAUAAUACUUAUUAAAAUUCAUUUUGUGUCAAAUCUAAGAGCCCCACUAGGAUGCAUUUAAAAUGAAAAAAAAAAAAGGAGUUUGGUUGAUGAAAUCAUUCAAUUGAUGGUCACGUUUUUAUUGAUAGUUGAUUACAUUAAAAACAAUUAAAGAUUAUAAACAUUUUUAAUGAAAAUGUAAAUGCUGUGAACAUGAAUAAAAUAUUUAGUUUAGUAUAACUCUAAAAAGUUUUUAUAGGUUACAUAAUUACAUGAAUUUUAAAAGGAUAUUGUAGGUUUGAAAAUUUUAAAUAUACGAAAAUUCAUUUGGUAUAUAUACUACUAAAAGAUAAUAUGGAGUAGAAUUAUUAAUGGAAUUAACCCUUAAUUUAAUCAAGGGUCAAUUCCUUGUUGAAUUAAUACCUUAAAGCAAUUGAUCAACUCUUUUUUUUUUUUAAAAAAAGCUAAAAGCAAUUCAAAGGUUCAUAUAGAAUGGAAUAUAAAUAAUUAGAAAGUGAUAUGUAGCUUUGGAUCCCAUUAAUUAAAUCUCCUAUAACCUUUGACCAAAAUCAUUUCCCAUCAAUUGUUUCACCCAUUAGAAUGUGUCAUAUGCUUUAUUCAUGAAAAACCCCUUUUUUUUUUUUUCCUUUUUCUCUUCUUUAAAAUGGUAGGUAAAGUGCUCAUGCAUUCACUUUGUCCCUUUAAGUUUUUUUAUCUUUUUAAUUUAAUUUUUCCCAAUUACGCAUAAAUGAAAUGAUUUGAAGAUACUUCGAAUUUAAGUUAUAUUAAGUUCGAUUCGUUUUGAAUUAGUUUCAGGUUAUUUUAGAUUUAUAUAAAAUAUAACAAUUUUAACAUAAUAUUUGAGUUGAAAUUUUUUCGAAUGUGGAUUUAUUUCAAAUUAAGUUUUUCUCAAUUUAAAUCUCAAACUUUUUAAUCAAGUUGAAGCAUUAUAAAGGAGCUGUGGAUUGGGGUUGGUUUUACAGCCUCUAAUAUGAAAUGACAAAAGACAGGGAGAGACAAAGUAACAAGAAAGAAACAAGCUUUAAAUGAUGGUCAUCAUGAUUGUUUUCUUUUCCUUUCUUAUCUCGUUUCCUCCUCGAUCACACUGAUUAUGAUUGUCGUAUUAAUUAAUUAUAAUUAAUUAUAAUAAGCUUAAUUAAUUUGUGCAGGUGGGCCAUAGAAAGGAAAGCACACUCCUUUCUCAAACAUCCUUUAAUGCUCUACAACUGAUUCCUUAGCAUGAACAAAAUUGGAUAAUAUACUUUUCUUGUUCAAUUCUCCUAAAAUUAUUCUCAUAAGGUCGCGUAACAUUUCACGCUAUGUCAUUUCUUUUUUUCCUUUAUCUAAAUGUUGUAUAACAUUAAAAUUUGAGACUUUAAAUUAAGUUUUAAAUCGAAAUUUAGAAUAAAAAGAAAGAGAAACAUAUCUAAAUCUUUCAUGCAAAAUAUUUCAUUUUGUUUGACAUAAAUAUAUUAUUUUACGUAAAUAUAUGUUCAGGUGAAUAUCUCCCAAACAUAUUAAAUUUUUGAAAAAACAUUACAUACAUGUAUGAAAAUGAAAAGGUGUAAUUAAUUUUCUUUCUUUUUCAUAUAUAAACGUUCUUUAAUAUUUGCCGUUACAGAUAAAGACAAAAAUUGGUAACAUAAAGCAUAUGCUUAAAUACAUGCAAGUAUUUUUAAUUAAUUUUCCUUUCCAAAAAAAUGAAAUUAAAAGAAAAAAGAUUUCCUUUGGAGGAAGAAAGGUCAAAUAUGGCAGAUUAUGUAAAUAAAUUUAAUACCAAGGUUCAUUGUAUAGUCUGCCCUUUUCACUCCCGCUCACCAAAUCUAUCUGGACUCUUUUUGUCUAUUUUCUCAGAAACCCUAAACGUAACCAGAAGAACAGAGGGAAGCACAGAGAUUUGUAAAUGGAGCAGCUUUUCUCUCUGAACUCUUCUCUUCUCCUUUAAUUUCUCCCGGAAAAUCUCGUAAGUUGCCCUUUUUUUUUUUUUUUAAUUGUGUUUACAUUUUUAACCUUUUUUUCUUUCUUUUUUUUUUUUUUUGUGAUUCUUCGCUUUUGUUCAUUUGCUCUUAGAAUCCUGAGCUUAUAUUUCUUGUUAAUUUAUCUUUGUGUUUAAUUUCUUUCUCAAAUGCAAUAUGUUUAUGAAUGUGUUGAGCUCAAUUUUCAGUGUCAAAAGUUGUCAGAUUUUGUUAGUGUGAUUUGCAUUUGUUUUAGAAAAAUUUGACUUUGAGCUAAUUGUCAUUGUUUGACUGGUAAGAAUACAUCAGAAAGGGAAAACGAAAUGCAAUCUGAUGCCUUGUAGUCCAUUUCUACAGUUUUUUAUGCUGAAAUCUGAGCUCAACCAUGUAAACUGAUGAAAUUUGAAUUUUUAUGAAGUAGUUAGUUUCAAAUUUAGUUAAAUUCAGCUUGUUGAAGCGUAGAAACUUAUGGUGAUCUUGAGCAAUAUGUAUUAAUUGCUAUUGAUUUAGUUUGCUCCUUUUUUUUUUUUGUUUUUGUUUGCAGUUUAAUAAUCCUGCUGGUGAGAGGCAAUUCUGAAAUGGGUAUGGAGAGCUGUAGAGAUGUGAAUGCUAGUGUUGUUUCAUGUUGUGAUGCAUCUAUAAAUGGGUCGGUGCACAUUGGUGAUACUAUAAAAGAGGGUGAGGAACUGGAUGUUGACUUUCUCAAUGAAUUUGAUUCAUAUGUGGAAGACAUCAACGACCGGUUGACAGUUUCUAGGUUGGUGAGUGACUCAGUCAUCAGGGGCAUGGUCAAUGCUGUUGAGCAAGAGGCAGCUGAUAGGAUUGCUCAGAAAGAGUUGGAGUUAGUAAGAUUGAAGAAAAUGAUGAAUCAUUACCAUGUUUGUUCAGAUGAAAACAAGUCUUUACUGAAGCACUAUGAACCAAACAUUGAAAAAGAUGGUGUAUUUUCAAGAUUGUCAGAUUCUUUUUGUGAGCAUGACAGGAUCCGAGAAUCUUUGGGCAGUCUUCAAAAUGCAGCUAAAGGGCAGUUUAAGAAUCUUAGGAUAGAAAUUGACAAAAUCAGAGGGCAUAGUUCUAUUAGGAGGAUUAAUUCAAGUCCCGAGUGGGUGGGAUUGGGUGGUAUUCUGCAAGAGGAUGAAACCACAGACCGGAUUGAUGUGGAUAAAACACUUGAUUCUUUAAGAAUAACCCUAGACACUAUCUAUGAGCAAGUCGACGAUAUUAUUUGCUCAUCCAGUGUUUCACUCUGUCAGUGGCAGCUGGAGCUAGAAUAUCAGGAAGAUGUUGAACAUAUGGUGGUAGCAAGUUGUAUUCGGAGUUUGAAGGAACAGUUUGAAGAAAGACUAUGGGAUCAAAAUGCUCAAUGUUAUGGUAACGGAAAUGUAAAUUGGAUUGAGAAGAUCAAUGAGAUUUCCAGUUUGCGUCAGGAAUUAGAUACCAUUUCUAAAUCACUGUCUAAUCCUGAAACUGGGAUGCUGAAUUCUCAUAGUUCCUUGGAGAUCAAUGAUGAUUUGAGUAACAAUAAAAGGACCGAUCAUUUACAUCGAAAGGUUUCAGAGAAUCAUGUUUCAUCUCUUUGGGAAGGAAAUGGCAAGCAAGAAGAGUCGGUAAUUGCUGUGCCAGAAAAUUUGGAUGCUGCGCAACUGAGUCACAUGUCAAAGGGGGAAUUGGUGAAUUUUUUCAAGAUUGAGAUGACAAAAAUGAAGAGAAACCAUGACUACAAACUACAACAGUUGACUGAAGAAUAUUUUACCCUCAAACGGGAAUAUUUGAAAGAAAGGGGUUCUUCUUUGCCAUUCAGGAAGGAUAAGGAGUUUGAUGUCUUGAGGAAAAAGAUCCCAGAUGUCAUUGUGAAAUUGGAUAGAAUUCUUGUUGGAAAUGAGAAAUUUCCUUUAGUAAGUAAUAACGGUGAGACUCUCGGAAGUUUGAAGGACAGAUUAGAAUCUCUUCUUUCAGAAAAUCAUCAACUGAGAGAUUCACUAUUCGAUAAGAAAAAGGAAGUUAACAGCCUUUCUUCACAGGUUUCGGAUGCCAUAGUGAAAAUCUCACAGUACUCUCUGACCGAGGAUAACUUACUGAAAAAGGUAGAAAACCUUGAAUCUGCAGUUGAAGAUGUACAUAUUGAAUCUGCCAUUAGUGGGGAUGUAUAUAAAUGCUUCAUCAGGGAGGCGAUCAGCCAGACCAAGCGGAUCAGUGAAGAUUUAGAGGUGGAGCACAUCAUCAUGAAAGAAAUUUAUGACCUUAUAUGGAGAGAUGCUUCUUGCAAUAUGCCACAUGCCAGCAAGAGUGAAUUUGAAGAUUCUGAUUUGGAAUCUUUAAUUAUGGAAGGACUAUGUGCAAUUGUAUUCAGAGCAGCCUUCUCAGAAGCCAAGGAGAAACUCCAUGACUUAAGCAAGGAUGCAUGCAAGAAAGAAAGGGUACUAAAACUGGAAGUUGAAGAGAAGGAAAAAUUGCAGCAGCAUAUGCUCCUAAUGGCAUCAACAAUUGAUGAAAAGGAGAAGUUACUUAAUGAAACAUCUGCUGCAAUGGAAAGAGAAAAGGAGAAAUUUAUGUUGGCUUCUCAAGAACUUGAUGUUGUAAGGGAUAAGACAAACCGGCAGCAAAUGAUAAUUUCUAAGUGCAAUGAAGAAUCCAAUGUUCUGAAAGUUAAUCUCCGUCAAGCAUCGGAGAAACUUGAAUUACAACAAGUGGAAACAUGUAAAUUAAACGAGAAGCUUGACCAGGCAGUGAAAGAUUUGAGGGAAAGCGAUGAUGAGAAAAGAAGGCUUCUUGUUGCUGCCAAGGAGAAGGAGAAUAUUUUAUCAUUGUUUGAAGCAAAUGAAAAUGAGCACAGAAAACAGAUGGAAUCAAUAAUUAUUCUUGUUGAAGGACUAUAUAAGACAUUUGCUGAUUUUGAAUGUCAAGUAGCAGAAGAUAUGAAGAGGAGUAAUCUAAGGUACUUUCUCUAUCACCGUUACCUUUUUUCAUUUCCCUAUUGAUAAAUUACUGAAUGCUUGGAUAAGUCUUAUGAAAUGUUGAUGGUUCACAUAACACUCUUUAUGCUUUAAGAGACAGGAAUGUUGUCUCAGUUCUAUCCUCUCUUAUCUGUCCUUACAAAUGACUAGAAGGUUUUAAGUGGAAAGAAACCUUAAGUUGCAAUGUGUUGUCUGUUCUGUAACCAAAUGAAUUUUUUCCUAGGUUUUGUCAUUGGGGCUGUAACUGUUGAAUUGCAUUGUUUUCCUCUCAAAUGUAUGAUAUUGAAUUUUACCUCAGACCUUGACUUGCUUAGUAAUGGAAGAUGGACUUAAGCUCUGUCUCUUCUUCAAAACUUGUGGAGAAAAGGCGUAUAACUCAUGACUUUGGAAUUCAUUAAAUUUCAGUUCCUAGUGUUCUGCUACUGCCAGAUUGCCAAUACUCAAAUAUCUGGUUAAUGUUGUCAAGAAAAGUUCAGUUAAGCUCAUUCUCAUCACUUUUAAGCCUAUCAACUGAAACUAAUAAGAUAACUUUCAUUUUUGUCAGAGAUCCUUAUUGAUAUAAAUGAUUUGUUGUUGCUAGUUGUCUAUGACAUCUGUCAGUUUUUGAUUUUACAAUUUGACUGAGGUAGCUCUGCCAAUCCCUGCUUCUUGCAGAAUGGUUGAAAUUUUUUAAAUUCAGCACUUUCAGGUGUUUGGGAUAGUGAUGUAUAGAUUGUAUAUCCAUCAAGUUAAGCUAAUUUGGAUUUCUUUUUUUUUUUGAAAAUAACUUUCACUCUGGUCAAUUUCCUGGUCUUUGGUCGGUGUGUGACCUUGUGUCCUUCAGUCUAAUUCAUGUUCCUAUAUGAACCAUUGACUUUUAUUAUCUUUAGAUUAUAAUUUGGUUUGAUACUCUAUUACUGAGUUUUUAUGUACUUCUUCUAUUUUGAAAAGCAUCUGUAUUAAUUUGGAGAUGGAAUUUUCUAUUGCAUUUAUUAACUCAAAUAUGUAAUAUAUGCAUAUGGGUCAAUUUUCAGGUUGGAGAAUUUGAACUCCCAAUUCAGUUCUCUCAUUCAGAUGGCGAACGUAUUGAAAAGAAAGGGAUUGCAUUAUAAGCAGAAUCUUGAAAGGAGAUGUUCUGACCUUGAAAAGGCUGAAACUGAGGUAGAAUUAGGAAAUGUUAAAGUAUUCCAUUUUGUGAUGGCUUUAUACCUGUUUGACAUUGUAGAAUGAAUUUCACAAGGAAUAAAUAUGAAUUAAAUGAUGCUUGGCUUAUAUUUUUGAUAAUGAUAAACCGAGCUGCAGAUUGUCUUCUAUGGUAUGAGUAAUGAUAUUUUAUUUGUGAAUUUCUUGUCUCCCCUUUUCGAUUAGUAGUGGUUUAGGAAGAAAACUACCAAAGGAUAGUGUAGUGAUAUAGUAGUCUACAAUGUAUUUGAUCGCCAAAUGGACUGUGUACUGGCUUCUAUUUCAAGGUUAAACUAUUACAUAAAUAACCCUGUUUUAGUUUUCACAUUAACUGUAUACAGUUUACAUUGAAAUAACUUAAACCAAAGCAGAGAAGAUCAUUGAGUAUCAUUGAUUGCAUUAUACAUCAUAAUAGAGCUUUCUGAUUUGGUAAAUCAUUAUUAUUAUUGUAUUUAUUAUGGUUCUUUUUUUUAUUGAAGGUGGAUCUCUUGGGUGAUCAGGUGGAUGUUCUUUUAGGCCUUCUUGAGAAAAUAUACAUAGCGCUUGAUCAUUAUUCUCCAAUAUUGAAACAUUAUACCGGAGUAAGUUGUUUCUUUGUUCUACUGAACUUUUAUAUUGUUAUAUUUCUUAAAAGUGAGUCAAAACAGAUUCAUGCGUCUAUGGAACGUUUCUUAGGUCACAAAGAUCAAUAAUAACUUGGGUUAUUCAAAUGUUGUUUGCCGGUUGCAUAUGUUUCUUAGAAUUGGAAAGCAUGCUUUGGAAAUUAGAGAAAUACUUUCUUUGUGUUUAAACCAAGGGAUAUCCUGUGCAAACAAGUUUUGAUUGACUGAACUUGAUGAUUUAAUGAGCAUUUCCAUGUGGACGGUGAGAUAGGAAGACCAAGAGGACAUUGGGGGAAACUAUAAAAAGGGACAACAUAGUCCAUUAAGCCAACCUCACAUAGUGGAACUUUGUUAUUUCAACUUAGUGACAGGCAAAAAGUUAUGUCACCAAAGAAAAAUGCAAAAAUCAUGCCAUGGAGUUUCCAUGCAAACCUAAAUAACUCCGUCUCUCUUUUCACAAUGUGCCUCAUUAUGUUCAGAUUUAUUUCUUCCUAUUUAUGGCAGGAUGGAAAACCUGAAAAACUUUAGAUUUAAAAAAUCAAGGGUUUUAUUUAAUGUUGUUGGUAAUGUUCACAGGAGUGUUUCUAUAACUUUCCCAGGAUUAUAUUCUUUUUUAGUCUACCUUUCUAAUGUGAUGACUGAAAUGUGACAAAAUCCUGCUUGUUGUCUCUCUCCCAAAGAGGAUGACCUGAGUUUGAAUCUCCCACCCUCAAACUCUCCCAGAGAAGGAAAGAAAGAAAGAUGAUUUCAGUUAUUUAACCAAAGCUUAUACUUGAAGUUGCGAAAAGACAGAAAUAGUUUUAAGGGAAAAGGAAUACCGUUUAAGCUAAUUCAUGGUUGAAUGCAUAUGUAUGCAAUUUUAACCUGUUGAAAGGUAAAUUUGAUAGUAGCGGAGUGAGAAAAAGUAAUCAGUUUAUUAAUCUGUUUUUUAUAUGUAUGCUUGAAUAUCCAUUUUUAUGAAGAAAAAAACAUAUAUGAACACUUAAUAACUUCUUGUGGUGUUCUGAUAAUUGUGUCGUAGCUUGGCCAUGCCCGUAAUUUCUGUAUACUUGUCAUCCAUGCAUUUCCAAAUCUGAUGUUCAGAAGUACUUUAUUUUGCUUGUUUCAGGUUAUGGAGAUAUUGAAUCUGGUUAGAAGAGAGUUGAGUGGAGAAUCUACUAGGCCAGUUUGAUCUACUCUUCCCACUGUAGAGAAACUCAGAACAGAGGUAGGUUGUAAAAAUUGUUGCAACAGCAUCAUCGGGCAAGUUAGCGAGAUUUUGGGGUAUUAGAAUACAGUCUUUAUUGAAGUUGUCCUUGCUGAAUAUAGCUGUACAGUCUAGUAAGCCAAGGAGAUUCCCUUUUGCUUCCGUUGGACCAAAGAGUUAUAGAUCUUUUUCAGUGUUUGACCAGAGUGUAUAUUUGUUUGAUUUAGCAGUUGAUGAAAUUAAACUAAUAUUUCUCAUUACCCUGUGCUGGGAGUAUGAUGGGGAUGUCUUUGUUCUCUCUUUGGCACAUACACCAUACCUGACACAUUUACAAUCAAAGCUCACAUAUGUAGUUUACUUUCUUUUCCUUUUGAGAAAGAGAGAUAGAAGUCUAGGUCUUGACAAAUAAUUCUUAAAUAUGCAUAUAUACUUUUAAUUAGUUUUAUAUAAUUUAGUGGUGUUAUGAUUUUUUGGAGUGAUGGUACUCUGUUAUUUAAAUGUCUAUUUAUAAUAAGCAUUCUUAAAAGUUUAUGUCAAGGAAGAUAUGUUUACUCUUUCCAUUUACAGGGAAAAUAUUAAAUAGGGUUUACUGGUAAUCUUUCUGGUCGUAUUAUCAAAUUUGGGAUGUGAAAAUCAUUGAAAAUUUUUAAACCGUUGAAAAUGAAAAUUAAAAUAAAAUUAAAAUUAUUAGAAAUUAUACCUCACAGAUGAAAAAAAAACACCACUUUUUGAAUUUGGAUGUAGGUUUUGAGCUUAACUAUCAAUAAAAAGGUUUUAUAUCCAAAUCAAUGCAUAUUUAAAAGUUACUAAUUAUUUUCAAAAAAUAAUGAUAAAAAAAACCCUUUUCAUUUUGAUUAAAGAAAAAGUUGCAGUUUUUAAGUUUUAUAUGCUAUCAAUAAAUCAAAUCUUGUAAUUUUGUUAAUAAAUAAGUUUAAAAGAUAUUUAUUGAAAAAGAUUUUUAAAUUUUGCGAUUAGGUUAUAAUGUAUAUAUAAUACAUUGAUAAUACGUUAAAUAUAAAUAAAAGAAUUAAAUUGGUAGUGCGUGUCAUAGGUCAAAACUUAAGUUUAAUUUUGUGCGAUUUUAAAUUUUAAAAAUAAAACUAAAUAAGUUUACAAAUCAAGUUUCUCAAUAGUGUACGGCAGCCUUUGCUAGUCCUUUUAUAUAGAAUUAAGAAGAAAAAAAAAGCUGGUAAGGAAGGGGCGAGAGUACUGAAGUGUGAAGGAGAUGAGAAAAAUGAAGACAAGAAAUAGAAGCUGGUUGGUGCCAUUUCACCUUCUUCUUCAUUUAGCAGCUAUUUGUGUAUUGGGGGAAUGGUUAAUCUUUCAGUUUGGAGAGAGGGACAAUACGAAAACAGACAUUUCACCUUUAAAACUACUCUUUAAUUUAAUUGCCCUCCAAGCAAACCUCGCUUAUCCCUCCCUCACCCGCUUCUUCUUCCCUUCCAUCCCAUGCCUGCUUUGUUUUUCCACCCAUAAUGGGAAGCCACUGCAAUCCCAGCAAGCGCCAUUAUGACAUUACACUGUCCAAGAGAACCCGGAAGCCAUUGGAUCUCCAGGAAGCUAACGGUACAUCCAACAUUGCUUCCUCCAAAUGGGAUAAUCCUCUGAAAAUCUUCCCAAGAAAAGCAGCUGAUGAUGAUGAUGAUGAUGAAGAUGAAGGGGAAGAGAGUAGUGAUCAUAAAAGCUUGAAGCAACUCAUCAACGGUGAUGGAGGAGAAGCAAAGGAGGAGACCAGCUGCAGAUCAUCAGGCAGGAGCUCACUGGUUCAACAUUUCAACCAAGAAGAGAAACAGCUUCAGCUGGUGAAGAAAAACCAGCAGGAUGGGGUCCAUGGGGGGGCGAAGCUGAAAGGAAUGAUGAGUCGGUAUGCCAAAGUUUUGAGCCGUUUGGUGAAAGCCAAGCGUGAACCGCGCUUAGGGUCCAACAAGAAGCAUCUUCUCCGGUUAACAAUGUAGGGUUUUUCCUCAUACACGAGCUUAUGCCUCAGAGUAUACAAUAUUCCCAGAUCUCAAAUCAUACCUCAUAUAUAUAUAUAUAUAUAUAUAUAUAUAUAUAUAUAUAUAGUAUAAACCUUAUGAUAUGCUUGUGUUCCCACGUUCUGUAAUUGAAUUCUACAAUUAAUUAAUUAGUAGUAUGUGCUUAUCUCUCGACUGUUCCUUCAACAGUGCUUUUCUCUCACAAUGACCAAAGCACUGUUUAAGUAACAGUGACAUUGUCCAUUUAUCCUCCUUCAUGAGGUUUUGUGUUUCUUGGGAAUUUGAUCCAUAGCCAAUGGCCAUCAUCAGAUGAUAGAUGUCUAUUGUUUAUACUUUGAGAAAUUCUUCUUGGCUUUUUCUGGCCUUUUGGGCAAUUUUUUAUCCUUUAUUUCUUUCAUUUUAUUGGAAAAAUAAACUAAUUCAAUUUAAUAUAUUGUUUCUAUGCAAUAAUAAGAAUAAAGUUGUUAAUUUUGUUUGUGGCCUUUUACAUUAAUUUGUAUUUCAAUCAUAAAUUUUUUUUAAUUAACUUAAAAUGCUUACUUGUAUUGGUUAUAAAUUUUGAAUCCGUACUUGAUUUGUGUCAAUGGUUCGAUCACAUUAAAAAAUACCGAUUGAUACUCCAAACAAUAACACAAAUAAUUUACGUAAAAAAUUCAACCAAAUUUAUUUUUAUUUUUUUAAGCACGUGAAUUUUGAUUGAUCGAAAAAAAAUUUCAUAUAGAUUCAUAGAUAGAAGUGGUGGCUCAACCCUUUAAGCUACCAACUUACUAAUGCACACGUGUGAUGAUUGCACUUUGUUUUAAAUUGUCCUGAUUUUUUUCUUUUUUUUAUUUCGUAAAUAUGAAUUCUUCAAAAUUAAAUAUUUAUAAUUUCAGACGACAUAAUUCUUCCACGAUUUAUUAAUAAGCACUUUUAACUAUCAUGAUGUUUCUAAUUAUUAAUAAAAGUCAAUUAUAUAUUAAUAGAUAUUAACUUUGAUUCCAUAUUAGUUUUUAAUAAUUCAAUAAGUUUCGUUUCAAUUAAUUAAAAAUUCACUUGAUUGAUUAAUCUCUCUGAAAAUUUUAAAAACAAUUGAAGGUCACUUUAAAUCGGUUAAUAUCAUAAUUUCCUUACAUGAUAACUUUUUAUAAUUUGCAUAUUAUGAUAUUAUAUAUAUAUAUAUAUUUAUAUAUUUCUGACUUAAAGUUUAUUGCGCCCCUAAUUAUGAUUCUUUGUUCGAUUAUGAAAUAUUAUCCUUCAAUUAAAAUUAAUUAUAUAAGUUCGAACUUUAAAAUAUAAUAUUAAAAUUAUAUUUAUUAAAAUAAUAUAUUUGAUUGAAAAAAAUAAUUAUUUCUUUUAUUUUAUUUUACCAAUGAUCAUUGUUCAAUAAGAACUCAAAAUAAUUAAUACCAAACCGUGAUAAUAAAUUUACAUCUUCUUCUUGAAAAAAUAACACAUAUGAUUAUUAAUUUUUUUUUUCAUUUUUUGGUUUUGAUUUAAUAUUUUAAUUAUAUGAUUAAUUAAGGAAAAAAAUUCAGCUAAUGCGGGUCGGCUCGGAUUGAGAAGAGUGGCGGGACCCAAGAAGGCGGUCCGGUCCAGCCAUUUCAGCUUUCUUUCCUACGCUUUGCACUUCCAUCUCUUCUUCUCAGAUCUCUCGCUUCUUUCCCAUUCUUUCCAGAUCCCAAAAUCACCAUUGAUUCAAUUCAAACCAACACAUUGGAUUCGCCUUUUUAUCAUUUCUUUUCAGAAUUUCGAUCCAAAGGAACGAAAAAGAAAUUUAAGGGAAAGAAACAGUUUGAUGACUAGAAAGCAAAAUUGAGAAGCCAAUUUUUGUUGAUUGAUGAUUUGUAGAUCUUGAAAAUGGAUCCGCAGCCUUCCCCAUCGGGAAGGUCGUCCCCAGUAGGUCGAAGCCCUUCAUUCUCCGUGACCGAUGCGGGUAGCCAAAGUCUCUCUUCGAUCCUCAACAACCCUCACGCUGCCAGAUUGGAGGCCUCUUGGGUUGGUUGGUGGUCCGUUUCUCCUCCCGAGUUCGCGCCCUUAAUUUCAACCAAAGCCUCCUCCGACCUCACACGAUCCGACUUCCAAUCCUACGUCUCUUCCGUCUCUGACUCCUACCAUCGCUUCGAGGACAUUCGCAACCACUCCACCAAGGAGCAAACCCUCGAUGUCGACAACAUUGGGGAGGCCCUCGUCGCUUGUUUGAGGGAGGUCCCGGCACUCUAUUUUAAGGAAGAUUUCGCACUCGAAGAUGGACCCACUUUCCGGGCAGCCUGCCCUUUCACCGAUGUUUCUGAAAACAUUGUGCUUCAGGAGAAGUUGUCACACUACCUGGACGUGGUGGAGCUGCAUUUGGUCAAGGAGAUUUCGCUGCGCUCCAAUUCUUUCUUUGAAGCGCAAGGGCAGUUGCAGGACUUGAAUGUUAAGAUUGUGGAAGGUUGCAGUCGGAUUCGCGAGUUAAAGGAAACUAUUCGGCUUUUAGACACUGAUUUGGUUGACUCUGCUAGGCAGAUUCAGGAGUUGAAUGCCAAUAGGACCAAUUUGUUUGCACUCCAACAUAAAUUGAAGCUUAUUCUAUCUGUUAACCAAGCGUUAUCCGCUCUUAAAUUGGUCAGCUUUUAAAUUUCCUUUUUUUCUCUUUUAUUUUGUGUCAUUCACCAAGAAAGAAAGGAAAACAAUAUAGAUUUGAAGAGGCUACUUUGUUAAUGCUUGGAGAGGAGUUUGAUUUAUUUUUAUCGGUUAUGCAGCUUGUUGCAUCUGCAGAGUGUGCUGGAGCUUUGGAUGUUAUUGAUGACCUGCAGCACUUGUUGGUAUGCAUUCAUCUUUCAAUGAAAUCAUAUUCUUUGCUUUUUUAUUUUUUAUUUUUUUAAAGUUAUGUUACUUUGCAUUCCUAAUAGGUUUACUGAAAUCCCUAGGAAUGAUAUGCUGUGCAAAAUGUUUCUUUUGUUUUGCAAAACAUCACUGAGCUUGGUCUUUCUAGUGAUGAAUUCCACCAAAUACUUAAUUUUUUGAAUUUGGCAACAGGAGGUGGUUUUGGUUAGCAUCAUUGGGUAACAACUAAGUUCCCUAACAACGGCUUAGCUUAGUAGCUUAACUUAACUCUUUUACUGGCGUGGCGUGAUUUUAUGCUUUUUUUUAUCGAUAGAAAAUGAAAUAGAGUUAGCCAAAAGGAAACACCACCAAGAUACGCGUAGUGAUUCAAUCUUUUGAUCACCCAUUGAUGAAAAACCUUUUUUCGGGGCUUCUGCCUUGCACACAGAAGAUUGAAUUGCCUAAAUCACAGUCUUAUAUGAUGCUAUGAUCACCUCAUAUUGAUAAAAAGUAAUGGGCUUGUUAGUAGGUUUUGAAUGAAGUGGUGACAGGCUUCUGAUCUAGUCUGAUUCCUAAUGGGGAAAUUAGAGCUAUAGCAAUUCUUUUAGAAACAUAGCACAUCAAUCUUUUAUAGCGAUGGGAUAGCUGGGAUGCAGAUGAUCACACCGGUAAAGUGGUGUGCAUUGGCACGGUUUGUUUCAAAAUGUUUGACGGUAUUGUAAGAAUCUUUAAAUGUUUGGCACAUUCUUGAAGUGAGAUUCAAACACCACUUGGUUGUGGCAUGUGUGGCUUGGGCAUAUGGUAGAGAGAUUUGACAGCAUUGUGUAGGUGAGGCUUUUUUUUCGUGGGCAGUAUAUUGGAAAGCUAGAAUUGUUCAAGCAUUAUGUGUUUAGCAAAAUAGACUUGAAUGAAGUUCAACACUAGGAUUCCUAGUACCAAAGGUACAGUGGACUACAUUUGUACUGGUCUUUGGGGUUCCUUUGACUAUUUGUGAGGGUGGUUACAACAUUUGUUAACUUUUAUCCAUGAUUCCUUGAGGAAGGUUUGGGUGUAAUUCCUAAAGCAUUUUAAACAAUUGAAGGCUUCGAUUGAAAACCAAAUGGGAAGAAAAUCAAUCAGUUGCAAAUAAAUAAUAGUUUGGAGUAUGGCUCAGGUGACUUUGAUGAGUUCUGUGAGAAAGAACAGUGAGACACCACACUUCUCGACAUACAUCACAGCAAAAUGGGGUUGUAAAAGACAUGAAUAGGACUCUCUUGGAGCAGGCUCAAUCUAUGAUAUCAAAUGCUAGGCUCAAUAGGGACUUCUAGGCUGAAGUGGAAACUAUUGUGUGCUAUUUAGUGAAUAGAUCUCCAUCUAUAGAUAUUGAGCUGAAGACUUCAGUGGAAGUAUGGUUUGGUUCUUCAUUUGGGGGAUGUGCUCAAUAUUGUCAAUCUACUAGCAAUACCGUCAAAACAUCUUGAUUCGGAUAGUGCAAAUGUAACUUUACAAGCAUGAUCAUCACCCAUUAGUAUUCAGCCAUCACACUUCUCAUGUGUGGCAAACAAGUCUCUAGAAGUGCUAAUGCAAAAUGUGUAAAGAAUCCAUUUGUCACUAACACGAGUAUAUGAUAAUGUUACAACAAUCCUGGCAUCAUCUAAAGAGACUGUGCUUCAAGGCAAGGUGGAGAUUUGUUGGAAAUGAUUUUGAAAGUUGAACGCCACAGUUUCCCCCCCUGGACUUCUUUUUUUGUUGCCCCUACUUGACUUUUUUGUUUCCAUUAUUUUCAAUUUGGUUUAAAGCUCGUUAAAGUCAUUCAAGGAAAAUUGAAAUGUGGGGUAUAAAAGUGUGUUUUGUAAGAGAAUUUGGUGGCACACUCGGCUUGUUUUGGUAGAAAAGAAAAAUGAGAAUUUAGGAGCUUUGAGAGUAAUGGCGCUCAGGUUGUGGUGUUGUAGUGGUUCCUUAUGAGUUUUGGACACUAAAGCUCAUUGUAAUCUUUACCAUCUUCUUCAUUAUAGUGGAAAUUUUUACUCGCCUCUACUUGCAGAUGUAGGUUAGCCGAACUAGGCGAUUACUUUGUUAAAAUUUUAGGAGACCAUCACCUUCUUUGCGUGUUGUAUGUGUAAGCUCAUAAGAUCUCAUAUAAACAACAAAACCACAAUGAAGCACUGCUGUAGUUCAAAUUUUAGUUAUCUUAUGAAUUUUUGCAUGUUGUACGUGUAAGCUAAUAAGAUCUCAUAUAAACAACAAAACCACAAUGAAGCACUGCUGGAAUUCAAAUUUUAGUUAUCUUAUGAAUCUGUGCCUUUGAUAGGAUGGGGAUGAGCUUACUGGUUUACAUUGCUUUCGUCACCUUCGAGAUCAUGUAGUGGCUUCUAUAGAUUCCAUAAACAGGUAUUUAUUUAUGUAUUUGUUUUUCCCAAUUUAUGGCGACAUUAAUGAUAGAGAAAAUGUUAUUCACAAGAUUUCUGCUUGUGAAAUGAUUUAUUAAUUUGUGGUAUGUUAAUAUUCAUUAUUCCUUGUUGCAGCAUUCUUUCGGCAGAAUUUAUGUGUGCUUCAAUACAUGAUACUGGAGAUGCGGAUGCAGUUAUAUUGUUGAAAGCAAAAGCCAGGGCAUCCAGUUCCUUGAAUGGAAAAGAUGUUGAAGUAAGCUUAAUUACAUUCUUUUCUUCUUUUGAACUUGAAUCCUUCUGUUUGGCUGCUUGUAUCUUUAGUAAUGGUGGAUGAUAAAUACCAUUUCAUUUUUCUCGACUGAUUAUGAGCAAGGCAGUCCUAGGAAGGUCCAAGCAGUGAAACACUACAAGUGCUAACUUGUUGCAUUGCCAAUUAUGUGGCAGGGAGCCUUAUAAUUUAAUUUUCAUUUUGCAAUGAGAAGUUUUGGUAGACCUGACCUAGAUAUAGAUAAUCGUGCACUGUGCUGCACUUGGUCAUUAAUUUGGGCAUUUCUUGUCAAUAUUAAAGGAGUGCGCCUGCAUUAUUAUUAUUUGCAUUAUAUUUCUUGCCUUUCAAUUCAAGUUUAAAUUGGAAACAAUAGAAAACGGCUCGAUUUGAGGGCUUUUAAAGCUGACUUUUGAUGCAAUACUCAUGGUAACUUACCAGGAUGUCCGACACGGACCAUGAUGGCUUCGGAAAUAUAAUAUUCUUCAUGUGAUGGUCUUCAUAUCCGCUUUAAACUUGACACAACUCAACUACUAAACUAGUUGGACUUUAUAAUUGGUUUUAUGUUGAAGAGUUGUGGAUGUUGUAGAUCCCAAUGGAUUAAAAGUGAAGAAAAAGGAAGUUUGUGCAGCUUAUAAAUAAUGCUCAGUUUGGUUUGAUGUUUUUACUACUUGCUUUUUGCUAUAUGUUUUUGCUUCCUAAAAGGUUGCUAAAAGUCAAAAGCAAAUAAUUGAUUAAAAAAUGAGCAAAUAACUAAAAUGGGACACUGAAUAACAGAACUAUCCUAUGUAAUAGUAAAAUCAAGUGUUUUGUUCUUCAAAACUAGUAAUUGUUUACCAAUAUUAUUUUCUUUUAGAUCUGUAUGCUCUUUACCUUUUAGGUUUGGUAGCAAAAUGAAAGUAGCAAAAGGAGGAAUCAAAUGGAGCCUCAAUUUGCUAGAAUUGCUUUGAACUGUUAAAGUGCUGUUUACAUUAUUUUUCUUUGUGUCAUUUUCUUUUCUUUCUAGUACUUAAAGGUUUGCAUGUCCUUCUAGGCUCAUAAAACUAUCAUCUCUUGAAGGUCAUGAAAUUUUCAUGUACUAUAUAAAAUUGGGAAUUAUUUGCCUGCCUUCUCUUGAUUGCUCUCUUCUUUCCUAUAAACUUGCACAAUAACUGCUAUUCAUGGUAUUGCUGCUAUUAUGGUUGUGGUGGUCUGAUAUUUUGCAGCUUUGCUUCUCCUGUCAUUUGAUAUGGGGGAAUAUAAGAUUGUCGCUGAUUGUCUGAAUGUUUUGACUUGCCCUGGUCUUUACAUACUAUGCUGCUUGUGUCUACUUAAUUUAAUUAUUUUUCCUUUCCACUAAUAUUAUUUUACUUAUUUGAGAUAAUGCAUGAAAAAGCCCUUGAACUUCAUUGACUUGUGCAAUCGAGUCAUGAAACUAUUUUAUUUUUGUUCAAUAAAUCUAAUAAACUUUUAUCUUUGUCUGAUCUUAUCCAAAAUUGAUGAUGAGUGGAAUUAGGCAAAAUAACUGUCUAUCAAAGUUAUGGUGCGGCAACUCUGUGGCAUAUAAUUAGAAUUAAAAAAGGAAAAUAUAACAUGGAAAUUGUGUCAACACAAAAAACCAAGCCCAAUUCCAAAAGCAGUUAGGUUUGUACAAUGUUUGAGUCAGGAUUUAGCUCAGAGAAGAAAUCAGGGAUCUUUAGAGCUGUUUAGAAGCUGUUCUGUUACUGUGGACAGUACUAUUGAACAGUAAUUUACUGAUUAGAUUUGAAGUUGGAUGGUUGUUUGAGGUUUGCUUAGUAAUGGCUUAAAAGAAGAGGUAUUUAGGGUUUUAUGGUAACAAGAUAAACUGAUAUCAUGUCUGCAUUCUCAGCGAAAGUUGCAGACACUCAAUUAGAAGUGAAGGGGUUAUAUCUAAGUAUCACACUUGACUUAGGGUUCCUUAGGAGUCACACCUAAGGUUGAUUGCAUAGCACAUGCAAGAGCAAAGAAUGCUGGAAAAAGGUUUUGACAUCAACUAGGUAUGGUUUCCUCCAUCCUUUUCCUUAGGUUCUUCAAUAGAAAUAAGAUAUGGGUUUAAAAUUGUUGUCUCAGCAAAAUGAAGUUGGUGUGGGAUUCGUUGCUAGGUCAUGGGCUUAUUUUGAUUUGGGAAUGAGUAAAAAAUAUGUUAAGAACCUUAGCAUAGUUUUAUUUUUCUUGAACAUCCCAAUAGAAAGGUUACAUUGGUAUAUAUGGACUGGCACUCUUACUCGUCUCUAUCUAGGACUUUACUAAUCCUUAUGCUCUAUUGAAGUCUUGAUUUGAAGUAAUUCCAAAUCCAUUAAUAAAACCUUCAAUUUUGAUUAAUUUGGAAGUUGCCAUAAUACUCUUGGUUCUUAAAAGCUUUGGAAAACAAUAAAACAUAAAACCUGCAACUUUCAAAUCUAAAGACAUUUAAAAAUGGGACUUAAUAUCAUCUAUUUUAGUUAAUAAGGUCCUCAGUUAAUCCAAUGUCAAAUGCAGUCAUACAGACUAUAAUCCCAAAUAAUUUUGGAAUAUAUGUUGACUUUUCUUGAAUCUGCAUCAGGGAGUUUGCUAUGACUGGCUUGAGCAUCAUUGAAUAGUGUUUGUAUGUCGUUUUAGAAAUUAUUGUGAAACAAGAGGUUUCAUUGUGAGAAAUGGAAUAUGUUGAAAUAAUUGCAUAGGCUUUCCUUGUUGGCUAUUGAAAAUUGAUUUCAAAUUGCAUACACACACACACACACAGAGAAAAAGGCCUUAGCUAAUUGCUUUGCCUGCAACAGUGCUGUGAUAAGAAGUUAGGGAGAAGAGAGAAAGGGGCCCAGUGAAAUUAGUUGAUAAGUUAUUGAUAUAAAUAAAAUAAUUUUACCACAUAUUUUUGUCUUAAUCUGACUGGUGAUUUUACUUGUCAAAAAAAAAAAAAUCAAAGUCAACGGUUUACCUACCACAUCAUGACAGGGAGGCAGUGGCUUGGAAACGAAUGGAAUUUUCCAUAUUCUGUAAUGGUUUGACCUUGAUUGCAUAAAAAUAGUGAUUUAAUGGCUUGAUUGAACCAAAUAAUAGUUUGAUGGUAAGUGCAAAUUCAGAGUUUGAGGGCUUGUUCAUACUUUAUCCAUGUUUAUUUCUUUAUAUAUUGUUACAGGGACUUUUAUGAGUAAGUUUGAUGAUGCAUUUGGACUUAUAACUAGAAUGGUUAUGUUAGCAGGUUAAGUUGGAUGAGGAGGAAACCACUAAUUUUCGAGAUCGUCUUCUGCCCCUCAUCAUUGGUUUGCUUCGAACAGUGAGUGAUUUUCCCUCUUUCCCAUUUCAUUAUGUCUUUGUUGUUUUCAAAGUUGAGUUGUAUACCAGAGAUGUAUAGCUUGGUCUUUUUAUUUUCCAUGAAAGACUUCAUAGUAAGCAAAAGCUUCAAAUUAGCGAAAGUUGAGCAACCCUGAAAUGUAUUCUGUUACUAUUAUUUAUUGGAGGAGAUUUUUAAGAGCCCUGCUUAAUGUGAUGUUCUACUUUAGGCUUGAGCUUUAACUUCAACUUGAAUCAUUGUUUUGAUAUGUCUAGAAUUGGUGAGAUUGGUUUAACUUUUUGAACUGCUUUUUAUGUAGUCUUGUAUUAAACUUAAGGUUAUAUUUAAGAACAAAUACUUGUAAAUAUCUGGCCAGAAACAAUGAUAACAAAGAGCUCUUUAGGACAAUAUAAAAACACACCGUGCCAGAAGCAACCUGUCAGCACCAAUAAGGUUUACAUGUGAAAUUUUAGAUAUAUAUGCAAUUCAGAAUUUAUUAAUCGUAACAAAUUAGUUAAAAAGAUAUCAAAUUGUCAUCUUGCCUGGUUGAUGACAUAACUGUUAUACUAGUCCCUUUUUUUUUAUAUGUUUUUUUGAUCUUAUAGAAGAUGAAAAAGAUAUCAAGUGAUACCUCAAUUUUAUUAUUAUGUUAUCUAUUUAAUUCUUGCAAAGUUUCUGAACUUGUUUAAAUGCUCAAGAAUUUACUUUUGAAAUAUAUUUGGUGGCUGUGAUUAUAUCACACCAAAUCUUGGAAGAAUAGUAAAGCUAGUAGACAAUUUGAAGAACUUGGAAGGAAUUUGGAAGGAUAAGGAUUGGAUGGAACAAUAUUGAAGUCUUUCAAGGUCAAAUAUGUCUCAUGGGGUCCCUGGGAGAAACUGAUUGAUUGAUGUGUUUAGUCGAGAAUCUAAGCAUAUUUCAAAUAUAUGUUCAAAAGAUUGCUGAAGGAAUAACUCUUGGUGUCUCAUUGUUUUGUGGAAGAAUAUUUUAAUUUCAGUUUUCUUAAAACGUAAAAUCUUGUAGUUCGUUCAUGUACCAUUGAAAGUUGCCCCAGAAGAGUUUCUUUGAAAGCUAAAUCUGAAGGAAAUUUUAAAGUAGCAAUGAUUUCUAUUGAAAUAUGGGUUAGAAAGAGCUUUCUAUAUUCAAAUUUGUACACUUCAAAAUUGUUCAACAUAUUUCAUAAUAACGUUUAUGUUUCUGAAUGUUGAGUUAUGAUCAAAUUAGUUGUCAGUUAUAUGCAAAAUCACAUUGUUAUAUCACAGUUGAAAGUUUUAAAUUACAAGUGUAAAUGAGCUGACGUGAGCUGAGGUUUUUCUUAUUCAAACCCGGCUUGACUAAACUUUAUCAUGCUCAAAUAAUAAUUGAGCUCAACGUGAGAUUCAGAAAAUCUAUUCAGGCUUGGCUUAGCUACUUAACCCAGCUUUAAGCUGAACAUGAAUUUAUUACAAGCUCAUUGGCUUAGCCAAAAAUGAGAGCUUUACGCUCACUUAAAAAAAUGAGGCCUAUAUGUUCUAGGCUAGUGAGUCAUAGGCAGAAAUGGCCUUGACUUAGGUAGGGUCAUGCAUGUGCUUGGACCCCUGUAUGCUUCAAUGUUGAUUAGUAAAUGUUGUGGGGAGGAACAUAAAAUGGGAAGAGCCCUACCCUGCCCUUAUAUUUCAGAUCAAUGUGUGAUUGGUCGCUAGAAACAGAAGAUUUCUUUUCUAUCCCAUGUCUCUGUUGUACCUAGUGCGUGUAUUUGGUUCUAUAGAAAAUUAUCUUACAAUAAUUAUUUUGGGGAAAAUUGCCCAGUUGAUCACCAAAAUUCUAGACUUUUCUAAUUUGGUCACUCAACUUUCAAAAGUUACAUUUUGGUCACUAAUGGUAUAAAAUUUGGGCAUUUCUUGGUCACCUGCCACUAGACACUAAAAGAACUCAUACCUGGCAUUAUGAGUCAGUUUUUUUGCCAGUGGCAUGUGGCAUGUAAUAACAUGAAGUAAAAUUCAACAAAAAUUUUGGUCAUCCAAGUUUUCAAGCUGUUCUGUUUUUGCACCACCUUGCAAAACUUAUGUUUUGGUCACCAAAAAUGGGUGAUGAGGAAUGUCAGGUUUGAGUUUCCAUAGUCUCGAACAGGGAGUGAGUGAAAAAAUGCAUAACUUCUCUAAUCUUGGUGAUCAAAACAUAACUUUAAAAGGUGAGUGACUAAAACCGAAAGGUACGAAACUUUGGUAACCAAGUGGGUAAUUGACCCCAGAACUAUUUUCUUCAAUUCCUUCAAGAAAGUUCUACAAGGAAGACUUAUUGCAGACAUGCAGUUGCAUAAUCCAAUCUAUUAACCCCGUUUCCUUUUUAUCUUUCUUACCUUUAUCAUGCACUUUUAGCUUUCUACUUUUAGUGGUGGAAUCUAAGGUUAAAUCCAUUAUAGAAAAAACCAUCUCACAAUAUGGUGGUUGUUUUUCAGGCCAAGCUCCCCUUUGUCCUGAGGACAUAUCGUGAUACACUUACUGCUGAUAUGAAAACUGCUAUUAAGACUGCUGUUGCAGAGCUGCUUCCUGUUCUUGUUGCUCGACCUCUGGAGUCUGAUUUAACUGCAGAGCGUUCUAUGGACAUAGAUGGUAGGAACUACUUGGAUAAGUAAAUCUUCCAUGUUCAUCUUCACACACAGCAUGUGUAAAAUUAUUUAUUUGUGGAGUUCUCAAACUUCUUGCCCCUUCUCUAUGGAUUGCGGUGAUUUUUGUGUUUGCAUGUGUGUGUGUCUACUCUGUUGCUUCUAGUUGUUAAUGCUUACCAUCUGAUGACUUAAGGUGGAGGCUCAUCACUUGCAAGCAAAUUGAGGAGCUUGUCAUCUGAAAGCUUUGUUCAACUUUUGGCUGCUAUUUUCAAGAUUGUACAGGUAAUGUAUACUGGCCUACUACCAGACUAAGCAUUUAUUGAAGUUUUAAAUGAUAUGGAAGGCAUAAUUUAUGACAUCCUGCAUAAGGUCUGAGACUUUUUUAUGGCUUGAAUAUGAUAAAGAUCUUUCUUGGAAACUAAUUUAAAUGUUUGAUGGAGGAAAAUGAUCAUGACUAGGAUAAACUGAAAGAGAACUGAGUUUGCUGUUAUAAUGGCAUUCUGAGCAAGCCAAUCUUGUGUACAUUCACUGAAGCAUCUGAAUUAAGGUUUGAAGUAUUAAUAGUUCAUUGUCCAUUUGCUGUUCUCUGGUCAAGGCCUUCUGUGAUUUGAUUGGUAAAUGAGAUGAGCCAUGGGUUUGGUUAUCAGUUAAUAAACUAUGUCUAACAAACGGGUUCUAACAUUGACUAGGUAAAAAGAGUGAUUUCUGGGUAUUGGUGUAAGUUUGCUAGGGUGUCAAAGUCAGGUCAUUUGUUUCAUAGCAGAUGGUAAUAUGUCCGCUCCUUAAGGCUGUCCUUUUGACAGGAUUAUGGGGAUUGAGGGUGGACUUAUCCUAUGAGAGGCUUGAGCUCCUGUUGCAACAUGGGUUUGGAUUGCUGUCUUGUGCAAUUGAGGCAUUUAUUCUGCACAGGAUUGUGAUACCAUAACAUUCAAUUAUUAGAUUGGGUAUUGUGUCAUUUAUGCACCCUUGUUAUUCAUUGUUUCUUCACUUUUUUAAAUUUGGUUUUCUUUGGGGAUAAGAGCCAAAUGAGCCUGUCCAACAAAUGAGGGACAUUGAGUUUGGAAAUUUGUCUCAAAUUUUUGGUUAAACUGAAAGCUUAUCCUCAAGAUGGCUGGAUGUAUAAAUAAAGUUGUAAAGAGAUCAUUAGGGUCUUAAACCAAGGUUGAAAGUAUAAGACAAAACAGAACAGUGGCUAAAUAUUGAUAAAUAAUUGAAGUUGUAAUGAUAUCAUUAGGGUCUAUGAUAAGAGAUGAUAUUAAAACAGGGUGGCUUCUUAGAAUGAGUCUAGAAGACUAUUCUAGGGUUGCAUCAAUUAAUCCUAGACCUUGGUUACUAAUCAAUAUUCUUGUAAUCAAUUAAUUCUAGGGUUACUGGCUUGCAAUAUGUGUCUCCUUUGGAUAUAUAUUUUCCCCAACAAAAAUGGGGAGCACUUGUUCUAUUUAACAUAAAGAAGUUACCUGUCACAGUAUCUUUCUAUGCUUGAUUAACUUUUAAUAUGAUGUUAAGCUUGGUAUAGUUGCUUCUUUAUGAAAAUUUUUAGUUUUGCUUAGUAUUUAAGUAAGAUGUAAUAUGAUUUCAUUUCUUUUAGUGAAUGCAGGCACAUUUAGUGCGGGCUGCUGAAGUGAAAAGGGCCAUUGAGUGGAUAAUGUGCAACCUUGAUGGUCAUUAUGCUGCUGAUUCAGUUGCUUCUGCAAUUGCUCUUGGUGCCAUGGUGGCAGAAUCUUCUCAAGAGAGUAAUGGUCAAGGUGGUCCACUUCUUCCAUAUGCGCCUUUGAGGAGUACUGCCAAGGCUCUUUCAUCCCCAGGGAAAGCAAGUGAUGCAAUAAGCCCCUCUAAUUUGUCAAAAAAUUUCAGGUUUAGCCCUCUAGUAUCUUUGCUAAUUAGCAAUGUUCGAACAAUAUUUGUGCUGGAACAUACUCUCUUAGCAUAUGAGGUGGUUUUUGGUGGUUGGGGUAGAUAGGAAUAUGCUCCCGAGGGUUUUAAAUGGUAAUUUCCUAUUUCUUCCCACAAUUGUAUUGGUAAAUGGAAAAUAUUGUGGAUUUAUGUAGGAAGAGAGUAGUGGCAAAAUCUUCUUAACUGUUUUCAAAAUGUAUCGUUUUUCAAUUUCCAAAACCUUUGGAUACUCAAGAUGUGAACAAUGAUAAUUUUCUGACCUUUCUAGUGAAAGUUGUAACGUUUGGCUUUAAAAUUGAUAAAUCUGAAUCAAAUUCUCUAAGGCAAAAAUAUUUUAAUUUAAAUAAAAUUGUCGAAAGAAAAGAAACUCAGAAUCGUCUAAAUGCUGCAGAAUGAUGUAGUGCAAAUAUGUUAGCUUGUUGUAUUUUAAAUUAAAUUGGUGAAAUAAAAAACUCAAGACUUGUCUGUUUGGCAUUUGUAUCUUAUUUAUAAUACUCUAGGAAAAUUUGAUCCUUGGCAGGGCUGAUGUUUUAAGAGAAAACACUGAAGCAGUCUUUGCAGCUUGUGAUGCUGCUCAUGGAAGGUGGGCAAAGCUGCUUGGGGUUCGUGCUCUUCUUCAUCCUAGGUUGAGAUUGCAAGAGUUUUUGAGCAUAUAUAACAUCACUCAAGAGUUUAUAACUGCUACAGAGAAGGUAUUCAUUGUUUUCUUCUCUAUAUUGAAAUAAAGGAUUUUCUGGAAAAGAAAAAAAAGAAGAGAAGAUAUAAUGGAUUUGAAUAUCCUAUCUGUGGUGGUGAUGGUAUUCCAUGUGAACUUCAACAGAUUGGCGGAAGGUUGGGAUAUAGCAUACGUGGAACACUACAGUCACAGGCCAAAUCCUUUGUUGAUUUCCAGCAUGAAUCUCGAGUUAUUUCCUGAUUCCAAUUGUCAGUUGUUUUUCGUAUUUCAUUCUGUUGAUACUGGAAUAAUUUUUUUUUAUCAUCUACUGCAGAUGACAAAAAUAAAAGCAGUGCUUGACCAGGAGACAUGGGUAGAAGUUGAUGUUCCUGAUGAAUUUCAGGCAAUUGUGUCUUCACUACUUCAUUCUGAAGCAAUAAUUUCUGGAAACAAGGAUAAUGCUGAAACUAAUAUGACAAGCUACAGUGAUAUGGUUGCAAGCAAUGAAGGUUCACAAGUGGCUGACACUGGAUUACAGGGUGCUUUAGAGCAACAAGAGCAGACUGACUCUAGUGGCGCAACUGCACUCAAUGCUGCCCAAGGGAAGGCUGAGGCGAUUGAGAAAAUGAAAUCUGAUUCAGUAACUUCAUCUCAGAGUAACAGUAGUAACAUGAAGGAACGUGGAAAACCUACUACUCAAAUGCUUGAAUAUGGAGGUGUUGGUUAUCACAUGGUAAACUGGUUAGUUAUCUUGUUUUAUUAUUGUUAUUUUUUUUUCUUUUCUUCUUCUUCGUUAUCUAUUUAUAAGUUGUUCUCUUCUUCUUACACUCCUAUGCUUUCCUUUUCCUAAAAUGUGUUCCUUAUGAAGUUGAGCUUUUAGUUAGGAUUUUAAUCCUCUCUCUGGAGCAAUAGUUUGCUCUAUUAUGUUUAGCAAUGUGACUAUGUUGACUGUAUUUUUGUAUAUACACUUGAUACAUGUUUAGUAAUAGUUAGACAAAAUUUGCAUAAGAAACAAGCCAUAAUACCAUUUGUUUUUCUUUGUUGCUCCUUUCAGUGGCUUAAUAUUGGUGAAGAUGCUGUCGGAGUACAUUGACAUGAAUCAUCUUUUGCCAUCACUGUCCUUGGAAGUGGUUCAUCGUGUUGUGGAGAUUUUAAAAUUUUUCAAUACGAGAACUUGCCAACUUGUCCUGGGUGCUGGAGCCAUGCAGGUAUGAAGUGGUUUUGGUAACUAGGAUAUUUGCAUUCUCAGAAGUUCUACUUGAGAAUAAUUUGAUUAAAAUCUGAAGUGUUCUGAAUAUGAGAUGGGUCUAAUCAGAUGUCGCUUUUCCUUGUGCAUGUAUUCAUGAGCCCAAGUAGUGGCCUAGAAACAUCUUGAACUAUAUGUUGAGAAGUCUAUGAUGUAAUUUACAUGAACUCAAUUUGACGUUAGGCUAUUGUCAUAGUUUUUUUUUAUUGAAUUUGUGUGGUAUUGCAGGUUUCUGGUUUGAAGUCCAUUACUUCUAAACAUUUGGCCUUGGCAAGUCAAGUCAUUAGUUUCACAUAUGCUAUUAUUCCUGGUAGGCUAUGAUAUAAUCCUUAUGUCACUACUUUUUUGAAAUCGUUUAUGCUGCUCUGAUAGGAAAGUUUUUUGAAAUGCAUCAGCUGCAUCAUCCUUGUUGGCAACUUUUAGCUAUAUCCUGUUCGCAGACUGAGGAUCUUUUCAAUUUUUAAAUAACUUUGGUGUCUUUUUGGUCUGGUUAGAUUUUCUGUUUCUUGAGUUUAGGAGGAUUAUAUUUUUUUUCCUUUUUUUGUUGUUAAUUUUUUAUUGUGCAUGUGCUUUUGGUGCAUGGACAGACUUAUGCUAAAUCAUAAAGGCAAUGGUUUUGAGUUGAAGAGCGACAUCAAAGAAAUGAAUACAUGGAAAUCUGAGUGCUUAAAACACUAUGUUUGGGAGCUAUGAGGGGAAGGGAAGGAGAGGAAAGGGAGGGGGAAGGGGAAAACACGGUUCCCCUUGUUUUGAUAGCUUAAAGAUGAGGGGGGAAAGGGAAGGGAGGGGUACACCAACCUUAAUUGGUAAGGAGUGGAAAGUGAAGGGAAUGAUAACUUAUAAUAUCAUUUUCCUAUUUUAUACUUUAUGAGUUAAAAUGAAAUGUUAAAAUAUGGAUAAAUGUCUUUGCUGUAAAAAAUUUUAAUGAGAAAUCCUUCCUCUUCAAAACUCUCCAGUUUUGAGGGUUUAAGAAAAUCAAGGUGUGGAGGGCUUUGGAGGUGUACAUAAACCCCACUAAAUCCCUCUCCCAUUUAAAUCUUUUCCAAAAAGUGAGAGGUAGUAUUCCCACUCCCUUCCCUUCCCCUUCCUUCCAUACCCGCAACCCAAACACAAUGUAAAUGAUAGAGUGCCUUGAGGUCUGUGUACAUUUAUAAAUAUAAUAUAAUUAACAGAAAAUCAGGUUAGCAGCCUACUUUAGUGUGGUGGUAGGACUGACGUGGUGCAAAAUGAUGAGUUGCGUGUCUCGGAUGUGAUUCCCUAUGCAAGUAAAAGAAAGAUGGUAGAUGUAAUGCUUUUAGCAAUAGAAGCAGAUGAAAGAGAAGCUACUCAGUGAGUAGCAAAAGGGCAGUGUACCAUGAUCCAAAAUAGUGAACCAAUGAAGAAUACCCCGAUCGUAGCGUCAAAUAAUUAACCCUCAUACCUUAUUCCUAAACUCAUGUCACGUCUCAGGCCGUACCAUGUUCGUGGUAACUAUGAUUUGAAACUGUCCCAUUAACUUUUUGUGCAUAAGAAGCUUGACCCUGUCUCGAAAAUUGAUUUGCUGCCCCCCAAACUGCUGUGAACAGAUCCAAAUUGAUGCAAAGAAGAUCAAGUUUCAAGAAUCCAAAGAAUUAAGUUGCUCUUUUUACAAAUUUGUUUUCAUAAAUGAUGAACUAGAAAUGUGAAAGCAGCACACUGGCAAAUCAACUGUCAGAUGAAGUUGAUUUAUGACCCUUAUAAAACCAAGGAAUGUUAUGAGUUCAAACUGUUUAUGUUCUUUGGUUCUAACAGUUAUGGUUAAGACAUCCUAUUCUUUUCAAACAUGAACUGAUUUUGCUUUCUUGCUUAUUUCAUACAUACAUUUCCUUUUUUGUUAGUUUCAUAUUCAUGAUUGAAAUAUAACCAAAAAUUUUGCCAAGUAAUUGAUGACUGCUAUGUUUCUGUUCUAAGAAAUCAGGCAAAUCCUGUUUCUGAAAGUUCCCGAGCCUCGAAAGUCACUAUUGUUGUUGGAGUUUGAUCGAGUAGCACAGGUAUAAGGCUUCAUCUCUUUUUCUUCAUUUUACCACAUCGACAACUCUCCAUUUAUUUAUUUAUCCUUCGUUUCUGUUUUUGUUUUUGUUUUCCUUUUUUUUUUUUUUUUUUGGGGGGGGGGUGGGUGGGUGGGUUGAGGGUUGGGGCAUGUUGCAGCAUUUUGUUGUUUAUUGUUAUAACAUAGUUUGCCUGUGGUUUUCUGCCCUCCAAAUUUUAUGGAAAAUCUUAGAAAAGAUUAUAUGUACCUGGGUCAGACACAUACCUUUGUCCUACACUCUUGAGUCUGAGCAACAUAGAUUGGAUAUGAUGUUUUGUUUAAAUUUCCUGAUAUGAUUUUUUUUUCCAUAUUUUCUAUUUAACAGAAAAUAACUUUUUAUUUAUUUCAAUCUGGAUAGAGAUAUCUUUGUCACUGACACAUAGUUAUUAAAGCUGUGUUGGUUGGCUGGUAAAAUUAAAUAGGAGCAUCUGAGAAGAAAACUAAAAGCUAAGAGGGUGCCCUUUAGUUUAAUUGAAUCAGUUCAUAAACUUCAUUUGUAGCUAGUCUUUAUUUGUGUCGUUCUGUUUCUUUGUUCUACUAAUGUUUAUUGAAGUGUCAAAUGGCUACUGUUAAGUGGUUUAUCCCUCAUUGGUUGAGUCUUGAGCAUAGUGACCAGGAUGGUGACAGGGGUAUGUAUGUCUUUGCUGACAAGAAUUCAGUGAUACAUAUGAAUCAUAUGUGCAAUUGUAGUCUAAUAGCUCAAUUUACCUUUUCUCUGCCAAAUCUCUGACACUGUUUCAUUUUCUAAAUUCAGGAUUAUAAGGUUCAUCGUGAUGAAAUACAUACAAAGCUUGUUCAGAUAAUGAGAGAGAGGUUGUUGGUUCAUCUGCGUGGACUGCCCCAGAUUGUUGAAAGCUGGAAUAGGCCAGAAGAUGCUGAACCACAGCCCAGUCAAUUUGCUCGAUCCCUUAUAAAGGUAGCUACCGUGAUUAGCUCAAUUUAAUUCUAGGGGUUCUUACCUUGUUUAAUCCCGUUCUUUUUCAUUUUGGUCUGUGAUGGAUUCAGUUUAUAAGGGCACUUUAUUAGUUGAAGAAUCGUGCAAAAAUUGAGUGUCAUACACAUAUGUAUAAAGGUUUUGAAAUUAGUGUUUUAUGCAGCAUAUCUUUAAAUCUUUUUGAUAGUUUUCUAAGGUAAUUAUUACUUGACAUCAAAAAGGGUGUUUGGUUCCUAGUAACGGUAUAAAUAAUGCAUCUUGUUUUUUUUUUUGUUCCCCCCUCCCCAUUGAAGCCCAUCUACCACCCGUUCCCUUUUUUCUUUUGUUUGUCUCCAUCCCCACCCCCCUCUUUUCCCCUAAGAUGGUGUAUCUUGCUUGCUUGUCUUCCUUCCCCAUCGCUUGUUUUUCGUGUUGUUGCUGUUUUUCAAUUUUUAAUUGAGCCUCUUUUUUAACUGUUUGGCAUUGGGAUCAUGGAUCCUAUUAUGCCAUUGUGCUUUACUGAGGCAGAAAAGGUAAGGUUCUUUUUUAUAGUUUUUAUGUCUUUUUUAGACAUUCUCUGCUGAUUUUGGCAUGACAAUGCGGUACAGGAGUAGAUAUGGUACAAAAAGCUAGAAUAAAGUCUAAAACUGAUGUAAAAUUGAAGUUGGAACAAGAAAACUAGGGUCUAGGAUUGUAGGACCAGUAAUAGUUGAUAUUCCACUCUAUUACAGCUGCCUAAUGUGUGUAAAGGACUAUUUAGACUAGAGUUACAUUGUUUUUAAUCCUAGCCUUGGAUACACAUAUAUGCCAUCAGCCAUCUACUUAGCGAUUCAAACUUAUUAUGAGAUCACAUUCUAGUAACAUGAGCACUUAAUAAAGUGAGAACAUUAUUACUAAUCAUUAAAGUAAAACAGAAAACAUUUAGAAAAACAUAUCAAGAUCUUCAAUUUCGAUUAGGGCUAUGUAGUACAUCCACUAUCUGACAUGUGCAUUUAUUUUAGAUCAAAUCUUAUAUUCUUCAAUCACACAGAUUAUGAUAUCGAAACUUCUUUCUACAGUAUGUCUUGAUCUCUGAUUCUCAUUGUGACUUCAUUAUCGUUUCUGCCCAAGUUAAAUUUGCAUUUGAUGCACUCCCUCUAAGUCCUUAACUGAACCCUUUGUCUUAAAAGUCACUCUCCCCAACUCAAGCUUAGCUUUAAUCGUAGCACUAUUCCAAUCCUCUUAUAUGCCUAGCAAGUUCCUGGUUGGCAGAUCCAGAACCUUGUAUUCUGGUGUGUGCUUCUGUUUGAUGAUUUGGUUUUGGUGGAUAAGACCGGCAGUGAUUAUAUAAAACUGCUUUCUUUUUCUUGCUCUGUUAUUUCAAAAAGACAAUAUUUCUUAUCAGUUUUUAUUCUUUUUCCCUAUUGAUGUUCAUUUAGUGGUUGAGUUGUUACUGAGCUGUUAGUUUAAAAGCUUAAAACAGUUGAAACUAUUUUCCAAAACAUCACUUAUGUUUAUCGUUCUUUUGUAUGACCUUAAAUAAUUUGAAACUAAUGUCAAAUCAUCAUUUUGUUUAUUUAAUUUUCAUUGUAGUAUUUUACUUGGGGUACCAUGGUCUCUGCAAGCAUAGUACAUUUUUAUGUGAUCUUAAAGGAAUGUGUUAACAAGUAUAUUUUAAUGUAGGUUUUAACUUUUGUAUUAGGUUUCUUGUUCAAGUGUCACUAGUUCACUUGUUUGUAUGUUGGACAAUAAUUGCCACGGAUGAAUUGAUUUUGAUUGGCUGUUCAAUUUGUUUGCAGGAAGUUGGCUACCUCCAACGUGUUUUAUCUCGAACAUUGCAUGAAGUAGACGUUCAAGCAAUUUUCAGGUGAGGCAAAUUGAACUUUUAAGCAAUUUCCAGGAACCUGCUUAAUUCGUCCUUAUACCAUUGUGUAACCUGUUAAGAGAAAAGGUUAUCAUGCCAUGAUAAACUUUGUCUAAGAAGUAUAAUGGCUAUUCAUAUGCCGUUUGCAAACUGUUUGGAGAAAUUUUCAAAAUGUUCUUUGGACCAGGAGGUAAAUUUGAACAAUGGAAAAUUUCUGGGAGUGUUGAAUGGCAAUCCUAUCCUAGGUUUAUUUUAUAUUCCUAGAUGGACAUUGAAUGUUAGAUCUCCUGCCCAUGAUAUGAGGAGUAGGUGCAAUUUCAUUUAAAGCCUUUUAAAGUCCUGUUGUAAAUGAUUUUUAUCUUAUCUUAUAUUUUGUUGAUCCCUGUUACAAUGCCAGUGAAUCUUUUGAUAAAAUGACUGGCCUGAUGAUGUUUGGCUGGGAAAGGCUUGAAUUACAUGUUAGUCUAUUCCGGCAAAUAUUUAUGAGAAGAGAUCCAUUUAUCUUGGUAUAAAGAAUGAGCAACUUUUGCACUUCUACAACUUUCUUUAAGGUUAUCGUUCAUCAAAUUUGCCAUUAUACUGAUAUGAUAUACGUAAAAUCUUGAUUGGUGAAAACUUCUAGCAGCAUUUACGAUUUGCUCUGUCCUUUAACUGGUGGAUUUUUUUCCCUUUCUCUUCUGUUUACUGACAUUAAAUUUUGUUACACACUAAAGUCAUCUACCUCACUCUAGGUGAGUUGGGAUAAGAUCAUGCUCUACUACAUGGAAACUUACUGAAUAUCGGAAAAGAACAUUGUACUUUUAUCAAGCAACUGCACAUUCAUUUAUUUUCUCUUGAUGAAUAAUGAAAGAAAUAAUUAUUCAUGAAAGUGAAUUGUUCCCUUCAAUUACACAUGCUACGCUUUGCAGGCAAGUUGUUGUAAUCUUCCAUUCGCAAAUUUCAGAAGCAUUUUCACGCUUAGAGAUCACCACUCCUCAGGCAAAAGAUAGGUAUUGUACUGUUUGUGGAUUUUUAUAUGAACUUCAAAUAUGAUUCUGUUUGUUUUUUCUAUGAUAACAAGCUGGCAGGCUUUAUAAUGGUUUAUUUAAUAAUUUUCAUGGCAGGCUGCAUCGUGAUAUUAAACACAUUCUUGGAUGCAUUCGAUCAUUGCCGACUGAUAAUUUGAACAAUUCUGCUACCCCUAACUGGGGGCAACUGGAUGAGUUUCUAGUGCAAAGGUUUGGGGCAGAGGCUGGUUGAGGUUUGUUGUUUUGUACAGUAAUAGAGACCACAUUUGAAGGGAACACUUGGGGAUUUGUCAGAACCAAUUCUCAGCCUAUGCAGUUGCUUUGUAGAAUUAAAUUGAGGUAGGGAAUCUAUUCUGUUUCUCUCUCCCUCUAGAUUGAUUAUUGAAAUGUUUUAAGUAAGAAAAUCAAAAUAUAGAUAUCUAAUAAUUCAUCUGACAACAUAAUCUUAUUCUUCCUUAGUCAUUAAUCUUGAAGCAUUUACCACGGGUUGGUUGUAGAGAUAUUGGGUGCAAUAUAUUUCAUGUGAUGCUUUUUUGUUACAAGUUGCCUAAUAGGUGGCAUCUAUUAUCAGCAACCUGGGGCAGCCUCAAAUUUCAUAAACCUCAUUUUGGUUUGAGUUAUGACAACAAAUGGCAUGUAUAUCUCUGAGUACUUUCCCCUGGGGUUCAUGUUCGAGUCUUUUGCUCAUCAGUUGUCACCUAAUUCCUUUACCCUUUGAAUGAAUGUGCAUGCUAGGUUUUUGACAAAAUUGCAUAACAUCCCCAUAUUUUAUUAAGCAAAUUUCUUUGGAAAGAUAAAAGGGAUGUGCUUUUUUUUCGAUGCUAACAAUAAGAGUUGUUUGAUGUUUUGUUUUUGCUUCAGGUAGAUUGUGAAAAAUAGUACAAAAUCAGAUUGAAAUGUUGCGGCAGGAAGGAAGCAUUAAUAGUUUUGGGAGUCACAGUUGAAUCUACAUAUACACAUCAUUUAAUCAUUACAUAGUUUGUAAUGGAAUAGAAUGGUCGGGUCCGUCCAUGUUUUGUUCCCUUCAUGUAAUUUUUGAGUAAAAACAGUGAAACAAAUUGAGUUUCCUCUCCCUCCCCCAAAGUCCAACCAUUUGAGUGAGUGAUCAGCAUUGGUUUUGCAUUUUGUUCUCUUUUCCCUUUCUUGUUUUCUCAUUAUUUUUUAUUAGGGCUAUAUGGAAUUGGACUUUAAUUGUUAUUGAUGUAGCAAAUAAAUUUCGUUCUUCAUUUGUUGUUGCAUCACAUUAUCUCUAUUCUUUUUUUUUUUUUUGUUUUUUGGUUAAAAAAAAUAACAAAAGAAUGAACCAAAUGGAGUGUUCAAUUAUUCAUGUUUUAAUCAGUACAAUGUAAUCUAGUUGAAUCUACAUGUAUAUCAGUUAACUGUACAUUAUGCAUGAAUUUUCAGAGGACAGUUUAGUCUGGUGUAUAUCAUAUAACUGUAGAAGACACAUGAAAAAGAUAAAUUUAAUCUUCGCAACCUAAAUUUGGUUACACUUGAAGUAAUCUCCUACACUCAAAUUGAACUCCUUUCACCCAAUCCAAUUUACUUAUAGUUAGUUAUUUUCAUUCUCAUUGAACCAACUGUCUUUUCCUUAGGGGUGGCAAUUGGCGCUUGGGUCUUUUUGGAUCGAAAGAAGUUGUAGUAAUUUCGAGUUUGGAUAUGGGUCCUUUUGAGUUUGAAUCAUUACGAGUUCGGAUUGUUUCGAAUUUGACUCUUGAGAUAUUUAGAUUCAAGUCAUUUCCAUCAAGUUGUUGAUAUGUAAAAUUAAUUUAAUCUUUUGAAUAGUGCAAAUUUAGAGUAUUUUGGUUUCAAAUCAAUUCAGUUAUGAGCCGUUUCGAUUCAAGUUAUGUCAAAUUCGAGUUAUUUUCAAUUUAGGUAUAGGUUUAGGUUUGAGUUGAGUUGAUUAGAUUGUUUUCUUUUUUGAUUAAAUCUAAUUAAGUCUGGUUCGGAUAAAUGAGAUGACCUUUUCGGACUUAGUAUGAGGCAAGCUCAAGUUUCCCCGGUGAAUAGAUUAUCCAUUAUUCAAGUCAUGCAAGCAGGAUGCACUCAGGUGGUUCUUUGCCCAACUAGCCGAAAUCAUACAGGAUCGGGCUCCAGCUUUGAGUUCAGCUGUGUGGCCUUACAAGAUGGUUUAUUCCUUACCAAAGGGAAAAAGAAAAUGACGCCUUAAUCUAAUUUACCCUGAUCAAACUUGGAUUGCAAUAGGGAUUGAUUCCCUUUUCAACUUGAGGAUCAUCAUUUUAUUGUUAUUAUAUUUUGGGGGAAUAUAUAAUGACCCUGCACUCUGCAGUGAGUGAUAUUGCUCUUCUCCAAACCUAUUUUUUCUGAGUUUUGAGUUGCAAAUUGAACUCCUGUCCGACCGGUUGCCUCAGUCCUGAGACCUCCACAAUUUGGAAUAUUGCAUUCUUGUCUAAUCUUGCCUUCACAAGUGGAUUUGCAUGCAAGUUUGUUUUGUUGUUGCCACUGCUUAAUUCAUACCCUUUCAACCUCUCAACAUUUUCCAACCCUAUGAAUGUCACUCUCUCUAUCAUCCACUUUUGACUCAAAGCAAAUGCUCCAUUCUCAACCUCUGAUCUGACAAACACUUCAUCGCCGGAAGAUGAAAUUCCUCCAUAAAAUCUCACCAAACUCCACUUGCCCCCCUCUACUCCCAUCUCCACUUCCUCCCCGUCAUCCAAGAAAACUUGUCCAGUCAUGGUUUCGGUGCUGCUGACAGCCACCAAGAGUUGGAAUGGUGUCAUACGAGCAGCUUUGGUUGUCCUGGCCUCUCCCUGCAUGGCUAUAAUGUUACCUUCUCGAACAUGCACGUUUAUAUGAUCUCGUGGCGCAGCAAGGGUGAAGUAUUUUCCAGAGUUUGCACUCACUGAGUUGGAGUAAUUGAAGAGGUCAAACCAAUUUCCGGAUGGGAAGUAAGCAUCAACAGAGACUGCUUUUGACUUCAGUACAGGUGACACCAUUAUACCCUUUCCGAGGAGAAAUUGCGAAUUGAUUUCGUAAGUGUGAAUAUCCUGGGGGAAUGUGAAGAAAAGGGGCCUUGCAAUGGGAGUUCCUUUCUGGUGUGCCUCGUACAUUAGAGUGUAAAAGUAUGGGAGCAGGCGAUAGCGGAGGCCGAGCACCUUCCUAGCUGAUGCAGCAACUGAAUCCCAGAGAUAGAGCUCUUGACGAAUCGUAUAAAAGUCAGAGUGAUCUCUAGCAAAAGGGUAAAAGGCCCCAAGCUGCAUCAAAUUAGGCAAAUUAAAACUUGUUUGAUCACAUGAAAGAGCAUAUCAGUUGGUGUUCGAAAUUAAGGCUGAGGAACUUUUCCUUACCUGAAUCCAUCGUUGGCACAGAUCUUCAGUCGUAUCCCCGGAAAAGCCACAAAUAUCAGCUCCUACCAUUGGAAUCCCAAAGAGUCCGAAAUUCAAAAUUGAUGGGAUUGUGUAUGCCAAAUCCUCCCAAGUGGCUACAUUGUCUCCCGUCCAGUGGGCUGCAUACUUUCCCGAGCUUACAAAAGUUGAUCUGCUAAGUAUAAAUGGCCUUUUUCCGGUCACAUUAAUCAAUGCUGCGUGAGUAGCUUUGCAUUCUAGUAAACCAUACAGGUUAUGGGCAUUGUACUCUGUCAGGUUACCAAAAUGUAGAGAUGCGGCAGGAACCGUUUUGUUGUUGAUAGGCCGCUGGAUUCCCUGGUUAUUAAUCUUGUAUGCAGGAUCAUCCAGGGCAGAAUUUGGGGUUGGAGGGGAGGUUAUGAAAUUGGAUAUCUCGUUCAUAUCGAGCCAAAGACCAUCAACAGGGAGAAAAUCUCGAAACGUUUUGAUCUCACCAGCCCAAUAUGUUUCAGUGCGCGGAUUUACAAAAUCUGGGAAGUAGACUGGACCAGGCCAAACUUGUCCCAAGUAAGGGACGCCAUCUCGUUUUAUGAAUAUAUCAGCUUGCAUCCCCCUGAUGUAGGUUCCAUAUGUACUGUUUACACUGAUUCCUGUGGAGAUUGCAUGAAGUGAAAAAUUUAAUGUACUUGUUUCGAGAAUGCUUAACAAAUCUGAUCUGUUCAAACAUGCAUUAAUGCAAUCUGAAUUUCAGCAUUAAUAUCUAGAGAGUCUUGACAGACAUACGUACCAGGAUCUAUGAUGACCACGUAUUUCUGGUCAUUCUGAUGAAGCUUAUCAACAAAUGUUUUCAUCUGGUCCUUGGGAAAGUUGACAGGGUCAAGAGUGAAAUCCUUGAAUCCAUCCAUGUAAUCGAUAUCCGUCCACAUAACUUCAAGAGGAAUCCUAGCUUUUGCAUAGCCCGCAACCACACCCUUGAUAUCAGAAACAUUUUUGUACCCAUAUCGGCACUGGUGGAAUCCUUUAAGAUGCAAUUAAUGGCCAAAUGAGUGAUUCAAUGGAAUUAGGAGAAGGAGAAUAACUCUGAAAAAUAAAGAAAAGAAAAGAAAAGAAAGAAGGGUGCAUACUUACCAAAGGACCAAUAAGGCAUAGCAGCAGGGCGGCCAAUAAGCUGGGUGUACUGCUCCAUGACUCUGUCCGGCAGUGGCCCGGCAAAAACAUACAAAUCUAUGACACCUCCAAUAAUCUUGUAAGUUAUCCUGUUUCCACCAUAAACAAUGUCCAUCCCAUUGCUGUUAAGCAACAGAACUCCAUGGGUAGUUCCUGCUGAUACUUUGCCAUCUGCGGAUGCUGAUCUGAUGUCAAGGUAAAAGGGAUGUGAUCCAUAAAGAUUAACAUCCAGAUUAGCACUUGCCAAAUCCGCAUUCCACAAAGUCAAAGUGUCAUUAUGUUGCAACUUGAAGGAUCUCUUGGUGUGCUCUCCCAGUCCAUAAAGUGAAGACCUGCCUUGUGGCAGGGAGGAGGAGAGUUGAAUAUAUUGGUCCUUGAACACCAGGAAAGUGCCCGAAUCGGAAGCAUCCGGCGAUGUGUCGAAAAGAAUGUCGCCUGAGGAGCGGCGCCUCACGGAGAACCCGAAUGGCGUGGUGUUAUGGAGGGUGAAGAUGAGGUCCGAUGUUGGGUCCGACACGUAGUAGUUUUCCUUCUGCUGCUUCGGUGUUUGGCCUUGGUACUUUGCGGAUGAGCUCCGAUGGUUUUCUGGCAAUGACCGGUGUGGGAAUUGAGAUUGACGGGGAAUGAUUUCCUGUCCGAUUUCCCAUCUUUCAUGGCCUGAAUCUGUAACUUUGAUUCUCAAACGAUUGCUUGUCUCAAAGCUUCACAUAGAAAGCAGUCAGCAGAGGCUAUCAGUGACCAUGAAAAUCUUUACUUUCCAUGGAAAAAACAACCUUACACGAUUAAAACAAACAAUCCCAUAUCCUCUAGCACUUACCUGGCAAAAAGACUCAGAUUUUGAAUGUCAGGUCCAUAAACAGAGGAGUUGCGGAUAAGACCAAGAUCAGCGGUCAACCAUUUUCCAUUUGCAUCGACGGAAACAGAUUUGAGCUUGUAGCCAUAUCCAACUGCUUCACUACUUCCAUGGACAGAGGAAGAAAAGCAAACAAUGAUGAAUAACACAAAUAGAUUAUGAAACAAGUGCUUCAAGUCCAAUCUAUCCAUGGUUGUUUUGGUUUCCUUUUGAUGAGGGAAGUAAACUGGCUUGUAUCCUUUAUUCCACGAGCGACUUGGACCAAAACGAUAAGCUAUUGCUUUCAUUCAGCCAUUGAUAUUUAUUUUAAGGAAAAUGGUAUUUUUGUUUUUUUUUUUUCCGCAUUUCUCGCUUCAUUUAAUUACUCUUCUUCCUACUCUUGACUUCUGCUCUAUAGUCAAUAAAAUUUCAUAUUCUGUGUAUCAAUGGCUUAAAAAUUUUAUAUAUUAUCACUGAAUUUAAUAUUGUCGCUUACAUUUAUGAAAUGAGAUUAUGUUUACGUGUAUCAAAUAUAAAUUAUUAAUUUAAUAAGUACGGAUGAUAACAAAUAGUAUAUCAUAUUUAAUAUAUGUAGUAAUUGAGAUUGGGAUAUGUAAAAUAUAUGCAAUAUUAUAUCAACAGCCAGUCAUGGAGGUGAUGUUGGUCAAAGGGCAAGACCAUUAUCAAGUUGUCACUCUAAGUCUCUUAAGAUAUACUAUUUUUUUUUAUUUAAAUUAUGCAAGUGGGUUAUAAAGCAAUUUCCACAUGGAUAUGCUAACAUUGGAAUAAAAUGUCACAUGAAUGUCAAAUGCUGACCACAUGCACUGCAUGUGUAACAAUCUCAUUGCUUUUGCAAGUUUAAAUAAGGAACUGCAUCAAAUACUUUAAUUGUAAUUUAUAUGAUAUUGUAGACAUAUAUAUUUUGUGCUAAUUCAAGGUAUAUAUAUAUAUAUAUAUAUAUAUAUAUUAUAUAUAUAUAUAUAUGUAUUAUGUAAAGAAUAUUCUAUAUAUUAUAUCUUUUUCUUUCUCCAUCAAUUGGCUUUUAUUCCCCUUUUUCGUCUUUUUCUCUCUAAAGGUUUCAAUUCUUUCCCCUUUUUUAAUAUAACAAAUAAAACCUUUUUUUCCCCCCUUACUUUCUCAUUCUCUUUCUUUAUGAAGUUUCUAAAUGUUAAUUUCCCAUGCAUAUACGCCCUGAGACCAUGGUUAAAUUAAAAAGGAAAGAUAAAUUAUGAAUUUUAUACGUUCCAAUUCAAAAUCUAUGCAAAAGUUUCUAUGUUUGUUACAUUUAUAUCUAAAUGAUUUAUUGAAUAGAAUUAUUCAUUAAAUAGCAUAAUAUAUAUGUUAACCAGUUACCUUUCUCUAUAAUACACACUCACUUGUAAUUUGUACGAUACAUAAGAUACUUUUACCUAUUUAAAUCUAUUGUAAAUACACAGAAAUUAACUAAUAGUCUAUGCAUAUAAUUAUAUUUAAAUUUUCAAAAUUUAUAACAUAUCUAUCUAAAAUUCGAUCAUAUUAUAAAAUGCAACUGCCCAGUAGGAGAACCAAAAUAGUAAUAAUAAUAAUAAUAAUAAUAAUAAUAAUAAAAGAGCUAGAAACAUAUAGUUCUUCACCAAUAAUUGGCAACACCAUAUAUCAUGGUCUUCCCCUUUUCCAAAUCUAUGGUUUUUUGCUUCAAUCAUUAGAUUCCAAUGUCAGGGACAAAACAAAAAGAGUUGCUGUCUACCUCCGAACAAGCAAUGAUAUAUGAGGAGGAAGCAUGGGAGCUAUAGCAAACAAGAAAAUAUGAUACAAAAAGCCAAGCCUGGAGGUUGGUUGCAUUCCUUCCAACUAUACAACAUAAACGAGUCAUCUACUUUUUUCUGUUGCCCUCAUUGCAGGAUAUGUUCCAAAGACAUGGUCCCAAAUUGAAGAAGUAAUCCCAAACCCUUUGCUUUGAACUCUAAAGUGAUGAUUCAAGUGAUAUCUCUGUCAAAUCAAAACACCAAGAGAAAUGAUUAUUCAAGGAGUUUUCUUUAACCCAAAGGGUAUUAUAUCAUAAUCUUAUAUCUAUGGUAAGUUGGCCUGCCUGACUAUGACCAUGAGGGCUCUCAUUCUUUUCACUGCUAUAUAUUUCACUCUCUACUUUAUUCUUUUACCUUAACAACAGCAGGCACUUCCUUUCAAAUAAAUUGGCAGCAAAAAAAGGAAAAAGAGUUUUUACCUUGAGAGUUUGACUUAACCCUUCAGAUGGCUUUCCAUGGUGCAAGUAGUAAUGGGUGCAGUCAUAGAUUACAUAUCCCAGCAACCCACCUGCAAAUAAAGCUGGAGUAGUUGAUGGAGUGGAAAAAAGCUUAAACAGGCUCCACACCUAGCAAUCAAAAAACACAUGCUGAAUCAGAAUCAGCUUAAGUAAUCCAUAAGCAAUUGAAAUUGGUUUCGAUUUUACACUUGGAUUUCUAAUUCUGAAACCUGGAAAUACACACAAGAAUUCUCUUUGGUAGAUAAAAGAGAAAUCUCUUAACUAUAGCACACUCGGUAUAGAAGAUAGGCAAAGAGUUUACAACAAAUUAACAUACUGGCACACAGAGAAUUGCUGUUGCAACUGGGGGGAAAACGAGUCGUAGUCUAUCCAUGGGGUGCUUGUGAUGGCAGCCAUGAAGGAGAAAGUGCAAGGUGUUACCCCUGAAAGGAAAUUUUCCCGAACUUGCGUCAGCAUGCCAAGUUGCUUAAGAAGACGGUAAACAGCGAGAAAUGGAGAGAGGGGACAGAGAAUGAGAACUGACCAAUAACUUGUUGUUUUCAUAUGGAAAAGAAAGCGGUGCAAAGUAUACUCAAUCAAUGUCCAAAUGAAGACGCCACCGGCUACUGCUGAGGCUGCCUGAGUAGGAGUAAGACCUCUUUGGAUGAAGGUGGAAACAAACCAACAUACAACUGGUAGCCAAACGAGUGGGAUCACCCACCAUUUCGUGCGUGUCAAGAGCUGUUCAAGCAAUAUAUUUGUCCACACCAUUCAUUCAAGAAUCAGGGAGAAUAAAAGAACAAUGACGAAGCAUGUGAAUGUCAAUAUCUCCAUAUAUAUUCUGUUUUGUAAUUCUAGAACUGCCUGAAUGGAAAGACAAGGGAUCAAUACCUCACAAAAGUCAUUGCCAAAAAAUCGAGGGCAUUCCUUGCUAACAACAGGUUGGUGAACCCAUUUGUCAUAAGCUUCCCCAAGAUGGCCAACCUGUGAAAAUUCUCAGUUAAUCAAGCACCAGAUCAUAGGAACAGAACCAGAACUCCAAGUACUGGUGAAGCAAAUUAGGAGUUCAUUGUUUUAGGAAGUAGAGGGCCUUGGAUCAGACCUGGAAUACAAGCGGCUUAUCCAAAUCUACCGUAAAAGGCUUUUUGACCAUCCUGGCAGCUUCUGUCUUGUAUGAAUUAUCAACCAAAUAAAAGAGAAACAGCAGCAAAACAAAAAAUCAAUGGAUAAUUUCAGAAGAAACACAAAACCACUUAUGUAAAUUGUCUAUAACUUCCUAAGCAUGAAUAUUUGGAUAAUAGAUUAAAUGUGGCAUGGCCUAGUGAAAGAGAUAAUACGGUACUCUUGAAUUUCCACCCUUCAAUUCCAAUAGUAUUUAAUACUAUUGGAAACUAAGUACAGAACUACAAAACCUCCACCACCUCAAAACUUGGCUUCCAUCGAUCCCAAGUUUAUCCCAAUGUUCAAAAGAGCAAAAGGUAUUUGACUCGAUAAUAAAUACAUGUAUCUUUCAUUUAAAAAAUUAAUAUCAUUGCGACGUAAAAAUGAAUUAAAAAAUCUUUCGAACUAUGAAAUUCUUCAGUUAAUGGCUGCAUCAAACCUAAUGAAGUUUCCUGUGACAUCCAAAUCAGUUUCAUAUUUCAUUUCCAAACUUUGUCAAGCAAUGAAUCACAUUUACAACAAAAAAGAAAGAAGGAAGAAAGAAAGAAAGUGAGAGAAACCUUGUUAGUGCAGCAAUGCAAGACCCUCCAGGGAGCUCUUGAGUCGUGAAGAUCCCCCCCACAAACAAUAGUUUUUGUUUUGUUUUCAAUGGAUGCUUAAUUCUCCUCCUGUGUGAAUUGUGAGGAAAAGCUCCUUUAUUUUCAGGCCGAAAUGCAUGCCCAAGUAAAGGGCGGGUGUUCAGCCUUCCAAAAUCGAAAUCACAGCUGCACCUCAUGUUCAAGGCUUACCAAUUUAACACAUAAACUAGUUUUAACAAGUAAAUAAUGAACAAUUGUACUAUAAAUAUCAAAUAAUACAUUAUAUUGUUUAUGAAAAUCAUUUUAUACAUAUUCAUUUAAUUAAUGUAUAAUAAAUAGUACUACAACAUAAUGAUAAUAUUAAUUUCAAUGGUAUAGCAAAUAUAAUAUAUUAUUAUAUAUCUUAAUAUAUUGUUAAAAUUUGAUAUACAUGAUUUUAAAAUAUGGUUCUAUAAUAUCAGUAAGAUCUAUUAACAAGAAUACUAUAAUUAACAAGAAUUAAACAAAAAAUAUAAAUGGAGUCAUUAGUUUCAAUAAAUUUCAAAUGUCAACAAAAUUUAUUUAAUACAAAUAAUUUUAAUAGUUAUUGGUUAAUUUAUCUUUUAAAUAAUACCAUCACUGGUAUUUUUUAAAAAGAUAUCAAUUAAACCGUCAGUCGCAUCGUUAUCGUGACAACAGGAUGAAGGUGACAUGUGACGUGAGGAAGAAUCAUAUAACCCCAUCCACAACAAAUAAAAAAUAAAAAUAAAAAUAAAAAGAUGGGGAAAGUAGAAGAGUGAAAAGCUGUGGUAAAGUAUGGAAAAGAGCAGAAACUUAGUCAAGCAAGCAUAAUGAAUAGCACCACAUGCUUCUCGUUUUAAUGUGCCUAGUCCUAUGCAAAAAUGAUUGUGUCCCACUUCCCCCCAAUUUCCUCCUCACCCAUUGCUUUGAAUUCCAUUAAUUUCCACCAUCGAAAUGUUCAAAUUGUGUGUUGAAAUCUUUUAUUAUUAUUAUUAUUAGUAUUAUUUAAUUGAAGUAAUCCGCCUAUCCUUUUCCUCCUUUGUUAGUGCCUGCCUGCCUGCCAAUCAAACUCAUCCCAUGAAGCAUACACAACAUAAAUGUGAUUCUAUUUGUGUUCAUGGAUUCACUUUCCAAAGGGAAAUUCUUGUAUGAAUGAAAAACAUGUCAAUGUAGAAUAUGACAUGGCAAAGUAAGAAAGCAUAGCACUAUUAAGUUUAAAUAAAAAUAUUUUUUGAAAAAUCUAAAUUGAUUAAUCACUUGGUAUAAUCAAAAACAAAAUGAUUAUCACAAACUAAAAUUCCAAUUAUCAUUAUCCAAAGAAAUUCAAAUUAUAAUUAUUUANUAAAAAGUAAAAAAAUUAAAAAGUUAGGGUUGGUUAUAUAUAUAUAUAUAUAUAUAUAUAUAUAAAGCUAUAAUUAAAGACAUUUAUUAAAUUAUUUAUACAGCUUAAAAAUUGUAUUUUCGAUAUAUAAAAUAAAAGAAAAAAAGGGAAAAAAAAUAAAGGGUCAAAUUUAGUAAAUCUAAAUAAACUUUAAAACUAGAAUUUCCUCCUUCAGUUAGGAAACAAACUCCAAAUAUUAACAAAGAAAAACAAAUUAACCAUCUUUUAUACAAAAUAAAUUAUAAAAAAGAAAAAAGAGAACUGAAAAUUGACCGACAAAAGAAAGAGAAAAGGCACAACAACAUCGCUCCACUUUCCUCUGAAUCCAAACCUUCUCCCCCCACGCGUCUUCUACUUUCUUGUCUCCUGCCUCGCCUGGGUUUUAAAGCAUAAUCAUGUAGUCCUUCAUACCCAAUUUUCUUUUUAAUUCGUUUCCUCUUUCCCUUCAACCAAACAAUCAACUUAACAACCAGGAAGGAAAGAACAGAAAAGAAAAGACCCAGUUUUGUUUUUUUCUUUCUUUAGGUUUUGGUUUUUCUUUGUACCAUGCCUUUUCCGUGGAAGAAAGCCAAAGUUACUCGUAUCUCCCGGCUGGUUGCCGACCUCCACCAAUCCCCCAAACGCGGCGGAUCGCUUGUGGUGGAGACUGGAUUCCCAACCUCCCUCAUCGAUCUCUUCGUCAAGAACCGUGAUCGCUUGAGGAAAUCCUCCAAAAGGAAAUCCAGUCCCAGUUCCAGCCCCCCCCAGAUGCAAACCCCUCCCACCCUGCAUCAACCCUCCUCGCCUCCCAAAUCAUUCCCUUCCCCUCCAUGCAAAGAAGAGCUACGAUCUCCUGACGUAGAUGUUGGGCAGUUAGUGUUGGUCAAGAGAGAAUGCGAGGAGAGGAUUGCCUUCCAUGCGGCGUUUAAAAUUUUUCUAGUGGUAGCUCUGGCUGUCAGUAGCAGGAACCUUGCGGUUUGGUUCAUGGUGGCGGCAUUCUUGCUUGUGCUAGUAGAGUUUGUUGGGACGCGGUUUUUUGGUUUCUUAAGACCAGAGUCUAAGAUGCUUUUAUUGGAUUCUUGGAUUCAAAAGGGUUUGCUGGUUUUGAAGAGAUGGGAUUGGGAACAAGGAUCAGCGCAGGAAUUGGUUGUGAAACAACAAGGCACUCUCUUUUCUGAUUCUUAUGGGUUGACUGAAUUGGAAGAUGAUUGCGUUGAGGAAAUUCAGAUCGCGGAAUCGAAAUUUGAUUCCGUAGAUAAGGGGUGUGACAGUGAAAGUUUGGAGACGCAGAUAAAAGUGGAGGGGAUGGAGAAAAUAAGGGAAAUCUUGAUAUGUAGAAGUGAGCGUAGUCGGAGUGCUAGAAUCAAAGCAAAUUUGAUCAGGAAAUUAGUGCCAAAGAAGUUGCGUAAUGGAAAGAAGCAGGGGAAGAGUAAUGACAGGGAUGAACCAUGUACUCAAUCGGGAGUGGAAAUAGAUAAAUCAGACAAGAUUGAAGAGGGAAAACAAGGGCCGGAGGCCGAUGAUGGAGAAGAUGAAUCACAAGUAGAGGUAGAGGAAGAAAGUUGCAAGCAAGUUGAGGAAUUAGGAGACAGGAUUUCAACUUGUGCUCAACUUUUGUGGGUUGAGGAGUCAGGAAUGGGAGUAGUUAAAAACAAAGUGGGGAAUGAUAGAAAAGGGAAAUCAGGGUAUCUGAUUCUGUUUGUGAUCGUUCUAGCUGGACUUGUAGGUGGGCGGGGUCUUGCCCUUUUGCUUACACUUGUAUGGUGUUUGAUAGUAAGAUAUAUUGGAUUUGGGAGGCUAAGGAGAUGCUGAAAUGGGGCACAUGAUCUUUCUCUCCUGUCCCAAUCCUGAUGCGCCACAUUGAUUUCUAGGGUGUGGCAGCUUGUCUGAGAAGAAACUAGAAAGCAUCAGCAUCUUCUCUCUAGCUUUUCAAGUGGUUCUGUAGAUUUAGCUUCUGGUUGAAUCUGCUGCUUGAAGCGUGGCUGAUGAUAGGGAGUAGUGCCAACGUGUCUGUCGGGCAGGGCAACUUGAUUUUGUUGUAAUUUGAACUGUAAAUUCACAUAUAUACAACAUUCGUUGAUUUAACUCUGCAAUUCGAGUGUUACAUUUUUGCCAUUGCAUGGUUCCAUGCCGCCAUUUGCAAGCUAAAUGAUCAGUACCAAAGCUCUGCUCUCCACUCUCCAUGGCUUGGACAUUCACUUGUCAAUCCUACGACAUUCAAGACAAACGAAAAGCAAACAAGCCACAUUGGAAGAUUUUGUCUGUCAUGGAAAUUUUUAAAAUGGGAACCAUUGAGCUGAAUUUAUUAUUGGGGUUAUUGUUUUGAGAUUCUAUGUCAAUGUUUUUUUCAAUGACUUAGUCCUUAAUGCAGCUUUAAGACAAAUGAAGCCUUAAUUAUACAAAUUUCAAAUAAUGUUGGGUGCAGAAAUCAAGAGAUGCUGCAUUUCAUAGAAUUCACAUUUAUAUAGUAAGGACAAAACUUAUAAUAAUUUAUAUACAUAUAUAUAAUAAUAAUAAUAAAAUAAACAUAAAACAAAUAUAUUGAAGAAAAAGAUUUACUUAAUCAAGGUUAGAGUCUAGUAGUAAUCAUCAUUAAUUUUAAUUUUUUUGUGAACCUUUAGUUCUACAAAUAUCUUAUAUAUUAGGAGAUUGUGACUAUGAGACAUGGGAUGUUGAGUAAAAGGGUCAAAUGAAAGAUGUUUAAAGGUUCAAUCAAAAGAAAAGCAGUCAUGGUGACGGUAUUUCCAUAGUUGCAAUUCAAAGAAGAAGGGUGCAAGUGUACCUUUGAGUGACAACGCCAAGGAAACCGCUAGUAACGCGUCUUAGACUUAGAGCAUGAUUUUAUUAGUCAAUUAUGUGAUAGGAGACAUGUAAUUUGCUUUGACUCUCAUGUAUGACAUGAGUUUGUAAAAAGCCUCAAUUUAUACUUGUUUAUGUUUGUUGGAUGAGUUAAUCGAAACAAAAUUUAAAACUCGUUUAAUAAAAGAAUUGAGCGUGAACAAAGGUGAAUCAGAUUCAUUUAUGCACAUGAACAAAUUCAUGUAAGGUUCGUUUAUGAACUUGUUAAAAACCAAUUUUGAUCGAUAAAUUCUUUUCGUUCCAAAUUGAAUAUCCACUUUUUAAUCGAUAAAAUGAAUAACAUUUUUAAAAAUUUAAAUAAAUUUUUAUAUCGCGUAAUACUGAUAUGAUAUAUUAAAAUAUCAUAAUUGAUGAUAAUAUGAUAUGUUAAUUUGAUAAAAUAAUAUGAUUAUAUAAUUUUUUUCACUCUUUACGUUAACAUUAUAUUAAUAUUGGAUAAAUAUAAAAUAAUAAGUAGUAUUUUGAUUAAUAGCAAUUAAUCCAUUAUUACUUAUAAAGAUUUAUUUGAUUUAAAAUAAAUAUAUAAAAAUUUAAUUUAACGUAAUAAUAGAGUAAAGAUUUAUUUAAAGUUUUUUAAAUAAUUUAAGAGUUUUUUUUUAACAUUAUGUGUAUAUAUGGGUUUAGCUUCUAAAAUUGAAGGAAAAGUAAAUUGGACAAUGAAAAGUCCAUAUCCAUUGCCCAAAUAUCUAUAUAUGAAAAGGUAAUUUUGACAUGUGGAACCUUUUAAAGUAGCCUUCAUCUCCAGCCCGGAGGGCAUCGCCUCGUCUGCCUUGCACAAAUCCGGAUGCCAACUUAAAACCCUAACACCCUAACUCUAAAAUAUUUGGCUUUUCGCCGCUUCCUUCCUCCGUUGUUUUUCUUCUUUGCAUUGGUUUUGCUCACCUAUUCUUUUGAAUUUCCAAUAUAUUUGUAUAAAUGGUUAGAAAUUGUUGUUAGGCUCAAGGAAAUGUGUUUGAAAUUGUUUUUCUCCUCUUUUUUUCAGAUAGAAAUUCCUUGUUUUUUGUUUGUUUAGGAGCUUAGAAACAAGCCCGUUCAUGACCUGGGCAUUGCCCGAUUCCGCAUUCUACCGAAUCGAGAAACGAUAUAGAAAACCAUGUCGUUCGAUCUGACUAGAAAAGAGCCCCAACAGCCAACGCCCCCGAGCGCUGGUUGUAACGGAAACGGUGUGGCGGUGUUGCCGAGCAUGGCGACGGCGCACCGGCUACGGCUGAACCCUAAUACGGAGCACAAGCCGGAGACCUACGAGGGUUUGCAGUUGGAGUUCAGUCCACUUCUGUUCAGCUCCCUGGAACGUUACUUGCCUCCUCCGAUGCUCUCACUCUCUCGCGACUCCAAGCUUAAUUACAUGCGCGAUAUUAUCCUUCGUUACUCUCCAGAAGGCGAACGUACUCGCGUAAGCCCUUUUUUUUUUUUUUAAUUUUUUAUUAUUAUAUGUUUAACUUUCAGGUUCGAAAAUUUCUUUCCUGAGUGUAAUGUCGUAUUUUACGAUCUAAAUGGCCGUGAAUUCUUUUUCUUUUGGGAUGAAAUGAAAUGAUAGUGUAAAUUUUGAAUUAUGUUGAUUUUCUAGUUAAACUUUAAGCAUUAUGUUAAUGAAGGUGAAAAUCAGAUAAAUUUGUAAUAGAGUGCAAGGAAUAUAUUUAAUAUUUAAAAUUUAAAAUUUUUAUUUCAGGAAAUGAUUGUUUUAUUGCAGAUUUUAAAUUAAACGAACAUGCUAAGAAGCAUUGAUUGUUUCAAAUCCCUUUUUGGCUGAUUGAGAAAUAGUGGUGAACAAAUGCUGGAACAAGGGGGAAAAAGAAGUGAAUUCUUUUUCGUCUUAUCUUGGAUUUAUUAGUUGCCUAUUAUUGUUGAGUUGGAUUUGGAUGAAAUGAGAUAUUAAAUCAUCUGUCAUAAUUGAUAGAUGGGUUCUGUGUUCCUUAUUGCCAUUGGACUAAUUUUAAGUUUCAAUCUGUAUCUAUAUAAUUUGUCAUUGUUCUGUAUUUUCUGCAAUGUUAUGCAUUUUAUGUUGGUCAAUGUUUGUCAUUCUCACAUUUUGUUGAACUUCUAAUUUGUGGUUAUUUUUCUCUCUUAAUUUUCCUUUUCCAUUUAGCUGUGUUUUUUCUCACCGUUUGAAAUUUUUGAACAGGUUCAAAGGCAUCGAGAAUACAGGCAAAAGAUUAUAUCACACUAUCAGGUACAUAUCGUAGUUAAGGUUUGACUAGGAUUGCUUGUGCUUAUGCCAUUGGGGAAUACUUAAUUUAUGCCUGCAAACUUUCCAUACUAUGCUGUUUGUGAGAUAUAUCAUGAUUGACCCUUUAUGGUUGCCAUGAUUAAAAUAAGUAGAAGUGCCUUGCAGUGGCCUUUUGUUUUUCCUUUUGCAGAUUGCAUUUUUGUGUGUAAUCUUUAUAAGGUUUAUAUUUCUUUUCUGCUUAAGUGAUCUCUACUUUAUGCAGCCGCUGCAUAGGGAGUUGUACGCCAUGCAUGCCUCUAACUUCUUUGUCCCCUCAUUUCUCAAAGCAAUUAAUGAGAAUAAAGAGGAAAGUUUUCGAAGUAUAAUGGCAGAGCCUGCUCUUGGGGUUUUUACAUUUGAAAUGCUUCAACCCCAUUUCUGUGAAUUGUUGUUAUCUGAGGUAUCAUUGCUGCCUCUUCUCAUUUGGCAUUUUUUACUUUAAACUUUCUUGUUUUUUAGUUUUUAUAUUUUUCUUAUCAGGUUCUGAUUGCUUAGGUAGAAAACUUCGAAAAAUGGGUCCAUGAAACAAAAUUCAGAAUUAUGCGUCCAAACACAAUGAACAAAUUUGGCGCUGUUUUAGAUGACUUCGGUCUGGAGACCAUGCUUGAUAAGUUGAUGGAGGACUUUAUUCGACCUAUUUCCAAAGGUAUUUAAUUUUCCGUCCAUCAUGAGAUCUUAAGUGCAUGCUAAAAUAUAUUUUAGAGUUAAAGCUGAUACCUUAUUGUUUUUAAUAUAUAUUUUGGAAAUGGUCUGCAGUUUUCUUUUCUGAUGUGGGUGGAUCUACGCUGGAUUCUCAUCAUGGUUUUGUUGUUGAAUAUGGAAUUGACAGGGAUGUUGAGCUUGGUAGGUUCUAACUUCUUUCUAUUUUCUUUUUUGAUUAAAUCCUUGCCAUAAGUUAUCUGAAUGAUGGCAGUUUAUGGUUUAUGUAAUCUGUGCCGUUUAUCAUCCACUACCGUUAGGAGAAUAAAUCAUUAGCUACGGUAGAUGAAAACUGAUCUACAGUUAAGUGUUCAGAAGGUAUUGCACAAAAUAAUUUUCUUCAUUUCUUAAGACGUUUAAAUCACGAGCUUUGUGCGUUGCUUAUAACUUGAGGUCUUUCUUUUCCUCAUUAAAUGAUGGCACAUUUAUUUUCUUACAUUUCAUGAUGAUCAUCGUUUUUCUUAUAACAGCCCAUAAUAUGAGCAUGAUUGGCUAUGCUUUCUUCCUAAUAUUUUAAUUUUGGUGCAUAUUAAAUUUUAAUUGUUGAUGCUUGUUUUGUUAACCUACUUGUUCUGUUAAAAUCUUGUUUUUAAGGUAGUAGCUUCACAAACUUCUGUAGCUUUGUCUCUGUAGGUUUCCAUGUGGAUGAUUCAGAAGUCACCUUAAAUGUUUGCUUGGGUAAACAAUUUUCUGGAGGAGACUUGUUCUUUCGAGGUGUUCGUUGUGAUAAACAUGUCAAUACAGAAACCCAGUCAGAUGUAUGCUAACCUUUCUGUUCAAUUCUUUCUUACUACUGUUCAUUUUAAGGUGCAGGAACUGAAACUUUCCUUUGGCUUAACCAUUCAGCUCUAAUAACUGCAUGUUCCACAAAGCAUCAGGAUGAAGUUUAGUGUCAGUUUGAUAAGAAGGUUCCCUAAAAUGUAGCAAUAAGGAGAACUAACCCAAAUGAGAACAUGAAAUUACAGAUUACUUAAACAAAAUAAAUUGCUGAUGUCUUCGUAAUAUAAUUUUCCUAGACAACAGGUGAUAGGCCAUAUUAUUUAAAUUGGUUAGCAGAUAUUGGUUCAUAGAAGAAUAUACAUACAUACAUAUAUAUAUAUACACAUAUAUAUAGAUGUGGUAUGUCCUCUAUUGUUAAUUUGUUAGUCAUUGUACCAAAAUGAUCAUUUUUUUAAUGUUUUCUCAUUGUUCUGCAUUCCAGGAAAUUUUGGAUUAUUCCCAUGUUCCAGGACGUGCAGUUCUUCAUCGCGGGCGCCAUAGGCAUGGUGCAAGAGCCACAACAUCUGGUCAUCGGGUCAACUUACUUUUGUGGUGCAGAAGGUAUCUUUCUUUUACACCCUUAGUAUAAACGUACCAAACAUGUAAUAGCCUUUUGGAGGGAUCAGGAGUCUCUCUUAAAGUUGUAAUGGGAACAUGACUUACUUCUCUAAGUUGGAAAAAGAAUACCACUUUAAUACAAGUUGCUCAUCGGUUUGCAUUUGAAUAUCUUUAUGUAAUAUUUAAUAUUGAAAUACGAAGAAUUUAAUUUAGAAUUUAAACUAUUGGGCUAUUUGUUUGACUACAUUUAGAAUUUAGACUUGUUUUAGGAGUUGAAAUGAGAUAAAAUAUUAGUGGAUGACUGAAAGUUUAAUAUAGUUGGCACUUGCAUCUUUGGAGAAUGGUGCUACCUGAAUUCGCUGUCAUAUUUUUGGUCAUUUAUGUAUUUUUUAUAAAUCUAACUUGUUGGAAAGAAAUUAUUAAGUUGGAGUUAUCUAGGGGCUUAUUUGCCAUAUUUUCUAACAAAAGUAUCAAUAAGGGUUUUGUUCUGAAAUUCUUUGGGCUGCAUUGUGCUUGUAUUGUUUGAAACUUGUUAACAAAGCCUACUGAGAUGCAAUAAUGUGGAGUGGUGUUCUUUUUCUGAGAGCUGAGAGUUUUCAGUUUAGAUAACAAGUUACAAUGUAUGAGGCAUAGGAUGCUCUCAGACUUCUUACUUAUGUAUACGCUGAGCUUCACUUUGGUCCACAUUCCUUAAAUUGUAUUGUGAGAUUUAGAACUAGUGCAUUUUUUUUUCCCCCAAUUAGUUUAAAAUGCAUGCAAAAUUUUCUUCUAGUUCGGUCUUUCGAGAGCUGAGGAAAUAUCAGAAAGAUUUCUCAAGCUGGUGUGGAGAGUGCCAACGCGAGAAAAAAGAAAGGCAGCGUGUUUCAAUUGCUGCUACGAAACAGGUGAAGUCCAAAUCAAUUGUUUUUGUAGAAAAUAAAAAUAUAAAUUCUGACUGUCUACUUUGAUCAGGAAUUACUGAAGAGGGAAGGAAAACCUCCGACUUGAAGUGUGUCUAUUUUUAAACAAGUUUUUGCUUGUGGAAAUUGUAAAAUAGUAGGAUUCUUGUCAAUGUGACACAAGCAAAGCUAUUUUUCUUAUUUUGUUAGUGAUGUGCACUAUUGCCAAAAAAUUGGGUGGGUAAAGAUGGAAGGGUGAAUGGUCUUGUGUGUCUUCAUUGUGCUUCAAUGCUGUACAUACACAUGUUGUCUUGGGUGUCCAGUUUAUGAGACAGCUACAACUGCAACUGAACUAUGUUUUUAAGAUAGUGGCACUAGUUUUUUUCUGUUGUUGGUUCCAACAUUGUUUCAAGCAUCAUAAAACUGGUUGACAAGUUGUGUUGCAAGUAAACCAUCAUGUCAAUUGAUGAGGCAUGAGGGAACGUCAUCAGGUUGCCAUUUCAAGUACAAUAAAUUUUAUAUACUUCAAGAGAGAAAUAAUAAUGACACAUCAACAAUUCUUUGUAUCUAAAUCUCAAUGCAUACUGGUUUUUUUUUUUUUUUUUUUAAAUCUCAUUUCAAAAUCUUUACAAUAAUUUAAUUUUAGUUUUCUUAAUUCUAUUUUUCAAGUGAAAAAAAUAAAGAAAAAUAUAUAUAGAGAUUAGUCAUUCUUUUUGCUAUGAAAGGACAGUCUGUUCAUUGACUUGAUGGCACGUUUGGAUAAAAUAGAGAAGCUCCUAACUCCUGAAGUCCAAACUCAAGCAGAAGCAAAGAAAUGCAAAGCAAACGCAGUCAUUCUCUACAAUCAUCGUACCACUCACACUUGCAAUAGUAAAAUCCCUAACCAAUAAUAUAAUUAUUAACAAAAAAAGUAAACUCUCCCACAAGAAGGAUAUUAAUAUAAGCCUUUUUAAGAUAACAGUAUUAUAAGAUAUUGUAUUCAAAUAAAUACAAAAAUUAAUUUAUAUGAUUUUAUCUAUGGAGACACAAUUUUUACCAAAAAUGUAAAUCAGUUUAACACUAUUAAUCCGUCUAUGAAGUUAAUAAUAAUUUUGUCUCCUAUAUUUUGUUUCAAUGCGUGGAACAAUAAUAAUAAUAAAAAAAAUUGUUAGUGACAAUAUAAUUAUUUAUUUUUUUAACUUGAAGUGAUUUAAAAUUUUAUUAAAAAAAUUAAAAAUGAUAAUUUUUUAAUAUAAAAUUUCAAAAUAAUUUAAUAUUUUAUUAUUAAUAAUAAAUUUACUAUUUUUCCAGAGGACUAAACACCAAAAAUAGAAGCAUUUUUCCAAUUUGGACAACAACAAUCUGUCCUUUUCUCUUUCAUCUACAAAAGGCUAAACUUUAUCAGCCAGCCCAACGCAGCUGCGCCCAUCCUUCACUCUUAUCCUUCCAUUUCCCAACAAAAAGCAAAGCAACCCAUUUUUCCCUCCCUCAUCACUUUCCCCACCACAAGGAAAAAAAAAAACCAAGUGAAGAGAAAAUGAGAGAAAUCUUGCACAUCCAAGGAGGUCAAUGUGGGAACCAGAUCGGGGCUAAGUUCUGGGAAGUGAUUUGCGACGAGCAUGGAAUUGACAACACUGGAAAGUAUAGCGGUGACUCCGAUCUGCAGCUGGAGCGUAUCAACGUCUACUACAAUGAAGCCAGUGGCGGAAGGUAUGUCCCCCGCGCUGUUCUCAUGGAUCUUGAACCGGGCACUAUGGACUCCGUCAGAUCUGGUCUUUUUGGACAGAUCUUUAGGCCAGAUAACUUCGUCUUCGGGCAGUCUGGUGCUGGGAACAACUGGGCCAAGGGUCAUUACACAGAGGGAGCUGAGCUCAUUGAUUCUGUUCUUGACGUUGUCAGAAAAGAAGCUGAGAAUUGUGAUUGUUUGCAGGGUAUCAAUCCUAUAACUUGACUUUACCCUUUUUCUUUAAAACACAUUUUGACCUAUGGGUUUAGUUUAAUUUGUUGAGAUCGGUACGUUUUUGAGGUUUUUUUUCGUUCUUUUGUGAAUUUUGUCAUGUAUUUUAUUGGUGGAUCUUCCUCAAUUCUGAGUUCUGAGUAUGCUUUGUAAAAUUUGGUUUUUUUUUUUUUUAUCUUGGGUUCGGUGAACCAUUUUGGGUGUUUUCCAGGCUCUUUUCUUUUCUUUCAAUUUUGGGGUUUUUAAAGAUAGUUUGUUUUUAAUGCAGAUUUGUUGUCUGUUUUAGUUUGGAUUAUGUCUUGUCUGUUAUAUCUAUGAACAAAUCCUUUUUGAAGUAAAUUUGUUAUAUAUAUAUGGAGGAAUAUGUUAAGCCAUUGAAGCAACGUGGUUAUUGUUUUGAACUGAUUAUCGUGGCAACUUGUUUUGAAAGUUUCUUGUUAAAUUGUACUCUGGUUUUCUCUAUUUGCAUUUCUAAUCCCCCUCCUCCUGCAAGGCCAAAAGGAAAAAAAAACAGCUAUAUCUGCUUUCAAAUCUCACUUUAUGUGUUUUUGGUACAGGAUUUCAAGUUUGUCAUUCUUUGGGUGGAGGUACUGGAUCCGGAAUGGGUACCCUUCUUAUUUCCAAGAUUAGGGAGGAGUAUCCAGAUCGCAUGAUGUUGACAUUUUCGGUUUUCCCUUCUCCUAAGGUAUCUGAUACAGUUGUUGAGCCAUACAAUGCUACCCUUUCCGUUCAUCAGCUUGUUGAGAAUGCUGAUGAAUGCAUGGUGUUGGACAAUGAGGCUCUGUAUGACAUCUGCUUCCGAACUCUCAAGCUUGCCACUCCCACCUGUAAGUUUGAUUUAUAGUUCUAAAUGCCUAGUGUAUGCAGCAAAGGAUUUUUAGCUUUGCCUAAAGCAAGUUUCUCCAUUUGUUUUCAACAAUUUAAAAUUAAAACAUGUAGUGGGCAUUAAUUUGAUUAUGUUGCUUUACCUUCCUGUUCUGGGUCUUUGUGAAAAAGGAUGUUGCUCAAUUGUUAAGGAAUUGGUGGCAUAUGAGCCCUACCCCUUUAUUAAAUCUCAGUUGGGUUGCUCAUAAGUAUCUUUCUUACCAGAGACACGCACCAUUUACUUUUUGUCCCCAAACACAAAAGAAUGUGAUGCGUUAGGAAUAAAUGCUCUCAUAUUUGUUCUAUGAAUUGGGAUAAUAACUAUUAUUUUCUUAUGCUACUUCAAAAAUAUUGAGUGGCUUCUCUUAAUGGAAUCAAUUUCCAGAGUAUACAUGAUCUGCCCUCUGUGCUUAUAUUCUUUUUCUUUUAACUUGACUCAGUUGGUGAUCUUAACCACCUCAUCUCUGCUACCAUGAGUGGUGUCACAUGCUGUCUGCGGUUCCCUGGACAGCUGAACUCUGAUCUCCGCAAGCUUGCCGUGAACCUUAUUCCCUUCCCACGACUACACUUCUUCAUGGUUGGAUUUGCACCCUUGACAUCCAGAGGAUCACAGCAGUACCGGGCCUUGACUGUGCCCGAACUGACUCAGCAGAUGUGGGAUGCCAAAAACAUGAUGUGUGCUGCUGACCCACGCCAUGGCCGUUACCUAACUGCUUCUGCAAUGUUCCGUGGUAAGAUGAGCACUAAGGAGGUUGAUGAACAAAUGAUUAAUGUCCAGAACAAGAACUCAUCAUACUUUGUUGAGUGGAUCCCUCACAAUGUCAAGUCUAGUGUGUGUGACAUCCCACCAAAGGGUCUGAAAAUGGCAUCCACUUUCAUUGGAAAUUCAACUUCAAUCCAGGAGAUGUUUAGGAGGGUUAGUGAGCAGUUUACAGCAAUGUUCAGGAGGAAGGCUUUCUUGCACUGGUACACUGGUGAGGGAAUGGAUGAGAUGGAGUUUACUGAAGCUGAGAGUAACAUGAAUGAUUUAGUUGCCGAGUACCAGCAAUACCAGGAUGCCACCGCAGACGAUGAGUACGAGGAGGAGGAGGAGGAAGAAGAGGAAGUUCCAGCUUGAGGGGAGGAGUCUCUAUAAGCUUGCAGUUGGUCUGAAAUUUGUAUCUAUGUUGGCUGGCUCUAGCUGGCUAUGCUUAUGUUGUUGAGAUGUCAAAUUUAGAUUGACAUGAUGUGUAUGGUUGUGGCUCCUAUCUGAGAUUAUGCUAUUGCUUUUAAAGCUUGAAUGGAUGGAUGUUUGUCUUUAGUAGAAUGCUAGAAGAUUGAUGGUGAUAUUGUCUAAAUUUUCUUUUAUCCUAGGUGUGCAUGGAAUUCAUAUGAAGUAGCUUUUCUAUAAUUUUUUGUUGGAGUUGACAAUGGGUUCAUUCAAGCUACAAUGCAUUUUGAGAUUUAAUGUAUAAAAUUUAUAUAUUGAUAUUGUAUUCUUUUUUCUUUUUUUUGUAAUUAAUGCGUAAUUGGUGAUUAUAUUUUGAAUCUUGAAUCCUACAAAUCCAUUUUUUUACUAUUCUCUUAAAUUAAUUUUAAAUAUGCAAAUAAAGUAAUAGAAAUAUUUCAUUUAUUUUUUAAAUACUCCCACUUUCAAAUUAAAUCUAGUUUUUUAAAUGGUACAAGUUUUAAGAAUAUGAAUAAAUAGCAUUAUUUAUGGGUUGUUGUAUGAUUUUUUUGUUUAAAAAAAAAUAUUUGGUUCAUUGAUUGUUAUAUGUUUUUUCUAUUUAAAGAGUAGAAUUUGAUUUUUUUUUUCAAAUUUUAAAAAAUAAUAAAUAACUACAAAAUAAAGUAUCAAUUGAUUUAGUAAAUAGAUAAAUUUAAUUGAAAAUAAAUAACUACUAAAUUAAUAAUGAUAAAAAUUGUCACUAUUUAGCGUUUAUAUAUAUAUAUAUAUAUAUAUUUAUUUAUUUAUUUUGCGAGUUGGUUUCAGCUGUCACGCGGAAGAAAGCAGUGACUGAGACAAGGCUGAGAAUGCUGUGGGAAGGAGAAGUGGUCGCGAGAAACAAGGAACAAGUCAAUCUCUGUCGAGGUUUAAGACAAAAAUCUGAACAUAUAUCCAAGCAAUAAGCUUACAACAUGUCCAAAGACGAAUGUUUCAACUCCAUCCAUCUCCCGACGGCAACUUCUUUUCUCUUCUGUUCGUCUCACUAUAAAAGGAGACAGUUGCAGCUUCCUCUUUUCAUCAAUAUUAUUAGGAAUUAAUAGUUUUGUGUUAAUUAUCACCUAAGCUGACAUAAUUGAGCUGCAUUUGCAUGCAUGCUUCCUUCUUCCAAAAUGUUUACGAGGAUUGUCUUUGUCUUAACUUGCUGUCUUGCCCUUGCAUCUGUCCAUAGUACUCCUCUUCAAGAUUUUUGUGUUGCAGACCCCAACAGCAAAGGUACUGCGUGUCUGAAAUUUCUUUCUAUUCCCCUUGCCUCAUUUUUUUUUAUAAAUUUAUAUUAAGUACUGAUAAAUGAAGUGUCUCUUAGAAUAUCUCUUCCUUUGAACUUUUAUAAAAAUCGAACCAAAAUAAAUUAAAGUUGGAUGGUAAAAUUAAACUCAGUUAAAAUAUAAUGACAAUUUGGUAUCCGAACCAAAGUUAUUGAUUGAUAAUAUCCUUUUCUGCAUUUCUGCUUCAUGACAGUUGUUGUCAAUGGCUUGGCUUGCAAGGAUUCAAAGCUGGUUGUAGCCGAGGAAUUCCACCUCACAGGGCUGCAUUUGACAGGCAACACUUCAAACCCCUUCGGGUUCAAGGCGACCCCAGUUACAGUAGCCCAGCUACCGGGGCUGAACGCCCUGGGAAUCUCAAUGGUUCGUUUAGACUUUGCACCAUGGGGUCUUAACCCUCCCCAUACGCACCCAAGGGCUAGUGAAAUGUUGACUGUCUUGGAAGGCACCCUGGAAGUGGGGUUCAUCACUUCCAACCCUGAGAACCAAUUGUUCAAGAAAGUUCUUAACAAGGGUGAUGUAUUUGUGUUUCCUAUGGGCCUUAUUCAUUUCCAAAGAAAUGUUGGAUAUGGGAAUGCCGUUGCGGUUGGAGCCCUUAACAGCGAGAGUCCUGGGGUUAUUACCAUUGCUAAUUCAGUGUUUGGCUCAAAUCCAAGCAUUCCCACCGAUGUUCUCGCAAAGGCUUUCCAGGUUGACCAAAAUGUGAUUUUUCAGCCGCUAGCUAAGUUCUAGACAGCCAUUUGUAAUACCAAAUGGCUGCUAAUGUCUGUGUAUUUCUGUUCAACAUUUUAAAGUUGUAAAAUCAAAUAAUAAAUGGUGAAAGUAUAUAAUCUUUCACUUCCAAAGAAGAUUGAAAGUGCUUAGAAACUGAGAACUAAACCAUGCAUGCGUUAAAGCUAAGAAAACUAAGGGUAAGGUUGAAAAACUAUAAAUGCAGAUAAAAAUGCUUGAUUUCUAGUUUCGAGGACCCUUUCAUCCUCCUUUAAAUCUUGCAUUUAUGCUAGGAUGAAGGCUUAAUACGAGCUUGCAUAUGUAAUUAACUUGCAGUGGGACACUCUUCCACUUACCCGAAAAUGCUGAACAUGAAUUGAUAACAGCCCAUUAUCUCCUAAAGGUAAACGUACAAUAAGUGAAUGGAUAUAUAUCAAGUAAGAUUUUUUAUGACAUCCAAUUAGAUCGUAAACUCUGUCCAACCUUGCCUUACCUUACUUACCUCACAUUCCUUAGCCUUUGCCUGAAAUAUAUUUUCUAAUAAACAGAGAGAAGAAUGACCCAUUACUUGUUAAAAUUUCAAGCUUAUCCGAAAUUGCUGAACAUGAAUUGAUAACCGCCCAUUAUCUCCUAAAGGUAAACGUACAAUAGGAGAAUGGAUAUAAUUUUUUAGCAUUUGCUUGAAAUAUAGUUUCUAAUAAACAGAAGAAUGACCCAUUACUUUUACUUUUAACUUCGGUCAAGGCUAAAACUUGUUAAAAUUUCAAGCUUUUCAAGCUUAUACGUGUGAACUUCAAUCAUGAUUGACAAUAUUCCCAAAAAGGUCAAGAUUUUCAAACUCAACAAUUUGUAAAUUUCAACAAGUUUAUAGCCUUCAAACCCUAGCCAUAUACAAAAUUCAAUCAAGAUAUAAAAGCUCAGAUCUUAGCUUAACAAUUCUCUAAAUUUGGAUAUACAUCAUAUGCUAAGAAAUAUAUAUGAAUAUAUCCAAAUAUUUGGCUUAUUGAUUGAUAAAUGAUUUUCCUACUUAAAAUAGCAAGAUUUGAAUUCUCUUUCCUCGAUUUUAAAUAUAUAUAUAUAUUAAUAGACUUAUUAGAAGUGGAAAGUUAGAGACAAGAGGGCACAAGAGAAUUUGAUACACCUUUUAAUAGAAAAGAUCGGUAGAAUUAAUUUAAUAAAAGGAAAAUUUGGCUUAACUAUAUGGUGGCUUCUUCAAUUCUACAAACAAAUAAAUUGAAAUCAGCUGUAAACGUCAAUGAAAGGGAACACCAGAAUCUGUCCAAACGAAAAAAGGGUUGUUUUACAAAGGCCAAUUGAAUCUUGAUCCAGGUUAUUAAGAUCAUAUUCUAACAAAUUUCUACAGAAUUAAACACUAACGAUUAUAUAUUCUCUUUUAAAAGUAAAGAUCACUUCAUUAACAUAUUGACGAAAGCAAUAAGUACAUAAAAUGUGAACGUCAUCGUAAAACAAAAUAAUUUUUCAAACAAUCAAAUUUAUAAAUAUAACUAAUAGUUAAUAUCAGAUUUUGCAUUAAUUGAAUAUCAAAUUUAAUAGGAUCAUUUGUCAACUUAUUAAUAAUCUAAAACAUACAGUGAAUUUGCCGUCUUCCUAAUUGAAUUUUUAAAAUUUUAAUAUGUAAUAUAAUUAUACAAGAAAUGAAUCUUGCAAAUGGAUGAUAGCUAACAGGUAUCUCUCUCCUCCGUCUGAUCACUAUAAAAGGAGAAGCACUGCUUUUUCCUUGCACCGAGCAAUAUUUGUUGCAAAUGGCUGCCAAAACCCUGUUUAGAGCACUCCUUGCUCUAACUUGCUUCGUUGCAUUUGCAUCUGCUCAGAAUGGAUUUGAAUCUGGUCAGAGUGCAUUUGCAUCUGGUCAGAGAAAUAGUGCUGUUCAUAAAUCAGUAGAUGAUUAUAAAUCAGAUAGUGAAGAUGUAUCUUUAAAACCAAAGCAAAUCAUCGAAACUGAUGACAGAGGUAGUGCUGCAAUAUCUGAUGAUCAUAUUAAUGAUCAUAGAGUUGGUGCUGUUCCAAAUCAAUCCUAUCGUAGACAUAGUCCGCAUCAAAAUUUUCACCAGGCAGCUGAUCCCAAACACCAACCAAAGGAAGGUACAUCUGCAAUUUGGUUUUGUUUCUUUUUUUUUUCCUUUAUUAAUGGAUGAAUAUAUAUUAAUAUUGGUUUAUGGUUUUGUGCUGCUAGGCUAGCCAUUGAUGAGUGUAUUGUUCCAAUCCUAGCAAUAUUACCAGUGAUCAUCUCGCCAAGGCUGCCAAGGAUUUGAGUUAUCUGCUACAAGCAAACUUCAAUAAGGGUCUUUAUUUGUUUGUUCUAAAAUGUCAAAUUUCCUCUCUUUACUCUAAUUUGAGCUUGUGAUUACUUUAUGCUAUAUUGAACGGAGUGUUCUUAUGUGUGUGUCAUAUGACGUUUUAGUAGAAAUGUGUGUGCAAUGGGAUUUUGUAUCAUUGUAUUGGAAUAAAAGAAGGUGUUUAUUGUCUAAUCUUUGGCGUAUCAAGUACUUGAAAUAUUUGCAACAGUUAUAUUGCUCUCUCAGGUGCAUUGUCUUUGUGAUGAAAUGCACUCCAACUCCAAUAAUAACAAUGCAAAGCAAUAACUAUCCAAAGGUCAAGAAUGAUGAUCUUAAGUGCUAGCUACGUCCAUUUGAAUUGUCUAUAUAAAGGCUAAGGCAGCUUCGGCAAAUUUGCUUAUAUUUCCUCCAAACUUCCAAGAACUUGCAUCCCUCUUAGUUUCUUCCUUUCAUCCAACACACACACACACAAAUAAUAUUAUCAUGUUAAUGGUCUUUUAAUGAAAUUUUAUACUGUCGUUAUUAUCAUAUAAUUAUUGAGAUUAUUGAGCUGAUGAGAUUUUGGAUGGUUUUGAUUGAUCACUUUAGUUCAUCUGCGCAGACCAUUAGUUUGUUAAAUCCUAAAAGUAAUAUAUCAAUAUUGCACCUUGCUAAUUGUCCUUUAGACAAUAUUUGGAGGGGACAAUUUUAAAGACAGUGAUUCCUAUCAUGCUUACGAUUUAAAGAUAAGUUGAGACAGUUAGCAAAUAAGAUGACCUCAUUCAAUUGAUGAUUUUACAAGAUUUAAAGUUCUAAAACAGUUGAGAACUAAAUUAGCUAUGAAUUAUUUAAAGCUAAUUAAGAAAACUAUAUAAAGUAAACAUUGAAAAACAUAAAUGAAGAUAAAAAUGGUUGAUUUCUAGUUUCUACAACCCUUUUCUCUUCCUCUAAAUCUUGAAUUUAUACUAGGAAGAAGGCUUAAUACGAGCAAGUACGUAAGUAAUAAACUUGCGGUGGGGCAUUCUUCCAAUUAUCCGAAAAUGCUGAACAUGGGUUGAUAACAGCCUAUUAUGUCCUGAAACUAGAGCCUGCAAGGACAAGUAAACGAACAAUAAGAGAAAGGAUGUGAAAAUCAUUGUCUUCAUCCUCUGGCCGGCCUUUUGGUUCGAAAAGAAGCAUUAUAUAUUGCAGGAGGGUCAUUCUCAACAAAUUUCGCCACAUCUCGACGAAUAUACCUGCUAUACAGUCCAUUAAUAAAGCAUAGUUAAAUACAGACAACAAAUAGCUCUCAGUUGGACCCAGGCAAUUUUGAAGAAUCACUGGAAAAAUUAUAUCAAGAUUGCCUGAAUUGUCCUGGAUUAGUUGAUGGACAUCAAUCCAAUGGCUGCAAACAAUACCUUUGCCGAUUCGUUGGCCAAGUCUGAUGUGGAAAAAGUGGACACUAUUGUUUUCCUUGGUCGGUUGCUGCAUCUAAAGGUUGGCCACUGCCGCUUAUAUGGGACGUGGAGACGUUGGUGCUGUACUGAUUGUGUUUGCGAUGUAUGGAGUUACAUUUAUGGCGUAAUGCUGUGAUGGCCUCUGGGUUUGAUGUCUGUUGGCAAUGGAUGCACUUGGUGCAUGGGUAGAGUAUUGGAUGGUUUUGGUUGGGUGUGCCUCUGUCUUCAGUUAUAGAUCAUCUGUUUUGAGAUUCUUGGGGGCCCUGUUAUUGGCUGGUGCACUUUGGUGGUGAAAACUAUGCUGCUGUGUUGGUCUGAAUUUAUGUGUUUUUAGUUAUUUAAUGUGUGCCUGUAAGCUGCUGUAUGGUUUUCCUUCCAUUAUUCUUAGCGGCUGCCAUUACUGUUUCAUUACUCUUAGUUGAGUCAUAAACGACCACCAUUACUUGACCUGAAAAACCAUAUUUCCUAUGGAACUGUUGAAAACAAAUUUAUGAGCAUUGCCUUGGAGAUGAGUAGACGUGUUAGAAGUGGACAGUUAAGGACGAGGCCGGAAGAGAAUUUGGCGUAAGUAUAUGGUGGUUUCUUCAAUUAUGGAGAAGUAAUAACAAUAAUACAACUAAAUCAGCUGUCAUGUAGCAACGAAAUGACAAUGAAAGAGAACCCCAGAGACUGUCCAAACAAUAAAAAGGUUGUCUCACAAAGACCAAUUCAAUCUUGGUCCAGGUUAUCAAGACUAAUCAAUCUAUAUACUCUCACAAAUUUCCAAAGAAUUAAGUGACAAGGAUUGUCUAUAAAUAGUUUUCUUUCAAAAGCAAAGAAUACUUCAAUAAAUGAAAACAAUAAGUAUGUAACAAACCCACGUCAACACAAAACAAAAUAAUUUCUUGAAUAAUCUAAGUUAUCAACGUAAUUAAUCAUCAAUAUUAGAUUCAGUGUUUAUUAAAUAUCAGAUUUGAUAAAAUCAUCUGUUGGAAGGCACCCUGGAAGUGGGGUUCAUCACUUCCAACCCCGUGAACCAAUUGUUCAAGAAAGUUCUUAACAACGGUGACGUAUUUGUGUUUCCUAUGGGCCUUAUUCACGUCCAGAGAAAUGUUGGAUAUGGGAAAGACGUUGCGGUUGGAGCCCUUAACAGCGAGAGCCCUGGGGUUAUUACCAUUGCUAAUUCAGUGUUUGGUUCAAAUCCAAGCAUUCCCAGCGACGUUCUCGGAAAGGCUUUCCAGGUUGACCAGAAUGUGAUUUUUCAGCUGCUAGCUAAGUUCUAGACAGCCAUUUGUAAUACCAAAGGGUGUAAUUCUUUGCUGCUAAUGUCUGUUUACUUCUAAUAAUCAAAUAAUAAAUAGUGAAAGUAUAUAAUCUUUCACUUCCAAAGAAGAUUGAAAGUGUUAAGAAACUGAGAACUAAACCAUGCAUGCAUUAAAGCUAAGAAAACUAUAGGUAAGGUUGAAAAACUAUAAAUGGAGAUAACAAUGCUUGAUUUCUAGUUUCGAGAACCCUUCCACCCUCCUUUAUAUCUUGUAUUUAUAUUAGAAUGACCCAUUACUUUUACUGUUAACUUCGGUCGAGGCUAAAACUUGUUAAAAUUUCAAGCAUUUCUAGCUUAUACGUGUGGACUUCAAUCAUGAUUGAGAAUAGUUUCAAAAAGGCCAAGAUUUUCAAGUUCAACAAUUUGUAAAUUUCGACAAGUUUAUAGCCUUCAAACCCUAGCCAUAUACAAAAUUCAAUAUAUAAACUCAGAUCUUAGCUUAACAAGUCUACAAACUUGGAUAUACUUCACAUACCAAGAAAUAUAUAUAUGAGUGUAUCCGAGCAUUUAGCUCAUCAGUUGGUGUAUAAUUUUCUUACUUAAACUAGCAGGAUUCAAAUUCUUUUCUCUUUAUUUUAAAUAUAUAUAUAUAUAUAUUAAUAGACUUGUUAGAAGUGGAAAGUUAGAGACAAGAGGACAACAGAGAAUUUGAUACUCCUUUUAUUAGAAAAGACCGGCAGAAUUAAUUUAAUAAAGAGACAAUUUGGCUUAACUAUAUGGUGGCUUCUUCAAUUCUACAAAACAAAUAAAUUGAAAUCAGUUGUAAACGUCAAUGAAAGGGAACACUAGAAAAAAAAUGUUGUUCUACAAAGGCCAAUUGAAUCUUGAACCAGGUUAUUAAGAUCAUAUUCUAACAAAUUUCCAAGGAAUUAAACGACAAUGAUUAUGUAUUCUUUUUUAAAAGUAAGGAUCACUUCAUUAACAUAUUUACAAAAGCAAUAAGUACAUAAAAAGUGCACGUCAACAUAAAAUAAAAUAAUUUCUCGAGCAAUCAAUUUUAUAAAUGUAACUAAUAAUUAACAGCAGAUUUUACGUUCAUUAAAUAUCAUAUUUAAUAAGAUCAUUUGUCAACUUAUUAAUAAUCUAAUUAAAAUAUAUAAUGAAUUUAUCAUCUUCCUGACUAAAUUUUUAAAAUUUUAAUAUGCAAUAUAAUUAUAUAAGAAAUGAGUCUUGCAAAUGGAUGACAGCAAACAAAUAUCUCUUUCCUCCUUCUCACUAUAAAAGGAGAAGCAUUGCUUUUUCUUGCAUCGAGCAAUAUUUGUUGCAAAUGGCUACCAAAACCCUGUUUAUAGCACUCCUUGCUCUAACUUGCUUCAUUGCACUUGCAUUUGGUCAGGAUACAUAUGCAUCUGGUCAGAGUGUAUUUGCAUCUGGUGAGAGAAAUAGUGCUGUUCAUAAAUCAGUAGAUGAUUAUAAAUCAGAUAAUGAAGAUGUAUCUUUAAAACCAAAGCAAAUCAUCGAAACUGAUAACAGAGGUAGUGCUGCAAUAUCUGAUGAUCACAUUAAUGAUCAUAGAGUUGGUGCUGUUCCAAAUCAAUCCUCUCGUAGACAUAGUCCGCAUCAAAAUUUUCACCAGGCAGCUGAUCCCAAACACCAACCAAAGGAAGGUACAUCUGCAAUUUGGUUUUGUUUCUUUAUUUUUUUUCCUUUAUUAAUGGAUGAAUAUAUAUUAAUAUUGGUUUAUGGUUUUGUGCUGCUAGGCUAGCCAAUUGAUGAGUGUAUUGUUCAAAUCCUAGCAGUAUUACCAGUGAUCAUCUCGCCAAGGCUGCCAAGGAUUUGAGUUAUCUGCUACAAGCAAACUUCAAUAAGGGUCUUUAUUUGUUUGUUCUAAAAUGUCAAAUUUCCUCUCUUUACUCUAAUUUGAGCUUGUGAUUACUUUAUGCUAUAUUGAACGAGUGUUCUUAUGUGUGUGUCAUAUGACGUUUUAGUAGAAAUGUGUGUGCAAUGGGAUUUUGUAUCGUUGUAUUGGAAUAAAAGAAGGUGUUUAUUGUCUAAUCUUUGACGUAUCAAGUACUUGAAAUAUUUGCAACAGUUAUAUUGCUCUCUCAGGUGCAUUGUCUUUGUGAUGAAAUGCACUCCAAUAAUAACAAUGCAAAGCAAUAACUAUCCAAAGGUCAGGAAUGAUGAUCUUAAGUGCUAGCUACGUCCAUUUGAAUUGUCUAUAUAAAGGCUAAGGCAGCUUCGGCAAAUUCGCUUAUAUUUCCUCCAAACUUCCAAGAACUUCCAUCUACAAAGCCAUCCCUCUUAGUUUCUUCCUUUCAUCCAACACACACAUACAUAAUACACACUAUUUUCAUCAUAUAAUUUAUCAUGUUAUUAGUCUUGUUAUCAUAGUUUAUACUAUCAUUGUUAUCAUAUAAUUAUUUACAUUGUUGAGCUGGUGAGAUUUUGGAUGGUUUGGAUUGAUCACUUUAGUUCAUCUGCAAGGUUGCACAGACCAUUGGUUUGUUAAAUCCUAAAAAUAAUAUAUCAAUAUUGCAUCUUGCUUGCCCUUUAGAUAAUAUUUGGAGGGGACGGAUUUCCAUUUAAAGACAGUAAUUCCUAUCACGUUUAAAAUUUAAAGAUAAGUUGAAACAAUUUGCAAAUAAGAUGACUUUAUUCAAUUGAUGAUUUUGCAAGAUUGAAGUUGUUAAAACAGUUGAGAACUAAACUAGCUAUGAAUAAAAGCUAAUUAAGAAAACUAUAUAAAGUUAAUAUUGAAAAACAUAAAUGAAGAUAAAAAUGCUUGAUUUUUAGUUUCUACAACCCUUUUCUCUUCCUCUAAAUCUUGAGAAGAAGGCUUAAUAUGAGCUAGCACGUAAGUAAUUAACUUGCAGUGGGGCAUUCUUCCAAUUAUCCGAAAAUGCUGAACAUGGGUUGAUAACAGCUAGCCCGUCAUCUCUUGAAACUGGAGCCUGCAAGGACAAGUAAACGUACGAUAAGAGAAAGGAUCUGAAAAUCAUUAUCUUCAUCCUCUGGCCGGCCUUUUGGUUCGUAAAGAAGUAUUAUAUAUUGCAGGAGGGUCAUCCUCAACAAAUUUCGCCACAGCUCGACGAAGAUACCUGCUAUACUGUCCAUUAAUAAAGCAUAGUUAAAUACAGACAACAAAUAGCUCUCAGUUGGGCCUAGGCAAUUUUGAAGAAUCACUGGAAAAAUUAUAUCAAGAUUACCCGAAUUGUCCUGGAUUAGUUGAUGGACAUCAAUCCAAUGGCUGCAAACAAUACCUUUGCCGAUUCGGUGGCCAAGUCUGGUGUGGAAAAAGUGGACACAAUGGUUUUCCUUGGUCGUUUGCUGCAUCGAAAGGUUGGCCACUGCCUUUUAUAUUGGACACUGUCUUUACAUAGAAUGAUACUUUCAAACAAAAUACCUUGCUUGCCCUUCACACAAUAUUUUCAUUUGAGAAAGUUUCCAAUAAGAUGACCUUACUCAAUUGAAAGUGUUAAAGAAGUUGAGGACUAAACUAUGAAUUCAAGCUAAGAAAACUAAAGGAAACGUUCAAAAACAUAAAAGAAGAUAAAUAUCCUUUGUAGCCUUUGUAAGCCUAGCCAUACACAAAAUUAAUUAAUUUAAUCAAGGGAAAAUUAAUUAAUUAAUUUAACAUGAGUAUAGCUGGACGUGUAUUGGAAGUGGGAAGUUAAGGACAAGAGGCCGGAAGAGAAUUUGAUACACCUUUAAUUAAAAAAUAUAGGCAUAAUUAAUUUAAUAAAGGGACAAUUUAACGUAAUUAAUAUGGUGCCUUCUGCAAUUUUACAUAAUCACUAAUUAUAAUGAAUUUAAAUCAACUGUCAUGUGGUAAAAAGACAUCAACGAAAGACAAUCCCAAAAAAUAUCCGGACGAAUUCAAUUUUGAUCCAAGUAACUAAGAGUAAUCUAUGUAAUAAUAAAUUUAUAAGAAAUUAAACGGUAAUGAUUAUAUAUAAAUAUUUUCUUAAAAUAAAUACAAACAUCACUUCAUUAACAUAUUGAUAACAACAAUAAGUACAUAACAAACACACAUCAACCCAGAACAAAAUAACUUCUUAAAUAAUUAAAAUUUUUAAUUCAACUAAUCAUCAUUAUAUAUAUCAGGUUUUGUAUCCUCUUGGACAUCAGAUUUGAUAAGAUCAUCUAUAAACUCAUUAACUACUCAAAAGACGUCACCAAUUAAUUGAUUUUUUUUAAUUUUUAAGAUACAAUUUAACUCAUCACCAAUGACAGCUAACCAAUAUCUCUCGCUUCCGUCUCACUAUAAGAAGGAUAAGCAUUGCUUUUUCUUCUACUCAGCAAUAUUUGUUGCAAAUGGCUACCAAAACCCUGUUUAUAGCACUGCUUGCACUAACGUGCUUCGUUGCACUUGCAUCUGGUCACAGAGGCGGUAGUGCUCAGAAAUCACCAGAUAAUUAUAAACCAGAUAGUGAAGAUGUAUCUUUAAAACCAACCAAAGCAAUCGAAACUGAUGAUAGAGGCAAUGCUGCAAUAUCUAAUGAUCAUAGAGAUGGUGCUGUUCCAAAUCAAUCCCAUCAUACACACAGUUCGCAUCAAAAUUUUCAUCAGGCAGCUGAUUCCAACACCAAUCAAAAGGAAGGUACUACUGCAAUAAUUUCAUUUAUUUCUUCCCUUAUCAAUGGAUGAGUAUAUAUACAUAUAUAUAUAUUAUAUAUAUUAUAUAUACAUAUAUAUUUAUAUAUAUAUAUAUUAAUAUUGGUUUAUGGUUUUGUGCUGUUAGGCUAGCCAAUUGAUGAGUGUAUUGUUCAAAUCCUAGCAGUAUUACCAGUGAUCAUCUCGCCAAGGCUGCCAAGGAUUUGAGUUAUCUGCUACAAGCAAACUUCAAUAAGGGUCUUUAUUUGUUUGUUCUAAAAUGUCAAAUUUCCAUUGAACGUGUGUUCUUGUGUGUGUUGUGUGAAUUAGUUCAAGCUGUGUUAGGAAUGUCUUGAAUUGUGAUUUAAUUAAGAUUGUUUAAUUCUAAUUAAAUUAGUAUACCUUAUAAAAUAGUCUUUAAAUCUAGUUAGACUAGAAUAACAAUUCAUAAUUCUAUUAGGAUAAGAUUCCUAAUUAUAUUAAGAUAAGGUUAUUGUAUUUGGCACUAUAAAAGGACCAUAUGGGUUAAAGAAUAAUCAUCACCUAGAUUUAGAGAGAGUGAUUUAGGUGUACGUGGGAUAAGGGUUAUGAGUUUGAGACUGUUCUUGUAAUCUGCUGAUUUUUCUCUUAGUGGAUUUUUCUCUAUUACUGUGCCCGUGGACGUAGGUCAUCAAAAGACCGAACCACGUAAAUUCUUGUGUUCUUGUGGGUGUGCUUGAUUUCUUUCUUUCUUUAUUCUAUUGAUUGGGUUAGAUCUUGGGCAAUUCUUUAGAGACAAUUUCGUAAUUUCCCAAUAAACUGGUAUCAGAGCUUCAAGGUCUUUGGUCAAUCUGAAUCUCGCUAUGGCAACUUCGUCGACCAAGUAUGAGAUUGAAAAGUUUAAUGGAAGAAACGAUUUCAGCCUGUGGCGUGUUAAGAUGCGCGCAUUGCUAGUGCAACAAGGACUAUUGAAGGCACUGAAGGGAAAAGAGUAUCUUCCUUCGAAUUUAUCUGAUGGUGAGAAAGAUGACCUUAUGGAGAAAGCACAUAGUGCUAUUCUCUUAGCUUUGUCUGAUGAAGUGCUAAGAGAAGUCACGGAUGAAAAAUCUGCUGCUGCAGUGUGGCUUAAACUCGAAAGUAUUUAUAUGACCAAAUCUCUGACGAAUCGGCUUUAUAUGAAGUAACGAUUGUAUACUCUUAAGAUGAGUGAAGGUACGUCCGUUAAUACCCACAUUGAUGAAUUUAAUAAAGUUAUUCUUAAUUUAAAGAAUAUCGAUGUUAAAAUUGAGGAUGAAGACUUAGCCCUAAUUCUUUUAUGUUCUUUGCCUCCAUCGUAUGAAAAUUUCGUGGAUACUAUAUUAUAUGGCCGAGACACUCUCACUUUCGAGGAUGUAAGAGCAUCUUUAAAUUCCAAGAAAUUGAAGAAGAAAGUUGGUGGUAUCCAGAAUGAAAAUCAAGCAGAAGGUUUGGUUGUGAAUAGAGGAAAAGAUAGAGAGAAGGGUAUAGACAGAAAAGGUAAAUCUAGAGUAAAAGGGAAAACUUGCUGGAAUUGUGGUCAGAAAGGGUAUUUUCGUCAAGACUGUACCAAAUUCAAGGAUGAUGAAAAGUUCAAUAAGUCUGAGAAUACUGCAAACAUGGUUGGAGAUGACUUUAAUACUUUUGAGGAAACUGAUAAUGUUCUUGCAAUUACUAAUUGUAACCUGAUGGAUACAUGGAUCUUGAAUUCGACUUGUUGCUUUCAUAUAUGUCCUAGGUGUGAUUGGUUUACAACUUAUCAAUCUGUUAAUAUGGGCACUGUACAAUUAGGAGAUGAUUUCUCUCUCUCAGUUGUUGGGAUUGGCACAAUUCGAAUCAGAAUGUUUGAUGGUAUGGUAAGAACACUUGAGGUAAAACAUGUCCCUGACAUGAAAAAGAAUUCAAUAUCCUUAAGUUUGUUAGAUAAGAAGGGCUACAAAUAUAGUGGCCAAGAUGGUGUCUUGAAUGUAUCUAAAGGAGCCUUAACUAUCAUGAAGGGCAAGUUAUCCAGUGACCUUUAUUGUCUAGUGGGAAACACGAUCAUUGAAACUGUUUCUGUGGUCUCAUCUAAUGAUCCUGAAGAUGAUGUAACACGUUUAUGGAAUAUGAGAUUUGGUCAUAUGAGCGAGAGAGGGAUUAGAAAACUAAGUAAGCAUAGUUUGCUGUGUGGUCAAAAGAGUGGAAAGCUAGAUUUCUGUGAGCAACAUAGAGUGAAAUUUAGCACUAAAACUCAUCAAACCAGGAGUACAGUAAACUACAUCUAUUUAGAUUUGUGGGAUCCUUCUCCGGUGGCAUCAAAAGGUGGAUCAUUAUACAUGUGGAUCUUUAUUGAUGAUUUUUCAAGAAAGGUGUGGACGUAUCUUCUAAAGGCUAUGAGUGAAGUGUUAACCACCUUUUUGCAUUGGAAGGUAUUGAUCAAGAAGUAGACUAAGAAAAGGAUUGAGAGCUUUCGAACAAACAAAGGUUUGGAAUUUUGCAAAGGUGAGUUUGGUUUAUUCUACAAUAAUGAAAAAUUCAUUAAACAUUGCACUGUCGUCAAAACACCACAUCAAAACGGUAUUGUAGAAUAGAUGAAGAAAACACUUCUGGAGAGAGCAAAAUACGUGUUCUCUAAUGUUGGCCUAACCAAAAUAUUCUGGACAAAAGCUAUCAACAAGGCUUGCUACUUGGUAAAUCGGUCUCCAUCAACUGCAAUUGAAUAUAAGACUCCCAAGGAAGGUUGGUCUGGUAAGCCCGCUGAUUACUCUAUAUUGAGAGUGUUUGGUUAUCUUGUUCAUGUUCAUGUGAGUGAUGGUAAACUUGAGUUGAGGGCGACGAAGUGUAUAUUCGUAGGCUAUGCAUAUGGGGUCAAGGGUUAUCGGUUGUGGUUUACUGAUUGUAAGUUCCCCAAGUUUAUGGUGAGUCGGGAUGUUACAUUUGACAAGUCUGCAUUACUUUGUGGGAUAAAGUCUAGAAUUGCAAACACAUCAGACCAAGAAGUUGGCAAGCAGGUGGAGUUUGAAAUCAAUGCUCUUGUGACAAUGCGGGAUGAUAGUGAAAUCCAGAAUGAAUUACAAGAGGUACAAGAAUUGGUAUCUCAACAAAGCAUUACUUGUAUUGAUGGUGAUUCUGAUUCUUAUGUUUUAUUUGUGGAAGUAGAGAUUGAUGAGCCUUACUUUUAUCAUGAGAAAAUUAUAUAUGUCGAGUCUUCUAAGAAGAUUGAGUCUCUACACUGGGAUCAAACAUGGGAGCUUGUGAAAACACCUAAAGUUACUAUUGAAGUUGGCUUAGUAUAUGAAGGAGGUGCAAACACUAGUUGUAAUGUGGUUGGCUUCUCCGAUUCAGAUUUUGCUGGUGAUCUAGAUAGUAGAAGAUCUCAAACGGGGUAUGUGUUCACUCUCUCAGGAUCUGCAAUCAGUUGGAAAGCAGUUCUUCAAUCAACCGUUGCUUUGUCUACAACUGAAGCUGAAUAUAUGGCUGUGACCGAGGCAGUGAAGGAGGCUUUGUGGCUUAAAGGCUUGGUUAGUGAUCUUGGUUUUGAACAAGCACAAACAGUUGUGUUUUGUGAUAGUCAAAGUGCUAUACAUUUGACUAAAAAUUAGAUGUUUCAUGAGAGAAUCAAACACAUCCAAGUCAAGUGUAACUUCGUUCGAGAGAUUAUUUCUAAAGGUGACAUUGUAGUAAAGAAAAUAGCUACAGAUGAAAAUCCGACAGAUAUGCUAAUUAAGUCAGUUUCUGAGAUAAAGUUCAAGCAUUGCUUGGACUUGAUCGGUGUUCAUAGUGCUUGAGGCCCUUUGGGGCAUUGGCGGUGUCAACAGAGAUUGGUUUGUAAGGUGGAGCUUGGUGAAUUCAAGCCUAAGGUGGAGAUUUGUUAGGAUAGUCUUGAAUUGUGAUUUAAUUAGGAUUGUUUAAUUCUAAUUAAAUUAGUAUACCUUAUAAAAUAGUCUUUAAAUCUAGUUAGACUAGAAUAACAAUUCCUAAUUCUAUUAGGAUAAGAUUCCUAAUUAUAUUAAGAUAAGGUUAUUGUAUUUGGCACUAUAAAAGGACCCUAUGGGUUAAAGAAUAAUCAUCACCUAGAUUUAGAGAGAGUGAUUUAGGUGUACGUGGGAUAAGGGUUAUGAGUUUGAGACUGUUCUUGUAAUCUGCUGAUUUUUCUCUUAGUGGAUUUUUCUCUAUUACUGUGCCCGUGGACGUAGGUCAUCAAAAGACCGAACCACGUAAAUUCUUGUGUUCUUGUGAGUGUGCUUGAUUUCUUUCUUUCUUUAUUUUAUUGAUUGGGUUAGAUUUUGGGCAAUUCUUUAGAGACAAUUCCGUAAUUUCUCAACAAGCUGAAAUGUAUUUGGAAUGGGUUUUGUGUUAUUGUAUUUGAACAAAAGAACGUAUUUAUUUUCUUAUUUUUGGCGUAUUAUUUAUAAUAUUUAUAACCCUUUUUUUUUCCUCAGCCAAACCUGGUAAAUUGAUUAGAAAUAUAGGAAUGAAAACAAGAAAGUUUCCCCUGAAGAUAGGGAGGAACAAAAGAGCCAAAAAAACCUGUGGCAAAACUGGUGAAAUGUCUGAGAACAGCAACUGAUACAGAGCAACGGAAAAACAAAACAGCCAUGCAAAAAGGACAAAACCACGAAUCAAAACAGCAGGAACAAAGGCAAAAGAAAGAAACAAAGCUGAGCAAAAAAAAAAUGGUCAUCCACAGCAAUAUCAGGGGCCAGCUUGAGAAAAUAAUCAAAGCCGCAACACCAUGAGAAUGCCAAACCAAAGCUGAAGCGGAGAAGAAAGAAACUUCGAAGAUCCCGAGCAAACACCAGCAUGAUGGCCAAUCCAGAAAAAAUCAUAAGCAAAAAGCGUCAUUGAGUCACCACAAAGCAAUGAACAUGGAUGAUUUAUCAACACCUACUUUGGCUAAAUAAUCAGCAAACGAAUUUCCUUUUGCGCAAAAUAUAACUGCAAGAUACAUUACCCAAUUGAUGACAUAACGUGUCAAUCUCAUUGAAAAUUUGCCAAUGAUUCCAAGGUCAAUAAGAGUCGCCAGUCACUCAAGAAAUAGCAAUUUUUGAGUCAAACUCGAUUGAUAACUGAGAAUCAUGACAAGGUGAGGAGGAAAACAAGUCUUGGAGCAUGCAGAAUUACCAUGAGCUACGUAAAGUUCAGAAUUCCUUAGAAUGUCCCCACAGCCUGCUAGUCCAGGCUUACCUUUAGCAGAGCCAUCCACAUUAAAUUUAAGUUCCCCUGUUGCUGGUGGUUGCCAUGAAAUCUGAGGAUGAUGAAUAUGGGAAGACCUUGAUAAGAAGAGAUAAGGGGAGCCAUCCACCCGCCAUUUUCAUCAAUGCAAUCAUUAUCGUCACAAGCCUGAAUCCAUAAAAAGGAACGGGAUCUAAUCAGGAAAAGGAUCUCAUGUUCAUUCCAUGUCUUGUUGGAGAAGACUGUCCCAUUUCGGGCCAGCCAAAAAGACCAGAAAGUAGCAGCGCACACCAUUAUCCACCUUGAAUGAAAAUUGAGAUUGAAUUAGGAAUGGACCAUAAAAAACUCACCAUUGAAGGACGAGACCCAAACUUUCCAACUAGAGCUGCACGCGAUCAGGAUAUGUGAGCAGUCUCGCUCCCAAAACCACACCAAAAACAAUGAAGUUGGCCAUCACUCAAAGGCAUACCACGGGAAGCAAGAAAAUGCUUGGUAGGAAUUGAAUCAAGGUUGGCCAGCCAUAAGAAGCAUUGAAUUUUCAGAGGAAUUGCUAACUUCCAUAAAGAGUGAAACCAAACUCUUUGAUCAUGAGAAAUGGAGUCAAUUCAAACUCUUUGCUCCAACGCAUUCUGUUCACUCAUUGCAGCACGUCCUUUCUCCUUACCAAAACAACCUUUUACAGUAUGCAACAUUUGUAUGGAUUUUAAUAUUUACCAUGGAUUCUGACCUUUCUUAAAUCCUUUCACAGAAGAAGAAAUCAAAAGCAACCCACAAAAACAACAAGGUACUAUCAAAUUUUAUAGAAUAUAAAUUUGAUUUAAAAUUUAGAUUAUCAUAUCUUCCCACUUUAAGAAAUUCAAUCAAAUUCGAUCGUUGUGGUAUCUAAACAAGUUCACUUUCGAGUUCCCAAGUGGUCUCUUCGAUUGAAUGAUAUUGCUAAAAAUUUUUGCAUGGGAUAUUCUUUUAGAAUUUCACUUUCAAGUUCACUUUUGACACCUCAUGAGCAGGUGUCUUUCUUUAAGUUGUUUACCACAGUGUCUGAAUAAGCACCCAAAUCCUAUUAAAUACAUUCAAAGCAGUUCAAUUAGAUUAAAACAAGAGAAAAAACAUUCUCCCUUGUGCUGAGAAAUGUAGCAAACCAGAGAUGUUUUUGUUGUUUUGGACUUGAUUUUAAAACUCAAAUGCUAAAACUAAAUUCUCGAAGAUGUUUUCUAAAUCCUUGUUUAUAACAGUUUGUACUUAAUUAGAGUUAACUCCUUAAGUUAUGUUAAUUACAGCUUUUGUUCUGCUGUAAUUAUGCCUGCAAUGUUUUCUUCCAAUCUUUCUUUCAGCCAAUUGAUGGGGGAAAACAGAGAAAGAAAAGCUAUACUGACUAACUGAUAAAAUUUUGCAAGAUGAAUCAAGCUGGUCUGCAGAAGUGCAAAUACAUUGGUGCAUGUGUGUAGCUAGAAGCCUAGAACAAAACUAUGCAAUUAAAGUUUUGUCCCAAAUCAAAGACCAGAAAACAUAAGGAAAAGAAUUAGAUGGGAUAAUUGGUUAAUACUAUUCUGUCAAAACAUUUGUAGGAGGAACCUCAUUCCUCCAGAGAAGGUGAAGAAGAUGAUGUGGAGGAGCUACAGAUUCCACAUGUCACCCACGGUUACCAUUUAGUGAAAGGAAAAAUGGGUCAUGGAAUGAAUCAAGGGCCAUGACCUCCAACUUUAUGCAAUUUUUGAUGGCCACUUAGGUCAUGAUGUUGCAGAGUACUUGCGGACUCACCUCUUUGACAAGAUAUUGAGAGAGGUAUGAACUUGGUACUUUCUGUUUCGAUUGAACAGAUUUUCCUGUCUAGGAAAAUUUUCAUGUUCUCUUCCAAAUUCUAACAGCCUGACUACUGGAGAACCCCGAAACGAGCAAUCAAAAGAGCUUACAAGCAACAAAUGAUGAGAUUUUGGAGGAUGUUGCUCGUUCUCGAGGUGGCUCAACUGCUGUUACAGCAAUACUAAUUGAUAGACAAAAGCGAAUUGUGGCUAAUGUUGGUGAUUCUCGAGCAAUCUUAUGCCGAGGUGGUGCACUGAAACAAUUAACAACAAUCAUGAGCCACAGAAGGAGAAAGAAUUAGUUGAAAGCAGAGAUGGAUUCGUGUCCGAAAUGCCAGGUAAUGUAGGUUUGAUCUAAUUUACUCUUCUUCUUGCUCCUUGCCCUCUCUUGUUGUAAGAUAAUACAGUACUAAUCUACAUAUUGGAAUAACACUGGAUAUGAUCUAUAUUGGAGUAGGGAUUGUUCCUCGGGUGGAUGGGCAGCUGGCGAUGACAAGGGCCUUUGGAGAUGGUAAACUGAAGGAACAUAUCACUUCAGAACCAGAUGUAAGGGUUGAAAUGAUUGAUCCAAAUGCAGAUGAAUUCUUCAUUGUAGCAAGUGAUGGCCUUUGGAAGGUAAAAUUGUAGCCUUACCUUGUGAGUAAAUCUUUAAAACAAAACAAUUCUGUCAUGAAGAUUUAUCAUCAAGUUUGGCUAAUGCAUGCAGGUAAUGUCAAAUGAAGAGGCUUUUGAUCACAUUAGAGAGUUUGACGAUGCCCAAGAAACGUCAGAGGAAUUAAUCAGAGAAGCUUUAGCUAGGGGAUCCAACUCUGACUUGGAAGUUGAAAGCGAUUCCCUUAACGCCAUUCUCUGGACGAGACACCAUAGCAAAGUCCCUUGGCGUAUGAAACUAAUCUCCAAUGCCAUUGAAACUCUUUCUAAAUCAUUCAGGAAAGUCACCUUUAAUCAUAUCAGCCGGGAGAUAAACUUAAUAGCUGAUGGUCUUGCUAAAGCCGGGGUUUUGAGAGCUGUUAACUUCAGUACCUUCCUUCAGCCGCCAGGAAUGGAUCCUUCCUCUGAAGCUUAGCAAGGGUUUGUUAGUUAUUGAAUUUAUCAAUUGGACUUUCCCUGUCAUGUCGGACACUUCUAAAAUGCACUAAUGCUUCACUUUCCCUGUUCAGACUAUUUCUGAUGCUUGCCAACCCUCGUAUGUGAGGAUGCUUUUGUUCUUUUGAAAGCUGUUUAGCUUGUUAUCUCUUUAAGAGACCUCAUCAAUAAAUUUGCCUUUCGAAAAAAAAAAAGAUGAUAUCUAUUGUAUAGUUGUAGCUUUUCAUUAAUUACUUAUGUUUCAUACGUUGGAGGUUUUGUGCGCGCGCACACACGAUGUUUGGUUUAUGCAAAGUAGUAGUGUUCACUAUCUCUAACAGGAAGUGAAAUGGUGAAUCCUAAAAUUGCAUUUGAGAUUUGGCUUUUGUACAUUUCAUUGCGUUAUUAGGGUGAAUGGAUUGUCCUUAGUGAGCAGAUCUAUAAGGAAUAGAUCAGAAGAACUUUAGUCAAGUACAUUUCCUAUAUAUAAACAAGACAUCUAUGAUCAAGUGUAAUUGAGAAGGCAAUAAAAUUCUCCUGAACUGAAAGCUUCAACCAUGUAGGGUAUACUUGUUUCAGUUACAAUGAUUCUUUACAAUGUACAAUGAAUAGAAAAUGGUGAUAUACAACAAUGGUGGGUGUGGCAGUAAAGCUGGACUCAGAAAGACAGUUCAAAGAGAAUAAAUCAAACUAACACCAUGAAACUAAAGCUAUUAACAGUCUGGUCUUCAUGAACUGGUUAUGUCCCGGAAAACUGGCAGCCGAUUUCUCCUUGAUGAAACAGUGUUUGCUGAUGCAUUGUCCUCACCUUUCAUAUCAAAUGAUUCAAGUUGUUGAGUGAUAUUCCCAAUAUGAUCCUUACAAUCAGGGCGUGGAUAAAUUAUGUUGGAAUUCAGGUUUUCAUCAUUGAACACCUCUUCCCUGUUGAAGCCAUCAUAGCUGUUGAGUAAUUCUUCUUUCUCUUCUUCUUCAACCAUGUCUGCCCAGCUUUUCUUAUUUGGUGCAUUUGCAGGCCUUUCCAGUCCAAUUUCUGAUUCAUCUUUAGAUGAAAACAAUGGCUCUCCAUUAAGACCAUGCGCUGAAUGAGGAGUCACACCAGUUAUAUUCUUCUCAAAUGAUAGCUUGCGAAAUGGACAGCCAACAGAUUCUUCUGCCCAUCUUUCCAUUCUUUGAUCUCUAUUAUUUAGCCACAACAAAGAGUUUCUGGGCUGUGUGAAUAGAACUCCAGAUAAGCCCUCCUGAACUUCCUCUUCCACUGGGCCAGUUGCAGAGUUCUCAGACUUCCCAUUAUUUGAAGCUGGUGGUUUUUCGUUAAGAUUCUGGAUUGAAUGUAAUGGCUCACUUUCACUGGUUAGAGAUUGCUCAAAGGAGAGUUUUCGAAUUGAAUUUCGAACUGUAUCUUCUCCCCAUCUUCCUCCUCUCUUCUGAUCUGCAUUAUUGAAGCCCUGUGAACAUCGUCUUGGUUGGGUAAAUAAAGCUUCUGAGUUCUUUUUACUAGCUGCUGAGGAAGCAUAUAUUUUCUUUUGUGCAGAACCUACUUCUUCUCCUGUUGAAUACCCUUCACACGGGCUUUCCCAAUAUGAACCUAUUCUCCACUUCUCAGUGAACAUGCUUUGUGGAGAAGACUGCAAAUAACCUUUCUGUCCAAUUGGUGUGCAUUUUGAACUUCUGUCAUCAUAUCCAGGGAAGUUAUCAUUCUUCUCAAGUGGAUUUCUGCGGUAAGAUUCACCAUUUUGCUCAUCUAUUAGCAUCUUCCCCUCCCAAUGUGCAUAUGGCAACCUUCUCCUGCCCAUAAAACCUGAAAUGUUGUCCUCAUUUCUAGGAAGGAAAAUGCCGGCUUCUUUCAAACCUCUAUCCCUGCAUGGUGUCGAGGGUCUUUGAAUUUCCCUUCCCUUAUCUGGUUCCUUUGCCACUGGCUCUAACAUUGAUUGUGAUUCUACUUGGAUCAGCAUAUCAAGAGCACGUUCAUAAGAUUUAGAGUGGGAUUCAUCCAUCUGUUCAUUUCCUGAUGAAGCUUUCACAUCCUGAAGCAGUGAUUUUGCUUCACUGAUCCUGUUCAUGUGCAUCAAGCAUAUUGCCAGGUUGCAUUGCUUGUUCAUAUCUGGCUCCAGAGACAAUGCUUUUCUGUAAUGAAUUAAAUUCAAUGUAAAAUAUAUAUACGCUCAUUUCUCUCAAAAAAAUGUGGUGCAUGUAUAUAAUUUUAGGGAAAAUAAAAAGAGCAUACCUGUAAUGUUGCUCAGCAAUUCCAUAAUUAUGUUGCUGGAGAUAGGCCCAGGCCAAAUUCCCUAGUAUCCUGAACCAUUAUAGGAGGGGACCAAAGAUAGAUGAAUAUGCAGAAAAAAUAAGUAGAAAGAAUAAGAAAAAUAAAGAGUAUGAGUACAGCAUCCACCUUGAUUUCUCUUGUUCAAUAGUAAUCUGAAUCUUCUUCCCUUGAGAUCUCGCAAUCUUUGUCCUCUUCCCGCCAAAAACUGUCCCUUCCUCAAUGUUCCUCAGUUUGUUCUGAAGCAUUUCAAUCUCUUCUUCAACCCUUCCGGACCUCUGCAAAAACAAACAAUUGCAUAAAACAAAUAUGCCCUGAGUCUCCAUACCAUAAGAAGACUAUAAACAGAAGGGCAUAUUAUCAUCGAGUACAACUGACGCCAGUAGUUUGAGAUAACAAAUUUGUGACAUUUACAUCAAAACAGAAUGAAUUGAAACAAAAGGACAUGACCUUAUGAGCUCCUAAGCUUCAUCUCAACUCAAUUUAAUACUAAUGAAACUAAGCUUGAUAGAAACAGAUACACAUUUGAAGAUAAGAUGAUGCAAAAUACAGAUUGCCAUUGUACCUUGUAGAGUUCAACAAGGACAUUAUCAAGAGACUCUUGAGAAUCAUGAGGACAAAGAUGACGGAAAGAUUUGAUCGCCUCAAUAGCCUCAUCAGAUCUAUUAAGUUGUUUCAUCACAACAGCCAUGUCUUUCAAUGCACUGUCAACCCGAUCUCCAGCAUUAAUAGCUGCCCAGAACAGGGAAAUGGCUUUACUGGGAUCCUUGUCUAUCAACUGCGGGGUCCAGAAUAAAAUAUUAGUAUACACAAACAAAACACUAAAUGGAAACAUAACAAAUCCAAAUGUGAGCUAAGCUCACCAUUGAACUCUAAAGACUAAACUAGUAAAAUUGUAACCCUUGAUAGUAAAGAUACCUUCAGCAACCAUUCUAUUAUAAAGCAUUCACCCAAAAUCAUUCUACUAAAUGGGAAAGCAUAAUUAAUGCUAUAAAAGCUGAAGAAAAGACAAUCACAUGAAUCCCCAAAAGUUCUGUUUUGUUGCAAAAUAAUAUAAGUUGACAAGCAAUUCAUAUUCCUGGUAACCCAAUAUAAGGCCAUUAGGGCAAAGAAACAACAAAAAACGAAUCUUUGAUACCAAUUACCAAGAAAUAAUAAGAAUGCAUGUAUCAAAAACCCCCAAAAGAAAAAUCAAGAAAUUAACCAAGGAAACAGUAAAAAAGGAGAAUGUUUCUAAAGAAAGAAGACCAAAGGAAUGGGGAAACCAAAAAGGAAGAAAACCCGGAAACAAACCAUUAAUAGUUAGUUUGGCACAUAAAGCAGAUGAGCUGACAUUGAGAAAUUAAUGGUAUAAUUAACCUGGACGUGCUUUGCCCUGCCAUAAGGAGAAUCAGAAGCUGGAACUUUGUGAAUGACAUGAAAAGAAUCGGCCUGAUCGGCAGGCGAGAUUCUUUUCCUCUCUGACAUUGGCAAAACAGACGACUGUGUUUUCUUCCAUGCAGGCGGCUGCGGGGUGAAGAAACCCCUCGAUCUCGAUGGAAGGUUCUUUUCGUUUGACCACAUUACCUCCGAUCUCCUUUUCUCAGAAAAAUCUCGAUACCCUUUUCCAGAAUUUCCAAGAAAGUGCUUCUAUCAAUGGAAAAAAGAAGCACCUUCUAGCGAUAUACUCUACUCUACUCUUGGUCUCUUACUCUAAACAAAGCAAACCAGUCUUUAGAACAGACCACUUUAGCUCUUGAAAAUUUCUCUUGAUACUUGAUAAAGAAGGAAGAUUCCCGGAAACAGUAAGAAACUGAGAGAUAAUUGAAAGAUAAAAAAAGAGCGAUGAUGAUGGUGAUGGUGAUGAUGAUGAUGAUUCCUUUUGAGAAAAUGUGAAGGAGAAAGUAGCGAAGAGAAACUGGAAAAAAAUGGAAGAAAAGAAAAGAACUAGCCGUUUUAUAAUUACUAGCCGUUGGGGUUUUGGAGGACCCACGCGCUUCCUUGCGGGUGCCAUGCUAAAUAUUCAUUUCCCUUUCUAAUAUAUUUUUAACAAAAAGAAAGAUCUAAAUUGUAAGAUACAUUUGCACACCAAUAAUAUUAUGUGUGAUGAAUUAAUUACAAUUAAUUCAUAAAUUAAUUAAAAUUUUUAAAUUUUAAUCAAACCACUACUUAUAAAAUUAAAAAUAAAUCAACUUUUGAAUGAAUAUAAAAAAUAUUCAUGAAAAUCAUUUUCUUAAAUUCUCCAAUUAAGAAAGCCAGAAAAAACUUAAUAUCUUCAAUCUAAAUCUUUUUUUUUAUUUAGUGCUUCAACCAAACUUUGUCUAUAUCUUUUGAGAGGUUUUAGAAUAUAUAUUUUUAAUUUAAUAACAAAAUAUUUUAGAUUUACUAUUAAUUAUUUUAUUUUAUAUUAAUGUAGUAUACAAUAAAAAGAGUAAAAUAUCUAAAUUCACCCAAAUAUAUUUAUUAUUAAAAUAUCUUUUUAAAGAAAAAAUAACAAAUCAGUAAUAUUGUGUAUCACAAAUCUAAUGGUUUGAUAGAUUUUUUUCCAAAUAUGACUUUUUAAUAUCAUGUUAACAUGUAUUUCUCAAGACAAUGCCUUAAUUUUAUUAAGUGAUGUUAUAAGAUUUCAUUUUUACGCGCGUUAUUUAUUAUUUUUAUUUUUUUUAUAAAUAUAUAUAUAUACUUAUUUUACUAUAAUUAUUCUCCUAAAAUAAUUUUCUUUUUUAUUAUAAUUAAAAAAAACUCUUAAUUAUAUUUCUCAUAUUUUUCACAUCAAAUCAAUUAUUUGAUUAAUUUAUGAAGUAUUUUUUUAACAACUCUCUUAUUAUUAUUAUUAUUAUUUUCACUGGCCCCAAUAUAAAAUUUUGGGCUUCCUUACUCUAUAGAAUGAAAUUAAAUGAGUAGAAGGUAAAGAAAUUAAAAAACUAAAAAUACUUUUUUAGAUAAAUUUAGUUUUAUGAAUAAUAUACAUAUAAUUAACAUGUAAAAUAAUAUAAAAAAUUGUAAACUUGAAUGUUAAUAUAAAAAAAUUAAAAAAAAAAAGAGAAAUAUAUUUGAAAUAAAAAAAGUACAAAUAUUAUGUAUUAGAAAAAGAAAAAAAUAAAAUUAUUUUUAACUGAACUUUUCGUACGUUUCCAAUAAGAUCCUGCCUUCCCUUCUACAUAAUCCCUCCCUUCUCCCCCUCCGCUAAGUAACCCACACAGGACGCUUAAACUCUCUCCCUCCACUGAUAGAAAGGAAGCCCCAAAGCCAACAGAGAUUCUCUUUAUACGUAUACAGACUCCAUUAUACGUAUACGUAUACGCCAUUUCUGCUUCGGAGGUACCAUCUCUACUCCCUUUGAUCUUCACUUCAAUAAUUUUUUGGGUGUCUCGUUUGCUUUUAUAUUUCCUUCAAAUUUCACUGUUAUUUUUUCUGUAAUUUGUACCCAAAGUGGUUUGUUAAAGCACUAACGCAUGCAUUGCUUUUUCUACGAUUUUAUCCCUUUGCUUUUUCUUCAAGUUGAGGGGCAUAAAAGAAUAUGCAAAUUUUUAGCCUUAUCUUUUCUGCUGAAAUUUUCCCUCUUUGUGUUAAAAGUUUCAAUUUAAGAGGCUUUAAAUUUUCAUUUUUAUUAGUACGUAGGAAUGUAAGUUUUGAUUUUUUUUCUUUUUUUUACUAAUUAUGUUAUAUUUAUUUAUGUAUUGUGGCCUCGAGUUGUUAUAUAGACGUUUUAUUGGCUGAAUAAAAAUUGGGUUCUGGUUUUAUUUAUUUUUUAUGUUAGUUGUUUUAUGUACUUUUCAUUGUCAUGUCAUUUUUGCUUUUGGGUAUGCUUUUUUUUUUUUUUUUGGUACAGAAUUUCGGGUAUGGUUCAUUUAACUUUUGCCUUAAAGGUUGAGUUUUUUUUUUUUUAAAUGAAAUAAUUGAAGUGAAAGUUUUCUAAGGUUUCUAUAUGAAUCUUCUGAAUUCAAGCAAAAUAUGAAAACAUUAAUUUGCAGUUACUUUGUUGUGACUGUGGUGUGUCAAUUUCCUGUAUCCCUUGUUUAGUUUUUUGCUUGGUCAGAUUGUGCCAUCAGUGAAUUGUAACUCUGAUUGAGUUCUUCUUGGCAUUUUAUUUGCAUAACUGAUAAAUUAGCAUUUUGCUGAACCUUUUCUUUUUCCCAGUUUAUUUAAUCAAACACCUGGAGGUCACAUGGAAACUGGAGGAUCAUUGGCACACACAAUAAGAAAGCCAACUCUUACACCUAAGGCUAUUAUACAUCAGAAGUUUGGCAGCAAGGCUUCUUAUAAGGUAGAGGAAGUAGAGGAGCCUACUCAAAAUGGAUGCCCAGGAUUGGCAAUCCUUCAGAAGGGUCCCUGUCUUUAUCGCUGCAGCUUGGAGCUUCCAGAUUUUUCUGUUGUGUCUGGGUCCUUUAAGAAGAAGAAAGAUGCUGAGCAGUCUGCUGCUCAGAUGGCAUUGGAAAAGGUUGGCAUCCCCUUGCUCACCAUACUGAUUUUCCUAUGAUUUUAGUUUGAUUGAUGUGCCAAUAGCUAUAGUCAUCGCCUCAUUGUGAGUUUCAGCAAUAGGUUGUGGGAUAUAUAGUGAAACUCAAGAAAAAUAUACAUGGCUGCUCCUUUGCAUAAGUUGAAUUGGUUUUCUAUAAUAUGUUGCUAGGAUUGCCUGUGUUAAAAUUUGCUUCAUUUUAGCAAGGUUGGUGGCUUGGAAGCUAUGAGUUUAAAGUAGGCUUUUCAUGAUGAAGAAUUUGGUGAUGUCUGUUGAAUCAAAAUAAGAUACAACGAUUGUCAAGGAAUUUGAUCUCUACAUAGAAGUUUUUUCUAAACAGUCUUUCAGAAGAGUCAGCUCAUGAAGCUUGCUGCUGUUGCAGCUUCACCACUAACAUGCUGAUCAUUACUGCUAUUGCUACCAUCACCUUCACCAUCAUCCACAUUGUCAUCAGAAAUCCGCUGCCAAUUUAUAAAUUAUUGUUACCCCCCCCCUCCUUCUCACUAUAAUUUGACUGAUUUAAACAUACCAUUUAAACUAAUGACCUGAUUCUAACUAACGGGGUUUUGAAUCUCAUAAUGUCAAUUUUCUGAUAUUUACAAUUUCUUCCAGAUGUACUUUGAAAGAAAUGCAAUUGAUGCACCUUAUAUGUUAGACAUACAACUUCUAGUUAUUUUCUAUCUGAACUUUGUGUUGCAAAGAUAUCAAACUAGGGUACUGUCAUUGUCAAUUUGUAACCAUGUAAUUGAUUGUUAAGAAUGCAAUAUCUUGUUGAUUUUUUCUGUAUAUGUACAAUCAGGUCAUGUUUCCUUGUUUGUGUCUAUUAAACCUGGAUGCUCACCUGCCCAACUUUGCCUUUGAAUUCUUUGUCUGUUAGAGGUUGCUAUCUUAUUGCCAUCCUGUUAAGCUUGGGCUUAUUGUCCGCUUUCUUUGAACCAGUGAUGAUAAUGCAGCAGCAAUUUCUUCAUCCUCAUCUUAUUUCCCUGUCUUUUUCAAAAAAAAAAAAAAAGUAUUUCAAAAAUUAUGCCUCGUAAUACAAAUUUUUGUUGUUACUCAACUUUGAAUUUGAAUUGUGGAAAGUUGGAGCCAAAUUUUAUGUAAGGAACAUUCUGACAUGUUUGAGUAUCUCGAUUUCUUAGAAUCCUUGUAUCAACUCCUAUAGCUAAUAAUUAGUACUAUUCAUCAUGCAUAUUGGGAUAGAUCUUGUUCCUAGAAAAUCAGUUUGUUACUUUGCUUAAUUUGAUUACAGCUCUUCCUGAGAACAUUUUUUGGGUUUAACUUUUGAGUUUUUUUUUUUUUCUAGUUAUAGAAUUAUUAUAAAGUUUGCCUUUUGUCCAGGGAUUGUCAGUGAUUUGUCCAAAUAAAGCUGUCACUUCUUUCUUCUUCUUAGUUUUAUCUGUUUCUAAUUUAAAAUUGCAGCUUGGCAUCCGUCCCUCUGUAGAUAAUCUCACAGCAGAGGAAGCAUGGACAGACUUGAUUGCCCGUGUCAAAUAUAUAUUCUCAAAUGAGGUUGGUGCCCCCUACACAAUAUGUCUGUGUGGCGUGUGUUGACAAUGGCAUGAAUUUGUGCAUUUAUAUCUGCAGAGUAUCUGUGUUUAUGCAUGUGUAUGCUGCGUUGAUUUUUUAUUAAAUUAUAAUCAAGUAAUAACCUUGACAUAUGUAAACAUGGAAUUGUCUGUGGACUGUAAUUCUUGUUUCACUAUAGAUUAAUAAUUAUCUGUUAACAUUGAAGUAUACAAUUUCCUUGUGGAAUAGAAUGAAGAGAGGAUUCUAGAUAACAGUACAAGACAUUUAUCUUAACCCUUGGUCAUGGGGAACAUUGGCAAGCUAACUUUUUCCAACCUGUGUCCAACUUUUACAUGAGCUAGUUUGAAAAGGUUAGUUUCUAUGAUUGCAUUGGCUUCCUGACUCAUCUUUACCAAGGGAGUUCAGUAGAGUAGUGUUUCCCUCCACCUGGCCUUUUCCACUAGUACCUCCUACAAGCACAAAAUAUUUAUUUGUAAUGGCUAUCUCUUCUUGACUCUGCUUUAUCCUUCUAUCAUUUGUCAAGUUCUUUCAUCUCUUUAUAAUUCAUUUAUGUUCAUUUUUUUUAUCUAUUAUAUAUAAUGAGGGCACACUGCUAUUGCUUUAGAAUAAAUCGUUCACAUUCUGAUCUUUUCUCCCUUUAUCUUUGUCAUCAUUGAAUAAGUUCCUUUCAGGUCUUCAUCCUCUGAGCAGUCACUUCAAAGCAGCUUUAUGUAGAGUUGGUGAUCAUGAUGGUUCAAUUCCUGCUUCUGUUAUUGCUAUAUGUGAUGGAAAACUUAAUAAUCUCUGCAAAAUAAUUAACCCUAAAGUGGAGUCUCAUCCCUUCAUGGUCGUAUCAUAUAUUAUGAGAGCUGCUACAGGAUUACCAGAGUUGGUUGUUAAUCCUGAGAGACAGCUUUCAAUUCGGAAGGAAAACCCGUACCCUCCUGAUGUCAUAGAAUCAUCAGUAUCUCAACAAUCUGAAAGCAUAACGACUAUGGCCAUAUAUAUCCCAUGUUCACCUGAAAAGGCUGUUGAACCAGUGAUUCUUAAUAUUUCCCCAAAAGGUUAUUACCUUGACGUUAUUGCACAAAAACUUGGCUUAUCAGAUGCCAACGAAAUUCUGAUCUCAAGGUAUGUUGAAACUGUUAUAUGAUUGAUGAUGCCUGCGAUGGCAAUAUUCUAUGUGUGAAGUAGGCUCCUUAAAGAGUAUCUUAUCUUUUUUUUUUUUGGACAAACAGGAACUAACUAUUAUUUGUUCUUCAACAGGACCAUUGGUAAAGCUUCAUCUGAAACGAGAUUUUACUUUGCUGCUUCAAAGUCAUAUCUGUUAGAAAUGUCAUCUGAUCUUCUAAAUGCUAAAGCUGUUAAGUUUGGAGGACCUUUGAAUGCAAGGGCCAGCUACAUUUGUGGCCAAGAUAUAUAUGGUGAUUCAAUUUUGGCAUCCAUUGGUUACACUUGGAAAGGCCAAGAUCUUUUUCAUGAAGAUGUCACCUUACAAUCAUAUUACAGGUCUGUUCUUCCUUCACAUAUAAAAUUUGUUCUGAUACUAUUUUCAUCUUUUAGAUCCUUUUUCACUUUUGGGGGUUCAAAUUAUUUCACAGUGCUUCUGAAAACUCUGACUGCAAAUGACCUCAGCUGAAAAGAGUGCUAGUGUGUUUUACCUUGGUUUGUUUGAUGGACUUAGAGUUAAAGCUCAACCUUAUCUUUAAAAGUGCUUUGCUGUUAUAACUUGAGAUCAGAUCAACCCAUAGAAAAUUUGCCAAGUUCCAGAUAGGCUUAGGUCUUCUAAUGUAAUCUUUCUAGCUUAGCUGAGAUCAAUACUAACUGACUGCACCAAUCUAAGAAAGAAAGUACCAGCCCCCAGCUUUGUUUAUUAACUGAUUUAAAAAAUUUCCAAACCACGUAUUAGGAAGAUAUGUAAAAUGGAUUUACGAUAUACAUUUCCUCAACAAAACCACUGUUUGGAUGAAACCACUUUAGCAUGCUGGUUCUCUGGAAAAAUUUUCUAAGUAUUUAAUUUCCAUAAAGACAACUAAACAAGGUGACAUGACAAUUACCCUAAAAAGUUGUUCCAUUAACACAGUAAAGCAGGACCAAUGCGUGCUUCAUUGACUGAUGAUUAAAAUAAGGGAUUGAGGGUGUUGUUAGACACAACCUUAAUUUGCCACAAUUUGGUUGCUUAUUCAUUCAGUUGUCUGCCUUUAGUGGUAUUUCUUGUAUGAUUCAUUAACUUUUCAGUGUAUAAUUGUUUUGCACGUGCUUAUGCAGGAUGCUUAUAAGUAAAAUACCAAGUGGAGCUUACAAAUUGUCCAGAGAGGCAAUACUUGCGGCAGAGUUGCCCCUGACAUUUACUACAAAGACCAACUGGAGGGGAUCCUACCCAAGAGAAAUUCUCUGUUCAUUCUGUCGCCAGCACUGGCUAUUAGAACCCGUCUUUUCUACUUCAAGUAUUCCUAAAAAGGCAUCAUUGGAGCUGUCUAGAUUAAACAAGAAACUAAAGGUUUCAGAGUCAGCUGAGCAAGAGGUAGAGUAUGCAAAUGGACAUGACAUUGUUGAUGCUGAUGCUAAAUCAGUGGGAAUGGGAAGCAGUUUUAUUUGUGAAGUCAAAUUAUACUCUAAGUGUCAAGAUUUGAUUUUGGAGUGUGCAUCCAAUGUUUUGUAUAAGAAGCAGAAUGAUGCUGUCCAGAAUGCUUCUUUAAAAGUUUUAUCAUGGUUGAAUGCAUAUUUUAAGGAUAUAGAUAUGCCUUUAGAGAAGCUAAAACAAUUAGCCAAUGUCUUUGAUAUUAAGUUUUAUCCUCAAAAUUUUUCCAAGGAAGUUGUAUCGUGCCUAUCAGUUGAAAAUUUUCAGAAUCAUGAUACUCUGGGAGGCAAAGUACCUGAAUCAAAUGGUAUUAGUAUUCCAAAUGAUGUGGUGGAAGAUGAUGUGAGUUCUAUAGAUAUAGAAGGUCCAGAUUCUGGUGUUUGUCCAUCUUAUGGGUCCCUUUUAUGCGUAUGUUAUUCUGCAUCUUUAGUGACAAAAGGUGAACUUCAAAAAGAGCUUCUUGAAAGUGCUGAGGAGUUUGAGUUUGAGAUGGGGACUGGAGCUGUAAUUCCCUGUCUUGAAGCUGUUGUUACGAAAAUGUCUAUUGGCCAGUCUACCUGUUUCUAUACAGAGUUGCCUUCGCAAGAUUUGGUUUUGGCUGCAGCUAAGGAUUCUGCAAAUGCUCUUGCAUUUUUAUCUUCACGUGAGUAAAUUCGUUCUUUAAAUGCUAAAUAAUAUUUGAUAAAUUUCUUCUUGAUUUUAAUUUGAUGCUCUUAAGUUAUGUUCCAAGGUUGAAAGAUGACUAAAGAUGUUGACUGCCCACAAUGCUUUGGUUGUCUAAAUCUCUGCUUUGCAUGUUGAAUAAAAAUUACUUAGAGUAAAGCUUGUUUGUGGUGUGCAUGGGGGCAUUCGUUUAUAUCUUGAUUUUAAUUUGAUGCUUAGCCACAUCUUGAGGACUGAUAGCUAUAGACUUGGAUGGCAUGUAAUGCGGUGGUUAUCUCUUACUGUGUCUUUAAACAUUUAUUUAGAUUGAGAGAGUUCCUGUUGGCCUGUGUGUGGAUGCUGAUGUAUAUGGCUUUCUUCUUUUGGAUCAAAAAGUUACUGUUAUUUGUCAGGAAUUCUAAUCCCAACACAAUUUUUCCCCUUCAAGUUCUUUAGGAUAAUUUUACGAACUUUAUGUGGCAGAAAUUAGGUGCUAGCAUACUGGUUCAACCUAGAAUAACAUUGAAAAUUCUCUGUUUUUAAUAUCUUAAUGUUGCUAAAAAAUGUUGGAACAUUGUAUUCUGGUGGUGCUUGGUACCCCCAAAAAAAGAGUUUGUGGGAUCAUAUGUUCAUUUCCAUAGCAUAUUAAGGUAAAUACAAUUCCAUUUAAAAAAAAUAAAUAAAUAAACAACUUAAAGGAGAUUUUGUCGCUUGGCCAGAAAAAAGAGACUUUGUUGCUAUAGCUUUUAUAGUGCUGCAAGGUUAACCUAAUCAUAUGUUAUAUUCAAAAGAAAAAUGUUUCUGUAGCAGUAAAUGGAGCUUGUGUAAUUCUUCUUUUGUGGCAUUGCUGCUUUAAAUUGGUUGAGAGAUCUAAUUGACUGCACAUCACUUCUUUGCAUAAGCCUGCUGGUUGGAGUACUCGAUCAUCUUGUUGCAGGUGACAGAACCCCCAGAGGACAGAAUGGAGCAGGCUCUUUUCAGCCCACCACUUUCAAAGCAACGUGUAGAAUAUGCGCUGCAGCACAUUAAAGAUUCUUGUGCUACCUCUUUGGUAUUUGUCCUGUUUCCUCUUCUUUGUCAAUGUUGAUAAUAAUAAGUUGAUUUUGAGAUCAUGCUAUGUUCUGUUGUAGGUUGAUUUUGGAUGUGGCUCUGGUAGUUUACUGGAGUCUUUGUUGGAUUACCCAACUUCUUUGGAAACAAUUGUUGGUGUUGAUCUUUCAAAGAAGAGUCUUAGCCGUGCGGCAAAGGUAUUUACCAGUGUAUUUCGGCUUUACAUAUGGCCAAAUAAAAUUGAGUAGGUCAUUUAUGAGCAUUAUAUGAAGGAUAUGGACAAAAACAAUUAUUUUCAUUGUUGCAUUGCAUAAAUGAGUGGAUACGGAUUUGAAAUCAUCUUAUUUGUGUGCUGUAUUUUCUUUCACAAGCUAAAAUGUGCCUUAGCUACAUAUCUUUGAUUCUCUUGAUUGUGCAGGUUCUUCAUUCAAAACUAACCAUGAUGUCAGAUCCUGAAGCACCAUGUAAGAGCAUAAAAUCUGCAGUUCUUUAUGAUGGUUCUAUCACAGAUUUUGAUUCUCGGUUGUGUGGGUUUGAUCUUGGUACAUGCUUAGAGGUAUUUAAAAGCAACCCUUUUAAUGAACCUAUGCUUUUAGAAUUAUAUUGAUUGUCCUUAUUCACAGCUGACAUUUUGGAAAUGAAUAGGUAAUUGAGCAUAUGGAGGAGGAUCAAGCUUGUCUGUUUGGUGAUGUUGUGCUCAGUUCAUUUCGUCCAAAGAUUCUUAUUGUCUCAACUCCCAACUAUGAAUACAAUGUAAUACUCCAGAGAUCCAAUAUAACAAGCCAAGAAGAUGAUCCAGAGGAGAAGAUUUAUUCACAAUCAUGUAAAUUUCGCAACCAUGACCACAAGUUUGAGUGGACUAGAGAGCAAUUUAACCAUUGGGCAUCUGAAUUAGCGGUCAGGCACAAUUAUAGUGUUGAGUUCAGUGGGGUUGGUGGUUCUGCUGACCUGGAACCCGG
This 89338-nucleotide long non-coding RNA is filed under the name Theobroma cacao (cacao). RNAcentral's name for it is "long non-coding RNA (TCAC_LNC003628)". Lineage: Eukaryota; Viridiplantae; Streptophyta; Magnoliopsida; Malvales; Malvaceae. The record is from RNAcentral.